RNAcentral lists this long non-coding RNA (100283 nucleotides) under Vitis vinifera (wine grape). Its description in RNAcentral is "long non-coding RNA (VVIN_LNC004303)". The record is from RNAcentral. Lineage: Eukaryota; Viridiplantae; Streptophyta; Magnoliopsida; Vitales; Vitaceae.
UGUAAGCAAAAACACUUGUUGCCUUGAAAAAUUGUGGAUAAAGAAUUGUUCCUCUCUCAAGUUCUUUCCAACAGGAGAAUUACCCUCCACCCUUGAGCUCCUUUGUAUUUGGGGAUGCGCAAACUUGGAGUCAAUAUCAGAGAAAAUGUCACCCAAUGGCACAGCUCUUGAAUAUUUAGACAUAAGGGGCUAUCCAAAUCUGAAAUUCCUACCAGAAUGCCUUACAAGCCUCAAGGAGCUCCACAUAGAAGAUUGUGGAGGUCUGGAGUGUUUUCCAAAAAGAGGGUUGUCAACCCCCAACCUCAUGCACCUUCGUAUUUGGAGAUGUGUGAAUCUCAGGUCCCUUCCACAGCAAAUGAAAAACCUCACAUCUGUUCACACUCUCAGCAUACGGGGUUGUCCAGGAGUGGAAUCCUUUCUAGAAGGGGGUUUGCCCCCCAAUCUAACAUCACUUUACGUUGGAUUGUGUCAGAAUCUGAAAACACCCAUAUCUGAAUGGGGACUCCUUACCCUCACCUCUCUUUCUGAAUUGUCCAUUUGUGGAGUGUUUCCCAAUAUGGCUUCUUUUUCGGAUGAAGAGUGUCUGCUUCCUCCAUCUCUGACCUAUCUUUCCAUCAGUGAACUAGAAUCUUUAACCUCCCUGGCUCUCCAAAAUCUGGUGUCUCUUACUGAACUAGGUAUUGAUUGUUGCUGCAAGCUCAGUUCCUUGGAGUUGCCUGCAACACUUGGAAGACUUGAAAUCACUGGUUGUCCUAUUAUAAAAGAAAGCUGCUUAAAGGAGAAGGGAGGAUACUGGCCCAACUUCUCCCACAUCCCCUGCAUUCAAAUAGAUGGCUCAUACAUCCAUUGAAAGAUAGCAGACUCAGAUUGAAAUACAUUUUUCUCUUGUCAAGAAGGAUAGAUCCAUUCAUCUUUAUGCUUACUUUAGUCAAUCAGGUACAACCCACUUCUGCUUUUCUAGCCUUUUUUUACUUUCCAAUAUUUAAACCAAUUGUCUUGGAUUUAGUCCAAAUUUUUUACACAAAUAAAAGUUCUGUAGAGAAGAUGAAAGUAAGUAAACCUAUAAUUCAGAUGAUGAAACCUAUGAUAGCAUUUAAGUUUAGUAUUACUUUUCGAAAUGGUUCUUACUUUGUAAAUAUUUACUUUGUCAUUUUAUUUUGUCCUUGAAACUAUUUCAAGAGAUCCAAUCAUUCUGAAAUUUUAUGUAAUUAUUUCUCUUCAUAAUGCUGGUGAAGUUGUAACCAAUUUCUGUUCUUGCCUUGUAGAUUCAGAGGGAUAAUGCUUGGUAGAGAUGUGGCAGGAAGCACAGGGUGAAGAUGACAGAAGAUCUUUGACAGAAGUUACUCACUGGGGUGGGUUCUUCUCUCACUUAUUGUCUCUUCAACUGUGUCCUUUUUAUUUUUAUAAUUGUUGGUAGACUUGUAUAGUGAUUUGAAAAAUGCUUUGCAAUGAUCAUUUAUAAAUAUUUACAUUGUCAUGUCACUAAGUCUUUGAUGGUAUUUCAAGAAAUUGUUCAUUGUUGCUCACUUAAAAUUUCUAUCCAAACAUCACUCAUUCAACCACAGAGUGCCAUUAUGAACUGAAGCUAUGUAUAAACUAUCUUGAAAGAGCUCAUUUUGAUUGGUAAUGUUUGUAUAGUUCUUGCUAAUUCUUUUCCUGCUAAUGUGACUGCCAAUUUUCAUUCUAAAUUCAUGGGGUUCUGGCUUGACAAGGAUGUUGCAGAGGUAAACAGUUAUGUCUCCCUGUUCAGAAUAUGUGGAUUCCCAUUUCAUUGGCCCCAUAUUGGUUUGGCAUUCAGAAAAUAAAUGAAAUUUCUUCUCAACAUGUAGGAUGAAAAAAAGAUGGUGAAUUUCUAUGACUGGUGCAAUUGAUUUUAAAUUUCUCACAAGAUUUUUCAUCGAUGUUUCAUUUAGAGGUGGACAUCGACUGUAGUUAUGGCUUGGCAUUCUCUCUUUGCUUUUCAUGCUGCUGUUAAUCCUCUGUUUCACACAAACAGAGUCAUUUUUCUAGAUGAAGUAACGUUGGCAUUCUGUUGUUUUUGCAGUGUGAUUAACCUUAAUUUUACACAUAUACAGUUCCAUCCACAGAUCCAUGAAUUGUCCUGCAGGUUUAUUUGUGCAAGGUUAUACUACUUUUGUUUUGAGUUCAAUCCAGUCUUAAGAAGAUUGGAGAGGGCAUUAAACAAACCUUCUGGCUGACUCUGGAUGUAUACUAUAGUAUCUUAAGAAAGGUGCCUACAUAUUUAUUGAUCACCUAAUCUCUGGUCCUUGGGCAGCCUGCAAUACUUAGAAGGCUUAGCACAGGUUGUCCUAUUCUAAAAGAAAUGUGCUUAUAAGAGAGCCACAUUGCCCACAUCCCCUUUAUUGACAUAGAUAUUAGAUAUAUCCAUUUACUGUGCCAGCCAUAUCCUCUCCUUGCUUUCAAUCAGGCACGGGCUUUCAUAUAUCAUAAAUAUUAGCAAUUUUCUUUGAACUCUACUUUCCCUACUCAUAAUAACAAAAGCAGAGACCACUCUUCCUUAUUUUAAACUGGGUAUGUCUGCUCAUUCAUAAUUUAAAUUGGGUAUGUUUUUGCCAUGAUGUAGGUUUUGACAAAGGAAAGGGCUGCCUGCAACACUCCCAAUGCUUGAAAUCAGGAAAUUUCAUAUUCGAAAAACUGAUGGUAAGAGGAUGUGGGGAGAUUGCAUCUUUUGUUGGAGAGCAGGUUUGGAUUAGAAUGCCUCAGUGGUCUUGAAAGUCUGGAGAUCUGGUAGUGGCAUGGACUUGUACCCUUUGGACUUUGGAGCAGCAGGGCUGCUUGGCAAUCUUAAAUAUUUGAAAUUGGAAGACUGGGCUAACCAGAAGAAGCAGAAGACUGCAGUUUAGCCUCCAACCUUACAUCACUUUAUAUGGGAGAUCAUCUAAAUCUGAAGCUGCCAUUAUCUGAGUAGGGCCUCCACAGGCUCACUUCUCUUUCAUCAUUUGUACAUUUCUGGUGUAUGUCCAGCUCUGGCUUCUCUAUCAGAUGAUGACUAUCUUUUUCCCACAACUGAGCAAUUUUUUUAUUCGUAAACUGGAUUCCAUCGCAUCAGUGGCUUUCAAAAACCUGCGUUCUCUUGAAACUAUAUCCAUCUAUAGGUGUCCUAAGCUCUGGUCCAAAGGGUUGACUGAAAAACUUUCGAGGCAUGACCUCAAUACUACAUGAUUAUCUGCUUUCUUCAAGACCAUUUUGAGUAAGCAUGAUAAGUUAGUGCUUCAUUUUUUCUUUUAAUUUCUUCUUUCAGGUAAGAAGAGAAGAAUGAUGAAGUAAUUCAAUGCCAACAUUGAAGUAUCAAGCAUGAAUAUGUUACUUUUCAGUUAUAUAUUGAUUUUUAUUUUUUUUUUCUUAUCUCAAGUAAAUUUUCUUUCUACACCAAAUCCUAAGGCAAUACAAUCUUGAGCUUACUUUUUAAGAUUGAUAUUUGACUUGCUCUUUGAACCAUAAUUUGCCAAAGAGUGUUGUGAUAACGUUAAAUCUUGAGUCAUCUUAACGUUAAAAUAAGGAAUGGAAAUGAAUAUUUUGUUUUCUAUUCCUGUUUCUUAGUAGAUAAAAAUGAAUUUGAUGAUUCUAUUUCUAGCAUUUGGACGAAUUUAGGAAUGCCAGAUUGAAAUGAUUAUUUGUUUCAAUUCCAAUGUUUGAUAAUAAUAGGAAUGGAAAUGAAAAAGAAAUAAAUUUACAAUAAUAUCAUUACAUAUAAUUUAAAAUAAUUUUUUUUAUUUUAAAAAAAUAAAUUUUGAGAGUUUUUUGUUGUUAAAUAAUAAGACUAAAAAAUAUAUAUAUAUACUCAAUAAAUAAAAAAUUAACCAUAAAAAAUUAUAUAACCCUAAUGUACAAAUAUUCAAUUAUUAUUUUUAUUAAAAAUUUGAAUAAUUUGAUAUGCUUAAGUAGUUAUAAAAUUAUAUUUUACCAAAUAUAUAUAUAUAUAUUUAUUAUAAUAUUUAAACGAACAUCCAAAACCCUAGAAAUUAGAAAUUGAAAUUUCUUUUCUAAAUGUUGUGAAAGAUUUGAUUGAUUCAGUUUGGGAGAAUCACUUGUUGCGGAGAAGUGGAUGAUGAAUGGGUCUCUAACUUUGCAAAGAAGAUAAGCAUUGGACUUAAAAAAUGAGAAAAUAGUGCAAAAUAGUAAAUUUAGGUUAUUUUAUAUUAUCAAAUGGGUUCAAUGAAUCAAAAUACCACCUACUUUUGAUAAAUUCAAAUUCGACUUAUAAGUUGGAUUUGAUUUCUACAUAAAUAAUUUUUUAUUUCAUUCAUGUUUUCUUAACAUUUAUCCAAACAUAAGAAUAAGGAAGAAAAUGAAUGAGAUGUCUAUUCUCACUUUCUAUUCUCAUGUACCAAACACUACCGAAUAGUAGAAAAAUAAUUGUGCAUACUUCUCAGGGUCAAUAGUUCUAGCUUGGGUCAUUAUAUCUUAAGGAGUGACAAUGUUGCAAAUUUGACACAAUCACAAAGCUAAUACCAAACUUUGAGCAUAUGAAAUUCCUAGGGCAAUUCCAAGUCAACACAAUCUUGGGUUUGCUCCUUGAGCCAUUAUUUCCAAAAUGUGCUAUAGUUACAAAUCUACAUAAUAAUAGGGCUCACCCCCCAAAUCUCAAGCCAAAAAAUCCCUAGCCAACUUCUUGAACCAUCAUUUCUUGAGGCUCAUCUAAUUCAUUUUCUCUUUUUUCGACUUGUUCUUCAACUUGUUUGGAAAAGAAAUGAAAGAUUCUUAGCCAUUGUGAUUUGAUCAUAUUGUCAUAUUAUGAAAGUGGGGUGAUCAAAUGACCACAUUGGUAAUGAUCAAUAAAGCCAUGGGAAUGGUUACGAUUAACAUUUACAUUGUUGUUUGUCAUGAUCUCAAUUGUCCCACUUUGAUUAUGAAGUUUUGUCUUAUUGUGAAAGAGGUUUUCAAAUUGAUUACAUACUCCUAUACCAUUUGUUAUGCUCAAACUCAAAGUAGCCAUUUUAUCUAACAAUCAAUUAAUUGCUUAAGAGAUCAAGGUAAACCUAUUUAUGUGAUUCAAGGAAUAUUAAAUCAGUCAUAAGCUAAUACAAUCUUAGGGUUAACUACAAAAUGUUGAGUGAAUAAAAUCUUGAGAUCAUUACUUCUUAAACCAAAACCAAAUCUUAAGUCAACACAGUUUUAGGCUAAUUACUUUCAAAUUCAAUACUAAACCUGAAGCAUACCAAAUCCCUAUAACCAAGAUACUUCUUCGAUCAUAAAAAAUCCCAAGGACUAUCCUUGAUUCAUCAUUUCCAAGGAACAAUAUGAUUUCAAACCUUACAAGUAAAUAAUCAUGGAUGACAUAUCUUUCUUUUCUUUUUUUUCAUUAUCUAGCAUCAUUAUCUAGCAAUGAACAUGAAUUAAUAACUUGUUACAUGAGUUGUGUUGAUUAGGGAUCCCUUGUUUGCAUAACCGUGAAUGAAAGUAUAACCUAGGAGAUAAAAAUCAUGAAGCUAAAAAAUUUGUGCACCCUAAAGGAGAAGUACCAAAGUUUUGGAUUGGAAUUUCUUUGACCCUUAUUUUUAUGCUAGUAAAUUACAAAAUAAUCAAUCAAAUGAGUGGUGUGAUUUUUUUUUCCUAAAUAACAAGUUAUUUAGGUUUUCUAUGUAUAAAUUAUUACAUGUUGUCUUCUAUUAGAUACUAAAUUUUCUAUAUUAUAAACUAAAAUUAGUAAUGGUAAUAAAAAACUAAAAAUUCUUUAUAUACAUCGGGUUAGAGUUCUCUCAUGUUUUUAAAUAUACAAGUCUAUGGUCCCUCAACUUUUGCUAUUUUUAUUUCAUACCAUAGCUCCACAAAAAAAGUCUACAAAUUCAUAUGUAGACAAAACAAAGUUAAAGUAAAAGUGGACCAAUCUUAUCUCCUUUUCCCCAAACCAUCCACAAUUGUCAUUUGAUCACUAGGCCAAUACAAAAUAUUUGAUUGACCUUUUUUUCACACAUUAUAUUAUGAGUAUGUUUGAAAUGUUGAAUUAUUGCAUUUCAAUUAUUUGUCAAAAAUAAAAAUCAAAAUCAAAAUUUUAUUCUCAUAAAACUAAUUUUAUUAAAAUUUUUAUUUAUUUUUUACAUAGUAUUUUAAUUCAUCUUUAUUUGCAUUUCAAUUAUGAUUAAUUCAUCUUUAUUUGCAUUUCAAUUAUGAUUCUUAUUCUUCAAUAUUACUAUUUCAAAUAUAGGUAAAAAUCUUCCUUUACUAAAAGAUGCAUUUCAAAUAUGUCACAUCAUAAAAAAAUUUGUAGUUAAGAUUGAGAAAACAAAGGCUAUGCUUAGUUAAGAAAAACACCCAAAAGGGGGGGUGAAUUGGGUUUUUAAAAUCUUUUCAAUCACAACAAAUUCAAACACAAUAUAAGCAAAGUAAAGAGAUAGAGUUUAGAGAAUUCAAACUCGGGUUUAUAGUGGUUCGGUACUUCCUUGCCUACGUCCACUCUCCUCAACCUCCUAACCGAGUGAGGGUUACACUAACUUGAAGCUUCAACCAUGCUUCCAAUCUUUUUACACUUGGAUUCCGUCUCCAAUGGGCUCUUACAUAACCUCUUCAAGAUUCAACCCUCUUAAAGGCUUUAACACUCAGAUUUUUACAAGAUAUAAUCGUUCAACCUAGCUUAAGGAUAGCUCAAAUACAAGACAAAGCUAGGAUAACACAAGAGUGCACUAAAGGAUAUGCAAGUGGUGAUUUAAUGCACUAUGAAAGAAAUGAAAGCUUUUUUAUCAAGAACAUGUAGGUAGGCUAUUGAAUGCAAGUGUUCUCUUAUCAAUAAAUGAAGUGGAGCUCUCAAUUUAUAGGUUUCCAAGCUCGGGAGUAAAAAACAGCAAAAGGUAACCUCGUCCGGUCGAGCUAGGGGUCGACCGGUUCACUAGCCGUUAGAGCAUUUAAUGCAUGACAGGUUACCGUUGCCUCGACCGGACCUCGACCGAUAAGAGAAACACCUCGACCGGGAAGAGAAGGCUACUGGGAGAGAGAGAAGGUUUUUGACCUCCCUCGACCGAUCCUCGACCGGACAAGCACAACCGGUCAAUCGGUUCCUCAACCGGUUGAGCCAGUUGGUCAUAGCCUUGAUCGGUUGAGCCUUUUUUGCCUCAAAAACCUGUUUUUUUAAUUCCUUUCUUUUCUAACACUUAGGCAAGGUCUUUAGGUAAAUUAUUAAGCCAAUUUUGAAACUUUUUGUCUAAGGUACAUUAGUUAAAAACUCGGGUUUUAAUGAAAUCGACGUUUUAAAUAAUAAACCGAGUUUUCAAAAAUGUAUGAAACGUGUGAAAAUCCUAAGUGCACUCAUGCAUUCAUCUUAUAUUAGUUUCCUAUGAUCACAAGUCUUCUAAGCGUCUCGAUCUUGUAUCCAUUUGGUCAUUUGAUGAAUUUUCGAGUUUAUACCUGAGAUUCUUAAUCAUUAAACCAAUUAGUCACUUAACCAUGGUUUGUUAUCAUCAAAACCCGAUUAGGAGAACCCUUGGGCUAACAAAUAUGAUAGUACUACUAAUGGAUUGUUAUAGAUUUAUAUUAAAGUACUAGAGCUGUUGCAUAAUUCUAUUAAACUUCAAAUUAUUAGAGCACAAAAUAAUUUUUGUGUACAUAGCUUCUUACAAAAAAGGAACCAUGAAAAUAUUGGGAUGGGGGGUGGGGUGUGGGUCACAGCAUUUACUUUAUGUUAUAUGAAAUUGCCUAAAAGUUAGCUAUGCUUCAAAUACUAUUUGCAUAAACAUAAAUACAUAAUUAUUAUUAUUAUUUUAUAUAUUUAUUAAAAUCCCUUCAAAAUUGUAUUAAAAAGUUGUCGAACAUUUGCAUCCCCUUCCCCUUAUCUUCCUAUGGCUUUUCGGUGGUGUAUGUUAAUUCGUCUUUCACCUCAAUCAACAAUUAAUACUUGAUAUUAACAUGGCAGAUAAACCCUUAAUCAAUAAGAUGGGUUGGGGUGUUUUUAAACCCGUAAUCAAUCUCAAAAUGAUGGUGUAUAUAUGUCUAAUAAAGAUCAGAGACUUAGGAUUUAACUAUAAAAAGCUCUAUUUAUAUUCACUCUAUCCAUCACUAGAGUCAGUGUCAUAAUUCAUAGUUAUUAAUAAUAAUCAAUAGUAAAAAAUUAAAUCAACGAAAAUCCAAAAUUGAUGAAAGAUUACAUAUAGUACCAAUGGAUUAUUAUUUAUUUAUAUUAAAAAAAAAGUAGAAUUAUCGCAUAAUUAUAUAAAAAUUCAAAUUAUUAGAGCAUAAAAUAAUUUUCUAAACACUUAGGAAGAAAAAUAGGUAUAUAAAUAACAUGAUUAGCAUAAUUAGGUGGAGUUGAUUUUUGUGCACAUAUCCUACAAAGAAGGAACCCUAAAAAUAAAUGGGUGUACAUCAUUUACUUUAUGUUAUAGGAAAUUGCCUAGAAUGUAGCACUUCUUCAAAUAUUAUUUGUAUAAAUAAAAAUAUAUAAAUAUUAGAAUUUUAUAUAUUUAUUAAAAUCCCUUCAAAAUUGUAUACAAAAGUUGUUGACAUUUGUGUCCCCUUCCCCUUUUCUUCCUAUGACUUUUCAGUGGUACACUCAAUGAGCAAUUAAUGCUUGAUAUUAUUUAACAUGUUAUGUAUAGAAACCGUGUGGAGCUCAUGGAAUCCAACUUGUUUCCUUUUUCUUUUUUUUCUUUGAUAAAAAUAUUUCCAAAUAUUCACAGCGAGGCUGAUUAUUGAACUCCAAAGUAUAUCUGUAAUAUAGAUGAUGUAACAUCGUAGAUAUACAAUUUUAUAUAUUAUAAAAAUUAAAAUUAAUUAUAUGAAGUGGAAAUUAUAUGUAAAUAAUUAAAAACCUUAAAAUAUUUUAUAUUAUGGGAAAAGUGGGUUUUUAUUUACUAAUUUGAAAAAAAUAUAAAAAAAAUCAAAUAUUUUAUAAAUCAUAUUUAUCUUUACCUAUUUAAAAAUAUUUUAAAAUACAUACAUUUUUUUAUAACUCAAAUAAUUAUUUCCUAAAAUGAUCAUUUUAUAUGUUAUUAUUAUCCAUUAACAAUUAUUUUAAUAUGAGAACUUAUAAGAGAUUAAUAAAAUAAGAAAUUUUAAGAAUUAAAAAUACAAUAAAAACUAUAAAAAAAUUUAAAGUUAAAAAUAUAAAAAUAAAAUGUUAACUUUCACUUAAUUAAAGCACUAUGGUAGAAAAUAUAAAUAUCAAGAAAGAGUUAAAAAUACAAUAGAAGUAAAUAUUUUAUUUUUAAAUUUUUAAUUUUUUUAAUUGUAUUUAAUUUUUAUGUAUGUAAUUUUUAAUUGUAUUUUUAAUUUUUCUUAUUUUAUUUUUUAUGUCAACUAAUAAAUUUUUUAUUCAAUUUUAUUAAAUAAUAUGAGAAGAUGAGGGGACUUACAUAAUACAUGAAAUAAAAUCAUUAUUAAAUAGGAAAUUCGAAAGAUUUUAUUUAUCACUUGAAAAUCUAUUUAUUUUUUAAAAAAUUAUAAUAUAUUUAUUUUUAAAACACUUUUAUCAAAUUAAAAUUAUAAAUUAAUUUUGAAUAAUUUUAUAUAAUAUCAUGACUAUUUUAGAAAAUAAUUAUUUGAAUUAUGAAAAUGUGCAUAUAUUUUAAAAUAUUUUAAAUUGAGUGAACGUAAAACUGAUGUAUAGAAGUUAAGGUUUUUUUUCUAUAUUUUUUUUUAAAAUUAAUGAAUUAAAACCCAAUUUUCCCUUUUAUUAUUGCAUUAAAAAAAAGUCUACAAAUUCAGACAUAGGUUAAAGCAAAAGUGGACUAAACUUAUCUCUUUUUUCCCAAACCAUGACUGUCAUUUGUUCUCAAAGCCAAUAUAAAAUAUUUGAUAGGUCCUUUUUUCCACACAUUAUACUAUGAGUAUAUUUGAAAUGUUGAAUUACUUGUUAAAAAUAAAGUUCAAAUCAAAAUUUUAUCCUCGUGAAAAUCAAAUGUAAUUAAUUAAAAUCAAAAUUGCCUAGAAUGUAGCACUUCUCCAAAUAUUAUUAUUAUUUUUUUUAAAAAAAAAAAAGCUGUCAACAUUUGUGUGCCCUUCCCCUUAUCUUCCAUGACUUUUCAAUGAUGCCUAUUAAUUCUAUCUUUCACCUCAAUGAGCAGUGCUUGAUAUUAACAUGGUAGGUAUAGAAACCGUGUGGACCUCCUGUUGAAUCAAUGCCCGUUCAAAGCCAAGAAUGGUCUAAAAUGGGAAUCAAAUUGGUGGAUGGUUCAACUUGUCUUUUUGAUUAUUUUCAAAUAUUUUUUAAAAAUAAUUUUUAUUUAUAAUAUUCGUUAUAUUUUUUUCAUCAUUAAUCACAGUUAUAUAAUUAUUUUUAAAAAUAACUUCAAUAAACAACUAAUAAUAAUUUUAAAUUAUUUAAAUAUACUAUCUGAAAAGCCACUAUUUUCAAAAUUAAUUCUAAAAAAAAUAAUUUGUCUAAAAGAUAUUCAAAUCAUGUUUUCCCAUCUUAAAAUAGUUUUUUAUUUUUAAUAACAAAAAACUACUUUUAAAAAACAAUUCACCAACACACUCUUAGUUUUUUUUCAUCCCUUGAAAUAAAAUGAUAAAUAAAAAGCUGUCAACGCUUGUGUCUUGGUGUCCUUCCUUCUUUCAUCAUGACUUUCAGUGAUGCAUGACAUAAUUAUAUCCACCACCUUUCAACCUUUUUUUUUUUCAUAAGAAUAUAUACACCACUCAACUUAUUAAUCAAUGGCCAUUAUUAAUGUCAAGUGGAAUUUUCUAUUAUGAUAAUACAUUUUAUUCAUGACAAUAAAAUUUUUAUAUUUAUAUUUAUUUUAUUAAAUAAUUUAAAUAUAAUAAUAAAUAAGAAAUGGAAUCAAUUUUCAUUAAUUUUAACUUUUAAUUUCAAUAUUUGCAACAUGCUCACCUUAUCUUAUUCAUUUCCUAGGGCUUGCCUUCAAUUUAUUCAAAAAUUUCCAAGGGAAAUUUCUUUUAUCUUUAGAGGAGCUCCCUUCCGACAACCCAUGUGAUGCAUCCUUACUUUAUACUUUGGUGUGGCACCUCACCAUUAUCAAGCACAAAAGUCGCCAUGGUGACAAAACCUAUGUCGCAGUCAUUACCCACUAAGGUUUAGUCUACUUUGGAUCUUCCAUUGGACAGGUAGGAAGCUGCAUGGAAAUUUAUCAUUGAUGUAUUAUCCUUGAAGAAAAAAUGCUAUCCAUUAAACAAAAAGAAUUUUAAAAUCUUAAACUACAUUAGUAUUAAGAUAUAGCCUUUAAACCAUAUGGUUAUUUUUUUAACACAAACAUAAUUUGAAUUUAGUGAAAGUAUUUUAUGUAAAAAUAGUUUUAGAAAAAUCAUAUAUUAAGUGUUUAUUUAAGAUACAUUAUAAGUGAUUUUUAAAAAAAAAAAAUUUAAAAUAUUUUUAAAUCUAUUAAAUAAUUAAUUUUUCUUCAAAAAUAUUUUUAAAUUUUAGAAAUGCUUUCUUAAAGUAGUGUAAAACUGAAUCUUAUAAUAUUAAGAUAAAAAAAAAAAAAAGAGAAAAAUGGAGAAAUUGUAGGAGAAACUAAAUUAAAUUAAUUAUAUACAGAGUAACAAUUGUGGAAUGCGGGUAUGAAUGGAGAAAGGAUUUGAAUGGAUUUGAAUGUGUUGUACAUUCCACGAUACACCCUUGUGGACCCUCACCACUACCACCAUUCACAUCCAUGGAAUCCAAUGAACCUAAGAAGUAACAAUUCACAAAUAUUUUUCUUCCUCAAGUUCAACGGUAUCUGUUCUUCAGAGUUGCAGAGAGUCCCCUUCAUCCCUUGUUACCUACAAACUUUUCUUCAGAGUUGCAGAGUUUCCCCUUCAUCCCUUGUUACCUACAAACACAAACAUGGCUGGUAUUGUCGGAGAAGCUGUUUUGUCUUGUUUCAUCCAGAAGUUGGUUGACAUGGUCACCUCCCCGGAGCUGUGGAAGUAUGCACGUAAAGAGCAAGUUGAUUCUGAGCUGAAAAGGUGCAAGAAUAUAUUGACAAAGAUCUGUUUAGUGCUCAAUGACGCAGAGGAGAAGCAGAUGACAAACCCUCUGGUCAAAAUAUGGCUGGACGAGCUUAGAGACUUGGCUUACGAUGUGGAGGACAUCUUGGACGACUUCGCCAUCGAAGCUUUGCGAAGCAGCUUGAUCAUGGCUCAACCCCAACAAGGCAUUAGUAAGUUACGAGACAUGCUCUCUUCUCUCAUUCCGAGUGCUUCUACGUCUAAUUCUAGUAUGCGUUCCAAGAUUAAGGAGAUCACUGAAAGAUUACAAGAGAUUUCAGCCCAAAAGAAUGACCUGGAUUUACGAGAGAUUGCUGGAGGGUGGUGGUCUGAUAGAAAGAGAAAGCGAGAGCAAACCACUUCUCUGGUGGUUGAAUCCGAUGUUUAUGGUAGGGAAAAAAAUAAAGCGGAUAUAGUUGACAUGUUACUCAAGCACGAUCCAAGUAGUGAUGAUGAAGUCUCCGUAAUUCCAAUUGUCGGUAUGGGAGGUAUCGGCAAAACUACUCUGGCUCAGCUUGCCUUCAAUGAUGAUGAAGUGAAGGGCCGUUUUGAUUUGAGAGCAUGGGUCUGUGUUUCUGAUGACUUUGACGUUUCGAAAAUAACCAAGACCAUUCUACAAUCUGUUGAUCCGGGAACUCAUGAUGUCAAUGAUCUCAAUUUGCUUCAGGUCAAAUUGAAGGAGAAAUUUUCUGGGAAGAAGUUUCUUCUUGUGCUAGACGAUGUUUGGAAUGAGAAUUGUCAUGAAUGGGAUACUUUGUGCAUGCCAAUGAGAGCUGGGGCACCCGGUAGUAAACUCAUCGUGACAACCCGUAAUGAAGGUGUCGCAGCAGUUACCAGAACUUGUCCAGCUUAUCCCCUACGGGAAUUAUCAAACAACGAUUGUUUGUCUUUAUUCACUCAGCAAGCAUUGAGGACAAGAAACUUUGAUGCCCAUCCACACUUGAAAGAAGUCGGUGAGGAAAUAGUGAGAAGGUGCAAAGGCUUGCCUUUGGCUGCGAAGGCACUCGGUGGCAUGUUGCGCAACCAACUAAGUCGCGAUGCAUGGGCAAAUAUAUUAACAAGCAGGAUAUGGGAUUUACCGGAAGAUAAAAGCCACAUUCUUCCCGCUCUCAUGUUAAGCUACCAUCAUCUCCCUUCUCAUUUGAAGCAGUGUUUUGCAUAUUGCUCCAUGUUUCCAAAGGACUAUGAAUUCAACAAGGAUGACUUAGUCCUCUUAUGGAUGGCAGAAGGCUUUUUGCAGAAAACGAAGGAGGCAGCUAGGCCAGAAGACUUAGGUUCUAAAUACUUCAAUGAUUUGUUCUCCAGGUCAUUUUUUCAACAUUCAAGUCGAAAUUCAUCCCGAUAUGUGAUGCAUGAUCUCAUCAAUGAUCUAGCUCAGUCAGUUGCAGGAGAAAUAUACUUUCAUUUGGAUGGUGCAUGGGAGAAUAACAAACAAUCCACCAUUUCUGAGAAGACUCGUCAUUCAUCAUUCAAUCGUCAACACUCUGAGACACAGAGAAAAUUUGAACCCUUUCACAAGGUGAAGUGUUUGAGAACAUUGGUUGCACUUCCCAUGGACCAACCAGUUUUUUCCAGUGGCUACAUAUCAAGUAAGGUGUUAGAUGACCUUUUAAAGGAAGUGAAAUAUUUACGGGUAUUAUCUUUAAGUGGCUACAAGAUAUAUGGGUUACCAGAUUCAAUUGGCAAUCUUAAAUAUUUGCGGUAUCUCAAUUUGUCCGGGUCUUCCAUAAGAAGGUUACCUGAUUCAGUAUGCCAUCUUUACAACUUACAAGCACUGAUAUUAUCUGAUUGCAAAGACCUUACGACGUUGCCUGUGGGAAUUGGAAACCUAAUCAACCUUCGACACCUUCAUAUCUUUGACACAUGGAAAUUACAAGAAAUGCCUUCUCAAACUGGAAAUCUAACAAAGUUGCAAACGUUAUCUAAGUUUAUUGUGGGCGAAGGUAACAACUUGGGAUUAAGAGAAUUGAAGAAUUUAUUUGAUCUUCGAGGACAACUUUCAAUUUUGGGGUUGCACAAUGUGAUGAAUAUUCGAGAUGGAAGGGAUGCCAAUUUAGAGAGUAAGCAUGGAAUUGAGGAGUUAACAAUGGAAUGGAGUGAUGACUUUGGUGCUUCACGAAAUGAAAUGCAUGAGAGGAAUGUUUUGGAGCAGCUACGACCUCAUAGAAAUCUGAAAAAGCUCACAAUUGCAUCUUAUGGUGGAUCAGGAUUCCCAAAUUGGAUGAAGGACCCAUCAUUCCCAAUAAUGACACACUUAAUUCUCAAGGACUGCAAGAGAUGCACAUCAUUACCCGCGCUUGGCCAAAUAUCCUCACUCAAAGUCUUGCAUAUUAAAGGUAUGAGUGAAGUUAGAACCAUAAAUGAGGAGUUUUAUGGAGGGAUUGUGAAGCCUUUUCCAUCCUUGGAGUCUCUAACGUUUGAGGUAAUGGCAGAAUGGGAAUACUGGUUUUGUCCUGAUGCAGUUAACGAAGGUGAAUUAUUUCCAUGUCUUCGAUUGCUUACAAUAAGAGAUUGUAGGAAGUUACAACAAUUGCCUAAUUGCCUACCUUCCCAAGUGAAACUUGACAUCUCUUGUUGUCCAAAUUUGGGAUUUGCUUCUUCAAGAUUUGCAUCUCUUGGUGAAGUAAGUUAGAAGCAUAUAAUGAGAGUGUGCGGAUAAGUGAGGUGAUAAGUGGGGUUGUCGGAGGUCUUCAUGCAGUAAUGAGAUGAAGUGAUUGGCUUGUUUUGUUGGAGGAGCAAAGGCUGCCUUGCAAUCUUAAAAUGUUGAGAAUACACGACGAUGCUAAUCUGGAGAAGCUGCCUAAUGGAUUGCAAACACUCACGUGUCUUGAACAGUUGGACAUUACUGGCUGUCCAUCUCUCAGAUGCUUUCCAAAUUGUGAGCUACCAACCACACUCAAGAGUUUAUGUAUUAAAGAUUGUAAAAAUCUAGAGGCUUUACCAGAGGGAAUGAUGCACCACGAUUCCACUUGUUGUCUUGAAGAGCUGAAAAUAGAGGGAUGCCCCAGACUGGAGUCAUUUCCCGAUACGGGUUUGCCACCAUUGCUAAGACGACUUGAGGUGAGUGAAUGCAAGGGUCUGAAAUCGCUGCCUCAUAACUACAGCUCAUGUGCCCUUGAAUCCUUGGAGAUUAGCGAUUGUCCAUCUCUCCGAUGCUUUCCAAAUGGUGAGCUACCAACCACACUUAAAAGUAUAUGGAUUCAAGAUUGUGAAAAUCUAGAGUCUUUACCCGAGGGAAUGAUGCACCACGAUUCCACUUGUUGUCUUGAAGAGGUGAUAAUAAUGGGAUGCCCCAGACUGGAGUCAUUUCCAGAUACGGGGUUGCCACCAUUGCUAAGACGACUUGCAGUGAAUGAAUGCGAGGGUCUGAAAUCGCUGCCUCAUAACUACAGCUCAUGUGCCCUUGAAUCCUUGUAGAUUAGAUAUUGUUCAUCUCUCAAGUCCUUUUCAACAAGGGAGUUACCCUCCACCCUUAAGAAACUUGAGAUUUGCGGGUGCCCCGACUUGGAGUCCAUGUCGGAGAACAUGUGCCCCAACAAUUCAGCUCUUGACAAUUUAGUCCUUGAGGGUUAUCCAAAUCUGAAAAUCCUACCAGAAUGCCUUCACAGCCUCAAGAGUCUCCAAAUAAUUAACUGUGAAGGUCUGGAGUGCUUUCCAGCAAGAGGCUUGUCCACCCCCACCCUCACAAGCCUUCGAAUUGAGGGAUGUGAGAAUCUGAAAUCCCUGCCACAUCAAAUGAGAGACCUCAAAUCUCUUAGAGAUCUUACCAUAUUGUUUUGUCCGGGAGUGGAAUCCUUUCCAGAAGAUGGUAUGCCCCCCAAUCUGAUAUCACUUGAGAUUUCUUACUGUGAGAAUCUGAAAAAGCCCAUAUCGGCGUUCCACACCCUCACCUCUCUUUUUUCAUUGACUAUUGAGAAUGUGUUUCCAGAUAUGGUUUCCUUUCGGGAUGAAGAGUGUCUUCUUCCCAUAUCUCUCACCUCCCUCAGAAUCACUGCAAUGGAAUCCCUAGCCUACCUGUCUCUCCAAAAUCUCAUCUCUCUUCAAUACCUAGAGGUGGCAACUUGCCCUAACCUCGGAUCCUUAGGGUCGAUGCCAGCAACACUUGAAAAACUUGAAAUCUGGUGUUGUCCUAUACUAGAAGAAAGGUACUCAAAGGAGAAAGGAGAAUAUUGGCCCAAGAUCGCUCACAUUCCAUGCAUUGCAAUGCGUGGUCAAUUUAUCCAUUGAAGCAUAGAUGUUGAAAGUGAAAUGCAGUUUGUGGGUUGUGGAAAAGAAACAGAAGCGGAAACACAUUCAACCCCCAGUCCUUACAGGUACAAAAUCACUUCCAUUUUCGUAUCCUUUCUUUACUUUACUUCUGUUUAGGGAUAGGUUUAAUUGUGUAUAAGAUCCUGGGAACCAUAAAAACCGCUAUUCAGCUUCCAACUCCAUCUUCACAUUGACUUACCAAAUUCCCCUUCACAUUCUUUUCUUUUUCUUUUCUUUCUCCUUCAAAUUUUUUUGUUUUGAUUUUCUAGGACUAUUGUUUUGGAUUUACUUGAAACAUAGUAAAUUAGUUUUUUUUUUUUUUUUUCCUGCAAGCGUUUAUAUUUAAUGGACUUAGAUAUGGAUACCUAGAUGCAAUUUUCUAUUCAAAUAUUAGACGUGCUAUGGAAAAGAUGAAUGAAGGAAACCUAUACAUGAUGAAGCUUAAGCUAGCCAUGGUCGUAGAGGAUUCAAAUUAGUGCUGAAUUAAAGAAUGAAGCGUCAUGCAUUGCUUUCCAAAUCGAUGCAGGGUGUAAAUAUUCCUAAAUUCUAAUGUUCACUAGUCAUUCCAUUUAAUGGUUGGAAGAAGUAUUUCAACAGAUCCCUUCAUUGUUGCUCUCCCUGUAUUUGCAUCUAAAUAUCACUCAUUCAACCUCUUCCAUUGUAAUCAUAAAGUGAAACUGUGUAAAAACUAUCUUGAAAUAUUACAUUUUCACUAAUAAUGUUUCCAAAGUUCUCACAAGUUCUCAUUUUUCUUUUCUGCUAAUUUGACCUCCAAUUUCCAUUGUACAUUCAGAUGGGUCCUGCUUGACAGAAAUGUUCCAUUCCCUCGAUGAAUAGGUGAUUGCAGUCACUAGCCAAGCAGUAAAAGCCAACAAAUAGGUACAUCUGCCCAUUCACGACACCUGACUUUCAAUUUCAGUGGCCCAAUACCAUUUUCACUUUCAGAUACUAAUAGAAAAUUUCUCUGAAGAUGUUGGAAGGGGGUAAAUGAUGAAGAUCAAAUAAAAAUUUUCCUUAUCAUAGCUGCAGCCUAUUCUCAUGCUGGUAUGUUCUUGAUUGCUCCAAUAGAUGAAUUUUUCUUUUUUUCCUUUUAUCUUUUUGUGCAAGUUGAUCAGCUUCAAUUCAUCAAUUCAGUUGCUUUUUAAGUUGUUUCACCAAGAGGUGGAUUCUGACUGCAGUUAUGUCUUGGCAUCUUCUCUUAAAUUUUGUUAGUCAGGCUGUUUUUAUCCUCUGUUUUGACACAGACACAACUAUUCUUGUGGCUUAGCAUGAUUGACCCGACUUCACAUAUAUACUUACGAAUUGUUUUAAAGCAAGACAAUGCAUUCACUCUUUUUAAUUACACAAUUACACAAUUACACACAAAGCCUCAAAUAUUUUGCUUUUUUCAGGAAUUAUAUGUUACUUCUUUAGAUCUUUGAAACUAGCACAGUAUAUCAAAAUUAAUAGAAGUUCAUUGUUGGUUUAUGUAUGCUAACUUUAAGGUAUUUUACAUUAAGGCUAUAACAGUUUUGUUUUGGUUUCAGUUUGAUCUUAAGAAGAUAGGAGUUGGCAAUAAAACCUUCUGGUUGACUUUGUAUAUGAAUUACGGUAUCUCAAGAAAGGUGUCCAUAUAUUGGUUGGUCCCUUAACCUCCAGUUAUUAGGGCUGCCAGCAGUAUUUAGAAGGCUUAUCACAGGCUGUCUUGUUCUAAAACAAAGGUGCAUAAAGGAGAAAGGGGAGUGUUGGCCCAACAUUGUCCAUCUCCCCUGCAUGGAGAUUAACUGUGAUAACUUGAGAUUGAAGGUCAUUUCUCUAUGCUCAAACUUAGAAGGAAAAUUCAUUCAACCGUAUCCCAUCCUUACUUUUAAUCAGGUAUGACCAUUCAUAUUAUCAAUGCAGUUUUAUUUGAAUUCUAUUUUUCCCACUCAGAAAGAGAGAAGAAAAAGCAAACAGAAAGAAAGAAAUCAAAGACCGCAGUCCCCUCCUUAUAUCAAUUAUUAGAUUUGCCUGUCCAUACACAAUGCAUAAUUCCCAAUACCAUUUACUGUUAGAUAAUUUUAGAAAUUUCUUGGUUACAUGUAGGGAGUCAAAAGCAAUGCAGAUGAAAUCUGAGGUUUCUUAAUCAUAAUUUUGUCCUUUUUGGUAUGUUCUCGAAUCUUGAUCCCAAUAGCCAGAUGAUUGGUUUUUAAUUUUUAUUUUUUUUGGAUAUGCUUAAUUUUUGUUUCAAGUAUUCUUCUACCAGCACUGCAAUCCCUUCUUAAUUUAUGAUGGGAUUUUUCACUAAUGGUUCGGUGGCCAUGAAGUAGGUUUUUAUUACAGUUGUGGCUAGAUAUUUCUUUUCAUAUAUAUAUAUAUAUAUAUAUAUAUUGCUCUUAUCUUCCUUUCCACACAUGCACAUAAUUUUUCAAGAGUAAAGAGCCUUGGCAGAUCUAUCAUUUUUUGCAGUGCUUUGGACCCUUUCUUUGGCCAAGAAAUGUAGUUUCAUAUCUCACUCUGGUCAGACACUUUUUGUUCUUAUAGUUUCUUUAUAGAAUUUACCCUUUUCAAGUACAUGGUAACACACAAAGCCUUAAAUAUGUUUCUUAGUUAUUCACUGAAUGCAUAUGCUAUUUUGAGAAAAUGACAAUCAUUGAAUGCUUAAGCUUAGGUGCCUUUUGCCGAAGGAAGGGCUGUUAGUAGCCACACUUCUUGAUCUAUAAAUUCAGGGCUUUGCCCUUUGAUGGUCGAAGUUGAGAGGAUUAACCCAAAAUAGUGCACAUCCCAACUUAGGGAUAGCUUUUCUUCUAUGAACACUUUUUUUUUUUUAAUUUUAUUUUUAUAUCACAAAACUGGAAGCAGAUGACAUCUCAUUCACAAAAGACAACUCCUAUGGACUUGAUACAAGUUUCUACCUUGAUACUUGAAAAGGUGAAACAUAAAUUUUUACCUUUGAUACCAUUCUCUUGCAUUGCCUUCUAGCUCAGUGAGGCUUCCAUUGGGUCGUGGUGUUGGUGGUCAAUUUCCAUAUUCAUUGCCUUUUCAGAUGACGAAUUUCUGUUUCUAUAAUUUAUAGUCCCUAGCUUCCCUGGUUACCACUUACCAGAACCUCACUUCUCUUGCAGUGCUGUUCAUCUCAAAUGUCCCAAGCUCAGGUCAUUUUUUCAAAGGAAAUUUCCUAUUGUUAACAAGGCGUCCAAAGGAGAAAGAAGAAGAUUGAUUCAAAACUGCACGGAUCCCCUGUUCAGCUACUUCAUUGGAUAUAUGAGUUGGAACUAAAUUCUGUUUUCUGUGCACAAAAAGAGAAGAAGAUACAUUUCUUCCUUCCAUUUUUUCAUGCAGGUCUGCCUGCCUACUCACAAAUACACAACGUCUAAUAUCAUUGGUUCAAAAACAAUUUCAGUUAUAUAUUGAUGGAAAUUUCCUCUCUCUCUGCAUGUAGGAGGAAAAGAACAACAAAGGAAAUGAAUUUAAAAAUUUUCCAACCAAAGCUCAGCCUAUUCAAAGGGUGGUAGGUUAAUGAUGUGAACUGUAGAUGAUGUUUUUUUCUGUCUUUUCAAGUAAAUCUAAUAGUUCUCUGCUCUGGAGGUUGAUAUGCUUCAUGUUUUAUUUCAUUGUGUUUGUAUGGCCCAAGAAAUUGCAUUUUAAAUGAUCGCUAGAAUUUCAUUGAUGAUUUGAGUAGAGGUGGAUUUGGAAUGCAGUUACUGUGGAAAGUAUAAAGCAAAAUCAAAUAUAAUCAAAUUUAUUUAAAAUUUUAUAUAAAUUCUUCAUUCUUUAUAUAGAGGAUGAAAAUAUGUUUUAAGAUGAUUGGAAAUUUUAUUAACUUUAAUAUCAAGUUUUUUUCGUCAUUUUUAGUUUCCUUCAAUUUUCCCUCUAUUCUUUUCCCUUGUACUUUCUCUCAAACAUUCCAUGAUCCAAAUAGAGUCUCAUUGUUUUUAAUUUUAGAACUAUCACAAAAUUGCUCUGAAGGGACUAGAAGGAUGUGCUUGGAAGUUUUUAGAACAGAACGUAUAUCACACUUAUUAAACAUGAAGCAAUUUAUUCAUUGAGCUGUAAACUGCCCCUUUUUUUACCAUAUUAUGGUUGGUGCAUGCAUGAUGUGCUUAACAAAUAUCCUAGCAUAGUAAGAAUUGCAUGACAAUCUUUAAAGUUGUCAAUGUAAUUGUGUUACAAUGUUUAAAGUUUUUAAUUUUGAUUUUUUGUUUAGUAGCCAUUUUGGUAUCUGUAUUUAGUCCUGUGUAUGACAAUUUCCUCUAUGCUACAGAGUUCCCCUUUGGUCAGAUAGUGAGAGGCUUCAUCUUAAAUCAAUUCAACCUUAACUUUUUCAUUGGGCUUGGAUAUGAUCAAGAAUAAUUGCAGAGUGGUUAAGGAGGGAUUUCCCAUGGCAAAGAAUGGGGAAUAAGUUAAGAAUCGGGAUGAUUUUCUCACCAUAUAAGAUAAUGGGUUUGGGUACGACAAGGUUGGGGCCAUUCAACAAGGCUUAUUAGGCAACUGUCUUCAGAGAUCUGCAAUGGGGGCCAGAUUGUUGAGGAAAGAUGAGAGGAAAAUGAGGUGAAGGUUAUUUGGUGAUUUUGUGGAAAGCCAUUGAAAAUGGUUUUCAAAAACUUUAAUAAACCUACAACACAUAGGAUUGGGGUGAUAAGAGCAAGCUUAGAUUUUGGCUGGAUUUUUUGCACAGUGAUAGCAUCCUAAAUUGAAGCCUAUUCAGACUCAUUCAAAUUUGUCAUGAGAUGCAGACAGAAGCCAGAAGCAAAUUUUCUUUGAAGGAGGUAUCGGACAUUAGGGUGCAAGGAAGUUAUCACUUUCCAUGGGGAAAGCCCAUAUAAAUAGAGUUUUUUUUACUGAUAAUCAGGUGAACAGAUGAAAAAUCCUCCCAAAUUGCUUUUGUUAUAUGACCAAAUUUGCUGCAAAACAGCAUAUGAGUUGGUAGUGCAUUUUUUGGUGACUGCAGGGUUAAUGGACCUUUUUGGGUGUUGUGGGUGACCUCAAACCAUACAGAAGUUGUUAUCAGGUUGUCACAGAAGAGUUGUGGCUUAGCACCAAAGGACAAUGUGGAUGACAGGUUUUCUAAGCAUUUAGUCUAGAAUGGAUGGAGAAAAAAGAGAGAAGAAAUUCUCAAGGGAAUGAGGUUUCUUUAACAUGUAAGAACAAAUGGCUUUUAUCACGAGUUUCCUUGAUGAUAUGUGUUUUUCAAUGCAUUCUCUUCCCUUGAUAAUUAUCUUUUUUGUUUUUUUCCUUUUUUGUUUCCUUUUGGGAUCCACAUAUAUACUUUGAAUCCUUUGUCUGCUUCAGACCCUUCUAUAGUCAUGCUUUUGAGCAGUUAAGAAGAUACUAGAUUAUUUAUUGGAUGCUCAUGAACUUUUUUUUUUUCAAAUUUUUAGGGUAUUCAAGUUUAGACGCAUUCUGCAGGGGAGCUACAACAUGGUCUUACACCUCUGGGAAGCCCCAUAAGUACUCUUGUUGUAUUUUGGAGUUCCAUUGCUAAGAUGGGGAAAUACUAAAAAAAGUUGCUUACACACCUUUAUAUGUAUGUAUAAAUUCAAUUGAGUAGGCCUCAAUACUGGUGGUCAAUUUCCAUAUUGGUUUCCUUUUCAGAUGAUUAAUUUCUAUUUCUACAACCUUUCUUCCCUAGGUCUCCAAAACAUCACUUCUCUUACAGUGCCAUUCAUCUCAAAUUGCCCUAAGCUCUGGUCCUUCUGCCAAAAGCAGGGCUGCCUGCAAGAUCCUCAAUGCUUGAAAUUCUUAAACAAGGUGCCUAAAGGAAAAACAAGAAUAUAGAUCCAAGACUGUGCACAUACCCUAUAUUCAGCUACAUCACUUGUUGGACUAUAUGAGUUGGAAUUGGAUUCUACUUUCCCUGCUCAACCAUAGAAGCAGAGACCAAUAUUCCCUUCUUUUUUCAGCCAGGUAUGCCUACCUAAUCACAAAUACACAGCUCUCCUUAAGUAUAUCUGAAAGUUAAUAUGUGCCAUCCCUUCUAACACAAUAUUUGUAUGGCCAACUUAAUUAAUUAUUUUUUAGUUUCUCCCUAGAUUUUUCAUUGAUGAUCUCAUUGGAGGUGAAUUUUGAUCGCAAUUAUGUAUUGGUGUUCUCUUGAGCUUUGUUCCUUAUAUUGCUCUUUUUUCCUCUGUUCCAUGAUCCUGUCCUACUUUCCAAAUCAUAUCUACAAUAUGCAUAUAUUUUAUGUACAAUUUUCUGGGAUGAAAGAUAUUUGGGUGACAUCACCUUUAUAUAGUUCAAGCACAAUUUAUGAAUUCAUUUGCCCCAAAACAAAUGUUGGUGUGCAUCGCAAAGUCUAGUGAGAUAUCUUUUUUAUUGAGUUUCUCUAGAGCAGUUACUCUUUUUAUUUACACAAUAAUAAGCAGUGCCUAGUUACAUAUUUUAAUUGCAUAAAAGCCGCCUUUACUGUUUUCAUAAUCUCUAAACAUGCUUAAAAUUUUAAUAACAUGUAUCUAAUGGGAAAUAAAGGAAAAUCGAAACAUACCUCCAACCAUUGAUGGUUUGAGAAUCCGAAAAUCAAAUUUGAUAUUUAAAUAGGUUAUGUCUAAAUAAAGAUUGGAGGCUUAGGAACCUAACCACAAAGACUCUAUUUAUAUGCACUUUGCUUGAGUAAUGUCAUAAUUAUAGUUGUUAAUGACAAUCAAAAAAGAAAACUAUAUGAAUGAAAUCCAUAACAUUAUGAGCCAGAUUUUUGGACCCAUUUAGGAAAGCCUAGCAUUAUUCCAAUGGAAGAUUAUGACCCAGAUUUUUGUACCCUUUAGGAAAAUCUAACAUAUUUUUCAAUCACAACAUGGAAGCAAAAACCCCAACAAUCCCAUUAAUACAUUAAGAUUAAGAGAAUAAUUAAUUUAAUAUAUUAUUAGUGAAGUUUUUAUUUUUUCUACCUUAGCAUUUUCAAUGGAUAAACAUAACUUAUUUAUGAAAAGACAACAUUUGAAAAGAUUUAUUUUAUUUAUUUAAUAUUUUAAUUGGACUAAUAUUAAUAUUUGUAAAAUUUUUAAUAUUAGAAAUUUUAACUUAUUUAAGAGUAUUGUUUAUUUCUUAAAAAAAUAACAUAUUUAAGAAAUUAAUCUAUGUUCAAAUUAUUACACUAUCUUUAAAAUUAAUAGAAGUUUUUAUUUCAAUAAUAUUGAUUGAUAUACUUCUCUUAACAAUAGGAUAAAGUAUGAUUCAAUUAUAUUCAAAUAUGGCACUAUGCAUUAUAAAUACUUUGAGAAAAUAUAAUGAUAAUUCAUGAGUCAUUCUUUCAGCCUAAUUUAUGCAUUUUUAAUGUGUUUGAAUUUAAUAAAGUCUUUGUUGAAGGAGUUUUCAAUAAUUUUGAUUCCUCUUAAAUUAAUUUUAUAAUUAGAUAAUUUUUUAUUUCAAUUAAAUCAAAAUAUGACAUAAUCUAUUAAAUAAGAAAUUAUAAUAAUAAUAAUGGAAAAUUAAUGAAUCAUUGAAGUUUUUAAUGUGAAAAAGUUAGAAUUCACAUUUAAUUUUUUUAAUUUGUUAAAUCUAAAAUUAUAUAUAAACUAAUAUAUUAUUAUAUUUUUAAUGUUAUAAAUCUAAAUUAUAUAUUAAAUAAUGUAUUUAAUAAUCAAGGUGAGGAAUGGGGUUCCAUCCCUGAUUCGGACUCUUCACUCCGAUCCCAACUCCAACAAGCCUACCCUACAUGUUGAUUUUUGUAGACAUGCUGCUGUUGCCUUUUCUUGAAGAUAUUCCAACAGCUUUUGGUCAUACUGCCCAGUGACAGCUCUGGUUUGAUAGGAUUACUAUUCUUUGAUUAUGGAUUUUAAAACUUAUGUAUGCUGUCCUUAGGCAUCACAUUCAAAAUUCAACCGCAGGAGAUGUGUCUUCUAGUCUGGCCUCUUCCAACUCGGGUGAUUUGGAAGUAUUCCCCGUAAUGAGAAGUUAAGCUUAUAAAUCUUAUGAGACCAACACUUCUACUUUGGUCUCAUCAAAGCUUUUGUAGUAAAAUUUAAAAAUCUAAAAAAUCAAUAUAGUAUUAAAAAAUCACUUAUAGUGUUUUUUGUAAAUAUAUUAAAGAGUUUAUUUGAUAGGAAUUUUAAUAAGUGUUUCUAAUAUUUUUUAUAAUUCAAAAUUUUUAUCUUUCAAGCAUCCGAAAAAUUAAAAACACUUCGAAAAAUUACUAUAAAAUAUAUUCUAAGAUUACAUUUGACAGUGAUUUAAAAAAGCAUUUUUAAUUUUUUUUAAUACUUAAAAAAUAAAUAUUUUAAAAUAUUAUAAUGGUCUUCUUAAACUCGUUAUCAAGUAAACUCUUAAUAGUUGAUUCUUUUAAAAAUGCUUUAAAAAAAAUACCAAAUGGAAUCACUAAAAACACCGUCAUACCACUUAUAUUUAUUUUGUACUAAGCAUUAAAAAAAUCUAAAAAUUAUAUAAAAACUAUAUAUUCAACCUCCCAUUAUUAUUUUUUUCCUCCAUUAGUAAGAGUACUUCCUACACUUUCUAUUGUUUGGAGCUUCUUUGGGUAUCUUUGACAGAUUAAGAGUUUUAUUUUAUUUUAUUUUAUUUUAUUUUAUUUUAUUUUUUAUGAAUUUAUCAGCACCAACCAAAAAAAAUAUCAUAUUUUCUCCUUACCUGCCGGCCCAUGGACUGCAGUCCGUGUGGACCAAGACGGGAAUCCUACGCCAUAUUCAACCUAACUAACAAAUACUAAAUAUAUUUUUCUUCUGAAGUUGCAGAGAGUCCCCUUAAUCCUUGUUACGUACAAUCUAUUCUGCAGAUUUGCAUAGAGUUCCCUCAAUCCCUUGUUACCCUGCAAACCAAAAAUAUGGCUGGGUUUGUUGGAGAAGCAGUUCUAUCUGGUUUCAUCCAGAAGCUGGUUGACAUGGUCACCUCCCCGGAGCUGUGGAAGUAUGCAUGGAAAGAGCAAGUGGAUUCUGAGCUGAACAAGUGGAAGAAAAUAUUGAUAAAGAUCCAUGCAGUGGUCCAUGACGCAGAGGGGAAGCAGAUGACAAACCCCUGGUCAACAUGUGGCUAGACGAGCUCAGAGACUUGGCUUACGAUGUGGAGGACAUCUUGGACGACUUCGCCACCGAAGCUUUGCGAAGCAGCUUGAUCAUGGCUCAACCCCAACAGGGCACUAGUAAGGUACGAGGCAUGCUCUCUUCUCUCAUUCCGAGUGCUUCUACGUCUAAUUUUAGUAUGGGUUCUAAGAUCGAGGAGAUCACUGCAAGAUUACAAGAUAUUUCAGCCCAAAAGAAUGACUUGGAUUUACGAGAGAUUGCCGCAGGGUGGUCUGAUAGAAAGAGAAAGCGAGCACAGACACUGCCUAACACUUCUCUGGUGGUUGAAUCCCGUGUUAUGGUAGAGAAACAGAUAAAGCGGCCAUAGUCGACAUGUUGCUCAAGGAUGAUCCAAGUAGUGAUGAGGAAGUCUCUGUAAUUCCAAUUGUCGGUAUGGGAGGUAUCGGCAAAACUACUCUGGCUCAGCUUGCCAUCAAUGACGAUAAAGUGAAGGGCCAUUUUGAUUUGAGAGAAUGGGUAUAUGUUUCUGAUGACUUUGACGUUUCGAGAAUAACCAAGACCAUUCUACAAUCUGUUGAUCCGGGUACUCGUGAUGUCAAUUAUCUCAAUUUGCUUCAGGUCAAUUUGAAGGAGAAUUUUUCUGGGAAGAAGUUUCUUCUUGUGUUAGACGAUGUUUGGAAUGAGAAUUGUCAUGAAUGGGAUACUUUGUGCAUGCCAAUGAGAGCUGGGGCACCAUUGGCAGAAGGCUUUUUGCAACAAACAAAGGGGAAUACCAGGCCAGAAGACUUAGGUUCUAAAUACUUGGAUGAUCUGUUCUCCAGGUCAUUUUUUCAACAUUCAAGUCAAUAUUCAUCCUGAUAUGUGAUGCAUGAUCUCAUCAAUGAUCUAGCUCAAUCAGUUGCAGAAGGAAUAUGCAUGCUUUCAUUUGGAUAGUGCAUGGGAGAAUAACAAACAAUCCACCAUUUAUGAGAAGGCUCAUCAUUCAUCAUUCAAUUCUAGAAGGUCCCAAAUGUUGAGAAAAUUGGAACACUUACAUAAGGUGAAGUGUUUGAGAACAUUGGUUGUACUGCCGAUCGAUAUAUUUUCUCCGUAUUCAAUAUCAAGCAAGACGCUAGAUGGCCUUUUAAAGGAAGUGAAAUGUUUGCGAGUAUUAUCUUUAAGUGACUCCAUAAUAAAUAAGUUACCCAAUUUGAUUGGCAAUCUUAAAUAUUUGUGGUAUCUCAAUUUGUCCAAAUCUUUCAUAAAAAAGUUACUUGAUUCGGUGGGUCAUCUUUACAAUUUACAAACACUGAUCUUAUCUUAUUGCCAGAGACUUACCAUGUUGCCUAUGGGAAUUAGAAACCUUAUCAAACUUCCACACCUUGAUAUCUCUAAUACAUCUCAAUUACAAAAAAUGCCUUCUCAAAUCGGAAACCUAACAAAUCUACAAACCUUAACUAAGUUUAUUGUGGGCGAAGGCAACGGCUAGGGGAUAAGAGAAUUGAAGAAUUUGUUUGAUCUUCGAGGAGCGCUUUCAAUUUUUGGGUUGCACAAUGUAAUGGAUAUUCAAGAUGUAAGGGAUGCCAAUUUAGAGAGUAAGCACCACAUUGAGGAGUUAAGAGUGGAAUGGAGCAAUGACUUUGGUGCUUCACGAAAUGCAAUGCAUGAAAGGCAUGUUUUGGAGCAGCUACGACCUCGUAGAAAUCUAAAAAAGCUCACAGUUGCAUCUUAUGGUGGAUCAGAAUUCCCAAGUUGGAUGAAGGACCCAUCAUUCCCCAUAAUGACACACUUAAUUCUCAAGGAUGGCAAGAGAUGCAAAUCAUUACCAGCUCUGGGCCAAUUAUCCUCACUCAAAGUAUUGCAUAUUGAAGGGUUGAACGGAGUUAGCAGCAUAGAUGAAGAGUUUUAUGGAGGGAUUGCGAAGCCUUUUCCAUCCUUGGAGUAUCUAAAGUUUGAGGAAAUGGCUGAAUGGGAAUACUGGUUUUGUCCUGAUGCAAUUAACGAAGGUGAAUUAUUUCCAUGUCUUCGAGAGCUUACAAUAAGGGGAUGUCGGAAGUUAGGUAAACAGUUGCCCUGGUGAAACUUGACAUUAUUGAAUGUCCAAAUUUGGGAGUUUCUAUUUCAAGAUUUGCAUCUCUCGGUGAAGUAAGUUUAGCAGAAUGUAAUGAGAUGGUGUUGUCAAGUGAGGUUGAUAGUGGGCUUCAAACAGUCUCUAUGCGAGGAUGCGAUUGGCUUGUAUCAUUGGAGGAGCAAAGGCUGCCUUGCAAUCUUAAAAUUUUGAGGAUUAAAAAGUGUCUUAAUCUAGAGAAGCUGUCAAAUGGAUUGCAGACUCUCAUGUGUCUCGUGGAGCUGGAAAUGCUGGAAUGCCCCAAACUGAAGUCAUUUCCAGAUACGGGGUUGCCACCAUUGCCAAGACGACUUGUGAGUGGUUGCGAAGGUCUAAAAUUGCUGCCUCAUGACUAGAGCUCAUCUGCGCUUGAAUCCUUGGAGGUAUAUGCAUGUCCAUCUCUCAGAUGUUUUCCAAAUGGUGAGCUACCAGCCACACUAAAGAAAUUAUAUAUUGAAGAUUGUGAAAAUUUAGAGUCUCUACCAGAAGGAAUGAUGCACCACAAUUCUACUUGUCUUGAAAUAUUGUGGAUUAAUGGUUGUUCGUCUCUCAAGUCCUUUCCAACAAGGGAGUUACCCUCCACCAUUAAGCGACUUCAGAUUUGGUAUUGCUCCAACUUGAAGUCCAUGUCAGAGAACAUGUGCCCCAACAAUUCAGCUCUUGAAUAUUUAAGGCUUUGGGGUCAUCCAAAUCUGAGAACCCUACCAGACUGCCUUCACAACCUCAAGCAGCUAUGUAUAAAUGAUCGUGAAGGUCUGGAGUGCUUUCCAGCAAGAGGCUUGUCCACCUCCACCCUCACAACCUCAAAUUUUUUUGUUGACUUUCUAUGACUAUUGUUUUGGAUUUACUUGAAACAUAGUAAAUUUAGUUAUUUUUCUUCUUCAAGUGUUUAUAAUUAAUGAACUUAGAUGUGGAUACCUAGAUGCAAUUUUCUAUUCAAAUAUUAGAGUUGCUAUGGGAAAGAUGAAUGAAGGAAACCUAUAAAUGAUGAAGCUUAAGCUAGCCAUGGACGUAGAGGAUUCAAGUUGGUGCUGAAUCAAAAGAAUGAAGAGUCAUGCAAUGCUUUCCAAAUAUUCCUAAAUUGUAAUGUUUACUUGUCAUUCCAUUUAAUCUUUGGAAGAAUUAUUUCAACAGAUCCCUUCAUUAUUUCUCUCCCUGUAUUUGCAUCUAAAUAUCACUCAUUCAACCUCUGUGUAAACUAUUUUGACAUAUUACAUUUCCAUUAAUAGUGUUGCUGAAGUUCUCACAAUUUGAUCUCCAAUUCCUGCUAAUUCAAGAUGCGUCUUAUUUGACAGGAAUGUUCCAUUCCCUUGAUGAAUAAGGGAUUUUGGCUGCAGUGACUAGUCAAGCAAUGAAAGCAAACAAAUAGGUACGUCUGCCCGUUCACGAUACCUGACUUCCAAUUUCAGUGGCCCACUACUAUUUCCACUUUCAGAUACUAAUAGAAAAUUCCUCUGAAGAUGUAGGAAGGGGAAAAGGAUUGUGAAGUUUAGACGAAAAUUUUCCUGUUCAUAGCUGCAGUCUAUUCCCAUGCUGGUAUGUUCUUGAUUUCUCCAAUAGGUGAUAUUUUUUUUCCUUUUAUCUUUUUGUGCAAGUUGAUCGGCUUCAUUCUUUAUACUAGUAUGGUUCUAUCACCAAUUUAGUUAUUUUUUAAGAUGUUUCAUUGAUGUCUUCACCAAGAGGUGGAUUUUGAUUACAGUUAUGUCUUGGCAUCUUCUCUUAAUUUUGUUCUUCAUGCUGCUUUUAUCCUCUCUUUUAACACAGACACAACUAUUCUCUUAGCAUAGCGUGAUUGACCUGACUUUGCAUAUAUACUUAUGAAUUGUUUUGCUGCAAAACAAUGUAGUUUCAUGUAUGAAACUCUGAUGUGAUAUCUUUUGAUUUUAAAGUUCCAGAUUGCAUUUACUAUUUUUAAUUAAAAAUUACACACAAAGCCUCAAAUAUUUGGUUUUUUUCGGGAAUUAUAUGUUUAGAAGUUCAUUGGUUGCUUAUGUAUGUUAACUUUAAGGACAAUUUGUGUUAAGGGUAUAACAGUUUUGUUUUGGUUUCAGUUUGAUCGUAAGAAGAUUGCAGUACUUUGGACCCUUUCUUCAACCAAGGAAUGCUGUUUCAUAUCUCACUCUGGUAAGGCAUCUUUUCUUUUUUUAAUAGAAUUUACCCUUUUUAAGUGAACAUCUUAUCUUAGAUGUUCACUGGAUGCAUGCAAUCUCUGAAUGCUUAGGCCUUGGUGCCUUCUGCCAAAGGAGGGCUGUUGGUUGCCACUCUUCUGAAUCUAGAAAUUCAGGGCUUCAUUGUCUAAAACAUUUAUUAUUUGACGGUCGAACUGCCUACUCAUGAAAGCACAACGUUUAUAUCACUGGUUCAACAUCAGUGUUAGUUGUUAUAUACUGAUGGAAAUUUCCUUUCUGCAUGUAGGAGGAAAAGAACAAGGGAGAUGAAUUAAAAACUUUUCCAACCAAAGCUUAGCCAAUUCAAAUGGUGGUAUGUUAAUGACGUCAACUGUAGAUGAUAGUUUUCUGCUCUGGAGACUGAUAUGCUUCAUCUUUCAUUUCAUUGUGAUGGUGUGGCAAAGUAAAUUGCUCUUUGAUUGAUCACUAUAGCUUUUCAUUGAUGGUUUCACUAGAGAUGGAUUUGGAAUGCUAGUAAGUCUGAUAGUUCUGUUCCUUACAGUGCUCUUUUCCUAUGUUCCCCUUUCUACGUACAGUUAUAAUGCGUAUAUUUGUAUGUAUGAUUUUUCAGGAUGAAAGAGACUUGAUCCACAUCCUAUUGCCUUUUGCAGAAUUUUGACCCCUGACAUCACCUCUGUAUAGUUCAAGCAUAGCUUAUGAACUCAUUUGCCACAAAACAAAGGAAUGUGUGCAUCUUGAACUCCAGUAAGAUAUAUUUUAGUUGCACAAAACCAUUAGGCUCCAUUGGGAUCAUGAAAAGUGCUAAGGAAAAAAAUGGUAGAACCAAUCAAAAUUCUCUUGCUUGGUUUACCAUGGAAAGUACAAAGCAAAAUCAAGUAUAAUCAAAUUUAACUAAAAUUUUACAUAUUUUUAAAUUCUUCAUUCUUUACAUAGAGGAAUGAAAAAGCCAUGUGUUCGAAGAAACAUGGAUGAAAAUUUUAUUAAAUUUAAUAUCUAUUUUAUUAUCUCUCUUCGUCUUUACUUUCAUUCCACUUUUUUUUUAAUAGGCAAAGGCAAAUUGAAUUAAGAAAACGCCAAAAACAGAGGGCGCACUCUACAUAUAUAGGCAAUAUACAAUAAGAGCCAAACCAGGCUGCAAAAUUCGUUCCACUUUCUCCUCCUUUCUUCCCCUCAAACUUUCCAUGAUCCAAACAAAGUCUCACUAUUUUUAAUUUUAAGUCUUUCACAAAAAUUGCUCUUAAGGAGAACGAAGGAUGUGUUUGGAAGUUUUUAAAAUAAAAUGUAUAUCACACUUAAUAAACAUGAAGCAAUUUCUUCUUUGACAUAUAAUCUUCCCCUUUUUGACCAUAUCAUUGUUGGUGCAUGCAUGGUGUGCUUAACAAAUAUCCUAGCACAGCAAGAAUUGCAUGGUGAUAUUUAAAGUUGUAAAUGUAAUUGUAUUACAAUGUAGAAAAGUUUUUAAUUUUGAUGUUUUUGUAUUUGUACCCAUUUUGGUGUCUAGACUCAAUCUUGUGCAUGACAUUUCCUCUAUGCUGCAGAGUUCGUCUUUGGCCAGACAAAAAUGAUCAAUGAAUGUGAUAAUAAAGGUUUUCCUGAAGGCUUCCUGUUAUUUUCUCUGGGCUUGGGAAUGAUUGGGAAUAAUUGCAGGGUGGUUGUGGAUGGAUUUCUCGUGACAAAGAAUGCAGAAUAAGUUAAGACUUAGAAUCGGGGAUGAUUUUCUCACCAUAAUGGGGUUCGGGUACAAGAAGGUUAGGGUCAUUAAACAAGGCCUUAUUAGGCAAAUGGAUAUAGAGACCUACAGUGGGGCCCAUUGUGGAGGAAGAUGGUAAGGAGGAAGAAUGGGAGGAAGAUGAGGUAAAGGCCAUUUGGUGAGUUUGCAGAAAGGCAUUGGAAAUGGUUGUCAAAAAAUUUGGUAAACCUACAACACACACAUGAUUGGGGUGAUAAGAACAAGCUUAGAUUUUGGCUGGAUGUUUUGUACAGUGGUAGGAUCCUAAAUUGAAUCCUAUCCAUACCCAAUGAAAUUUGUCAUGAGAUGCAGAGUGGAGCCGGAGGGAACUUUUCUUUGAAGGAAGCAUAAGACAGUAGGGUGUCAAGGAAGGUGUCAAUUGUCAUGGGGAAAGCCCAUUCAAAUAGAGUUAUUGCUACUGAUAAUUAGGUGAACAGAGGAAAGGCCCUUCCCAAAUUGCUUCCAUUAGAUGAGAAAAUAGGCAGAAGAAACAGUAGAUCAGUUGGUGAUGCAUUUUUUGGUGACUGCAGAUUAAUGGUAAUCUUGGGUGCUGAAGGUGACGCCUCGGACUGUAUAAGGAGUUGUUAUCAGGUUGUCACAGAAGAGUUGUAGCUUAGAGCCGAAGCACUAUGUGGAUGGCAGUGAUUUUAAGCUUUUAGUCUAGAAUAGAUGGAGAAAAAAAAAAUAGAAGAAAUUCUUGAGGGAAAGAGGCUUCUUUAACAUGUAAGAACAAAGGGGUUUUUGUCAUGAGUUUCCUUGAUGAAAUACGACAGUCCAAUGCAUUCUCUUCCUUUGAUGGUUAUCUUUUUAUCUUUUUCCUUUUCUAUUUCCUUUUGGGACCCACGUAUACACUGAAUCUUCUAUCUGCUUUGGACUCUUCUGUAGUCAUGCUUUAGAGCAGUUAAGAACAUAUUGCCUUUAUUGAUUGGAUCCUCAUAAACACUUGUUUUCAUUUAGUAAGAUGAGUCCAUUUAUAGUUCAUUAGCUUACAAGAAGAUUUUUUUUUCCAAAUUUCAGGGUAUUCAUGUUUAGACACAUUCUCCAGGAGGGGGGCUACAACUUGGUCUUGCUAUAAUUGUGCUCAAUAAGUCUUAUUGCAUUUUUGGAGUUCCAGUGCUAAGGUAGGGAAUAACUAUAAAAUGUUGUUUCUAUAUACAUAUAGAUAUAUUGCUUUUGAAGCUUUAGCAUGUGGACCUGGUCAAUGCUAUAAGCUUAUGGAACACAAUUACAUCCAUUGUCCUCUAACUAGUCCUUGUUAUUUCUUCUCUCCCACUCAAUGCCACAAAACCAGCUUCUGCAGGUUGCUUUUGGUGCAUCUAGUAGUGUUGGUAUCCUCAGCUCCAGAGCCUCGUACCGGAAAGAAGAGCCUCAUCAGCUCCCUAGUCAUUGGAAUACCUUAAAGGGGAGUUGUGGGUCUUACCAAAUAGCUCAAAAAGAUUGAACAGUUCCUCAGACAACACUAUGGGAGAGCCCAUUUGGCUAUAUGCUUCUCUUUCAUUUUGUCCAAGCCACUCUGCCUGCACAAAUCUACUACUGCAUUUACAUUGAUGGGUCUGUCAUAAUCGUUUUUGGGAUUGGGAUUGGGAUUGGGGUUGGGACUGGGACUGGGACUGGGUUUCUCUUAUAUUCACUGUAUCUCAAUAUGAUUAUGGAUGCUAAGUGUGAUAAAAAUUGUUGAAUGAUAAAUAUAGGAAUUCAGAGUAGAAGACCAAUUUUCUGGUGAGUUAUUGCUCUCGGAAGAGAUUGGAAGCCUGGUCAACCUUGACAUCUCAAUCUUACUCAUGCUCUCAAAUUAUAAAAUUGAAACAUUUGUUGCUGGAUCCUCGGGAAAAUAUUUGUAUUUCAGGGCUGUUUAGUGUGGUUAAUGUCAGAUAUGGAAAAUAAAUAAAUUUAUUUUGAUAAUAUUUAAACUAAUAAUAUAUUUUAAUAUUAAAAUAAAUAUAUGUAUUAUAAAAUUAAUUGAUUUUAUAUACUAAUUUCAAUACAUAAAAAUAAUUAUAAUUAUUACUAAUAUAUUACUUAUAAUUAUAAUAUUUAUAAAAGUAAAUUAUGUUUACCAUCUUAUCUUGAUUUUAAAAAAUAAUUUGGUUUUUUAUCCCGAAUUUUAUCUUUCAAUUAAUUUAAUUAAUUAUUAUUAAAAUAUAAAUUAAUUUAAUUUUAGACUCUUUCUUCUUUCUACUAUAUACAAUAAAUAUUUUAAUUAUUAAACUUCAUUUAUUAUUUUUUGUUUCUUUCACUUACUUCCACAUCACUUCUUCAUAUUAAUAUUGCUUUCGAAAAUAAUUUUAAAUUAGAUCAUAAUUAUUUUCAAUCAAUUCAAAAUAUUGAGGAUAAAUAAAUUUUAAUUUUAAGGAAAUUACUCAUUGAAGAAAGGUUUUUAAGUCAUGUUGCAUUUUAUUAUUAGUUAAAAAUAUAAUUAAAAAUAAGAAAAUACAUAGUAUUCAUAUGAUAAUAUAAUUAUUAUAAAAUCAAAAAAUUUAUGGGCACAACUACCAUGCUUAGAGGGCUUUUUAAGCACCGCAUCCCCAUGGGCACAAAAAAUUUAUGGGAAAGUUAGUGCCCGUGACAACUACCAUGUUUUUUGAGUUAUAAUGUUGUAGUAUUCAUAUGCUUUUUAAGUCAGUCUUUUUCUCUUGCAAUAACAAGUAGACCCACCGAAUUGAUUUCGUAAAUUGUAGCGGGCAAGGGUUCUCACUCAAUUUUGUUUGGGCGAAAAACAAUUGCAAGUUAUCAAGACUAUUGCAAUAUAGUAAUUUGUACACCACCUCAAAAUAGUAUGGAUUUAACUCUAAUUAAAUAAUCAAAAAAUAUAAAAGAAAUUAAUCAUUUUAAUUAUAUUUAACUUUUAUCGGUACUAUUUUUUUUUCUUUUUCUACUACUUUUCGGGAACCAAACCUGGUCAAAGCAUUUUAUAAGUACGAAGCAAACAAUAUUUGUGUGCUUUAGGAGUUGUUGGGAAUGUUUAAAAAGCAAGUCUCAAGAAAAAUCAUUUGAAUUUUUUUUUAAAAAAUAAUUUAUAAUUAUUUUCGAGAGCAUAAUUUCUUUUUUAAGGAAUUUAAAUAUGAAAAAAUAAAUGUUUUUUAAGCAUAAUUGUUAUUUGUAUUAGAUGAAAAACCAAUGUCUCGAUAGGGUAAUACCCAAAUGGGGUGAAUGACUAUAUUUCAAAGAUUUUAAUAUAAUAAUUGAAAAUUUUAAUCUAAUUAAACAUUUGAGAAUCAGUUAAUCCUUUUUAACAUAAUUAAACCCAAUAGGAAAUUACAAAUGAUCAAUGACACUACACACAACACAAGAGGCUUUUUACAUGGAAAAUCCUCACACUCACUAUAAAAAUAAAAAAUCAUAGGGUUUAAGAUUUCAAAUCUAAAAUCCACUUUAUGAUAUUAUGAUAUAAAGUUUUACCUAACUGUUUACCCUAAGACUUUCUCUCUAGUACCUAUAUCACGACUUACAUUUGCAACGCAGUACCUUAAAUACUUCAAUGGAUUUGCCUUAACCUCUAAAGGGGAUGUAAGUCUCUUCACAUCUCAGAAUUUGUUCAAAGAACCUUUGAGAGCUUUUGCGAAUAGUAAGACAAGUUAGGGUAUUUUCUAAAUGAGAACUUCCAAUCUUAAAACACAUAUAGGCGGGGUAUAUAUAGGCUUAAAGAUUCUAGAAGGUCAAAAAUGAAGUUUUCUUUUUUUUAAAAAAAAAAAAAAUCUCAACUUUGUAAAAAUUAAUUAAGACAUUUUAGCUCAAUUUUGAAACUUCCAAUCGAAUCCUACCUUAUAUAUAUAAAAAAAAAAACUAAUUUACCUUGCUAGAAUAAAAAAGAAUAAAAUUGUCAACAACAAAAACAAAACAUAAUAUUCUAACAUUGAAUAACUUGAAUUCAGAAAUAAAUGAAUAUAUUGUUCAUUUUUACUUUUUAACUUCAACAUUUGAAACAUGUUCAUCUUAUCUCAUUCAUUUCCUAGGAUUUCUCUUCGACCUAUUCAAAAAUUUUAUUGUAAAUAAUCAACGAUCAAAUAUGGAUUUUUAUAUAAUCAUUAUCUAACAACAUUAUUAUAAUGACCUGAAUUUAGUUAAUGAUUAAUUUAACUUUGCUUAAUCCCUUAAUGAAAAUCAAUAUCAUGAUUAGUGAAUUAAUUGGUUAAUAAAUUAAAGAAAUUGGUUAGUUUAUUAAUAAGCUUGUUAAACUAAUUAAAGGAUGACUAAGAAUAUGUUGUAUUUAUCCGCAAAUUUUCCUACUAGUUAGUAAGCUAAUAGCUAAGAAUUUAGCAAAUCUUGAUCAAUUACUUGCUUAUAAGCAUUUCUCACCUUAAAAUUCAAUUAAAAAGGAGUUGGAACAGGUGUGAGAAAACAAUUAAGUAAGGAAUGCUAAGAUUAUUUUAAAAUUAAACACUUGAUAGUAACUUCUUGUGAACAAACAACUACUAACCUUAACCUUUGUUUGAGAAAAAAAACUCGAAACGUGUGAACAAUAAGACUUUCUUUAAGAAUGAAACCGAAGUUAGUCAACUUAUAGAAACCAAAGUUCAACCAAUCAACUUAUAGAAGUAGGAAAGCUUACAUGAAAAUAUUGUUUUGAUUCCUUACUUGAAUCUUGAGCAAACAUAUUUAAUAUACUUGGUGUUUGAAACAAGUUGUGAUAUGCUCUGAUUUGGUUAAGGUAUCCUAUUCUUGUGGAAAAUAACUUGUCGAUCCCGUUUGAGUAAUUUGAAAAAAUGUUCUUCAAAAUACGACUCUAUUAAACAAAGAUAAUAUAUUUUUCAAAAAAAAUGUAUAUAACUAUGUCAUUAGCUAGACAUGUUAACUAAAGCAAUUCAAAAAAUGUUUCAUCUCAUUUGGCAAUAUUUCUCAAUGGAAAUCACAAUGUUAUUUUAUGAGAAUAUAGCAAUCAACACUUGUGGGCCAUAUUUCACUACUCUAAGCAUUAGUUAGCCUUUCACCUCAAAGAUUUUUAUUUUUUUAUUUUUUCAAUCUUCCUAUGGCCUUCACCCUUUCACGUCAACAAGCAUUUUUAAAUCUUCCCAUGUGAUUACUACUCAAAAAGUGCUAUUUGAUAGCUUAUAAUUAAUCCUUUUAAACACUUUUGAGUAGUAGUUUUGGCAUUUUAACUCAAUUGGCAUGUUAAGGACCCUUGAAAGCAAUUUUAAUCACUUUGUGUAAGUUUUGGUGUUUUUGUUAGUAUUUUGAUCACCAAAGCAAUUCAAGUUUGAGGAGAAUUUUGAGGAAUCUUGGGCAAAGCUUGGAAGUCAUUUGCCAAGAGUAAAUCCGGAAUGCAAGGAGAAAAAGUAAAGAGAAUCUGCCAUGAAACAUAUUCUUGAUGACAGUCGUAGCAGCCACUUUUGGAGCACUUUCUGAAGUCCAAUUGAUGCAUGCUAUAUACCAUUUUAAAGCUCAAGAAGUCAACAAUCCAAUGCUUCAAACGGUACGCAAUUCGGAAUUGAAACGAAGAAGUUGCAGCCAGUGCAAGCCAAUCACUCCAAGCUAAAGGAAGCAUUUUGCAAAGUGCUGCGAAAUCACCCUUUUGUUGCGAAGUGAUUUCACAGCCUUUUUGUACAGUAGGGUGUAUUUCCUUCUGAAGUUGCCCGAUAUAUGCCGCAAGCUGGGAGUUGAGAACCUCAAGGUGGAAGCCAACUUCGCAGCCCUGCGAGAAUAGCUUUUUGUUGCGAAGUGAUUUCGCAGCCCUUCUUGAGUGUCUGCGAAAUCUCGCAAACACCAUUUUCUCUUGCAAAAUGGUUCCUGGAGCAUCCCGAUAUUUGCUACCGACAUUUGGAGAUAUUUUCUAUUAGAUUUUUGUUGUCUAAAUCCCAAAAUACUCCUUGUAAGCCACCAAUUACAAGAUUCCUUAGCUUUUAAGUUAGUAAAAAGAGAAAAUAACUAUGUAAUAAUUAGUUUUAUAUUAUGUUCAUAUAAGUACCUCUCGGGAGCCUGUUCUCAGAGAGGAGAUCCUUUUGUAAAGUUUUGGGUAAGCAAGUAAAGUUCAGUUCUUUGUAUUGCCUUUACCUUCUCACUUUGUAUUUUUAUUUUCUUACUAAGUUAUGAACUCUCUGAGGAGUUUUUCCUAGAGAAUGAGUAACUAAACCUCUAAUUCCUUGGAGCUAAGGUUGCCGGGGAAGGUUCCAAGUGCAAGAAUGCAAAGCUUUGUGGUUUCAGCCAGUAAUGAAGAGGAAGUGAAAUCCUUUAGUGAUUUCUAUGUUUUUAGUUAACUUAAAACACCUUAGAGUCACCUGGGCCAACACUUGGUAAGGCAAGUGAUUUCCAACCAUGGAAAUGCACUAGUUUACCCCUUGCGAGCCUCUGGGAGGUGAAUUUAAGGUAGGAUUUUCUGGAAUUGCCAACACUUGGUAAGCUUUUGGACUCCAAGGAGACAUCCAUUAGUUAUCUCUUGCGAGCUUGAGAAGAGAAGUCCAAGGUUAAAGAUCACCUUCAAUGGUUAAGGCUUAGUGAGAGGCUUGAACCAUUGCAAGUUGCAUCAGUGAGAGAAUUAAAGUUGAAAUCUAAUUAAAGGAUGUAUCUGUACAAAACCGGUUAGAGAAUUGACUAUAUGUUGAAUCUCUAACGCGAGGAAAUGAACCAUCUGACCGGAGCUAUGUCUUUUGCAUGAGGAACCACCCCAGUGAACCUAACUCUCCAAGGAAUGUUUUUCUUCCUAAGUUAUUCCCAUUACUUGUUGUGUUAGUUAGUUUAAGUCUAAAUCUUUACCAAUCAAAGUUUGUGUUUUAUUUCUUAAGCUAACCUUGAAAUGAAACAAGACCAAUUCACUUUGAAUUGGUAUCAUUGAUAGCUUGUUAAUCCUUCCCAGUGAACGAUCCUAGAGCCACUAUGCUAUAGUAGCUUUGUCUUUGCUACCCUAGUAUAUGGUGUAAUAGGUUAUAAAUUUUGUUGAUUACUCCCUCAAUCAAGGAGCACCAGCUGGACACGAAUCAGCUGAGACACCAAUUGGGCACGAAUCAAAUGGCGUCGUUGCCGGGGAAGGUGUCAAUUUUAUAGUGAUACCAUUUUUGAGCACUUGUGAUUUUCAUCACAAGUUGGUAACGUUUCUUUCACUUUACUAAUUAUCAUUCUUUCUUUAUUUAUUCAUAAUCCAAGUUUAUCUUUUAAAAUUUAGCCUAGUUUAAUUUUGUUGUUGUAGCCCUGUUUCUGUUGUUGUCCUUUAUUUUCAUUUAAGUUGCAGAUAGAUACUAGUUGUGUAUGCCAAAGUGGAUACGAGAUAGUGGAGGAAGGCUUGUUAAGUGUGAUACACCUCAGAACAAAGAAUUCGAAUUGAGCUUGAAUAUCAUGGAAGCUACACCUGAAGAUCAGCAUAGUCACCAAGGUCGUCAAGACAACCUUAAUGAAUUCAGAUCAAUGAGGGACCGCAUGCAUCCACCUCGUAUGAGUGCACCAUCAUAUAUAGUGCCCCCUACAGAGCAGCUAGUGAUCAGACCGUAUCUUGUUCCACUUCUACCAACUUUCCAUGGGAUGGAAAGUGAGAAUCCGUAUGCACACAUCAAGGAAUUUGAAGAUGUUUGUAAUACAUUCCAAGAGGGAGGAGCUUCAAUUGAUUUGAUGAGGCUUAAGUUAUUUCCUUUUACUUUAAAGGAUAAGGCCAAAAUUUGGCUUAAUUCUUUAAGGCCAAGGAGUAUCCGUUCUUGGACUGACUUACAAGCUGAAUUCCUCAAGAAAUUUUUUCCCACUCAUAGAACAAAUGGCUUGAAAAGGCAAAUUUCAAACUUCUCAGCUAAAGAGAAUGAGAAAUUCUAUGAGUGUUGGGAAAGAUAUAUGGAAGCUAUAAAUGCUUGCCCUCACCAUGGCUUUGAUACUUGGCUAUUGGUGAGUUAUUUUUAUGAUGGUAUAUCCUCCUCAAUGAAGCAACUCCUCGAGACAAUGUGUGGAGGAGAUUUCAUGAGCAAAAAUCCAGAGGAAGCUAUGGAUUUCUUGAGCUAUGUGGCUGAAGUUUCAAGGGGAUGGGAUGAACCAACCAAAGGAGAAGUGGGGAAGAUGAAGUCUCAACUGAAUGCUUUCAAUGCAAAGGCUGGGAUGUAUACCUUGAAAGAAGAUGAUGAUAUGAAAGCAAAGUUGGCAGCUAUGACAAGAAGAUUGGAGGAGCUGGAGCUGAAAAGAAUACAUGAAGUGCAAGCUGUUGCUGAAGCACCAGUGCAAGUGAAGUUGUGUCCUAAUUGUCAAUCAUAUGAACAUUUGGUGGAAGAAUGCCCUGCAAUUUCAGCUGAAAGGGAAAUGUUUAGAGAUCAAGCAAAUGUUGUUGGACAAUUCAAGCCCAAUAACAAUGCGCCUUAUGGAAAUACCUACAACUCAAGUUGGAGGAAUCAUCCAAACUUCUCAUGGAAGGCCAGAGCAACUCAAUACCAACAGCCGGAUCCACUAUCUUAACAAUCUUCAAGUCUUGAACAAGCAAUGGCUAAUCUCAGCAAGGUAGUGGGAGAUUUUGUUGGAAACCAAGAAGCCACCAAUGCUCAAAUCAAUCAAAGAAUUGACAGAGUGGAGAGUACUUUGAAUAAAAGGAUGGAUGGAAUGCAAAAUGAUAUGAACCAAAAGUUUGAUAACAUCCAAUAUUCAAUUUCAAGGCUUACAAAUUUGAAUACACUACAAGAAAAGGGAAGAUUUCCUUCUCAACCCCACCAAAACCCCAAAGGUGUCCAUGAAGUGGAAAGCCAAGAGGGAGAAUCAUCACAGAUGAAAGAUGUAAAAGCCUUGAUCACUCUAAGGAGUGGUAAAAAAAUUGAGCAGCCAACACCCAAGCCACAUGUUGAGAAAAAAGAAGAGAUAAAGAAAGGGAAGGAAAUGGAAGAUAAAGAGAGUGAGAUCAGUGAAGAAACGAAGGACUCUGAUUUAACAAUGAAUGCAAUUCCAGAGAAGGAACUUAUGAAGGAAGAAAUGCUGAAGAAAUCAACUUCUCCACCUUUUCCUCAAGCAUUACAUGGGAAAAAGGGGAUUAGAAAUGCAGUUGAAAUCCUUGAAGUAUUAAGACAAGUGAAAGUCAAUAUUCCACUGCUGGAUAUGAUUAAACAAGUUCCAACGUAUGCAAAAUUCCUUAAGGACUUAUGUACUAUCAAAAGAGGGUUGACUGUAAACAAGAAAGCCUUCUUGACUGAGCAAGUAAGUGCAAUCUUACAAUGUAAGUCUCCUUUGAAGUACAAAGACCCGGGAAGUCCUACCAUUUCAGUCAUGAUUGGAGGAAAGAUAGUGGAAAAAGCCUUGUUAAACUUGGGAGCAAGUGUGAAUUUGCUUCCAUAUUCCGUCUACAAGCAAUUGAGACUUGGGGAAUUGAAGCCAACAGCAAUCACUCUAUCUCUAGCAGAUAGAUUAGUAAAAAUCCCAAGGAGGGUAAUUGAGGAUGUCUUGGUUCAAGUGGAUAAUUUCUACUAUCCAGUAGAUUUUAUUGUUCUUGAUACAGAUCCUACUGUAAAGGAAGCUAAUUUAGUUCCUAUCAUCCUUGGAAGACCAUUUCUUGCUACCUCAAAUGCAAUUAUCAAUUGCAGGAAUGGGCUGAUGCAACUCACUUUUGGCAACAUGACACUGGAUCUCAAUAUUUUCCAUAUGUCUAAAAAGCAAACCACUCCAGAAGAAGAAGAGGGUCCAGAAGAGCUGUGCAUUAUUGAUACUUUGGUGGAGGAGCACUGUAAUCAAAAUAUGCAAGACAAGUUGAAUGAAAGUCUUGUGAAUUUUGAGGAAGGUUUAUUUGAAUCUCCUACUGGGCUUGCUACUCUACAAAGUUGGAGAAAGAUAGAAGAGAUUCUACCUUUGUUCAAUAAAGAAGAAGAGGUAGUUGCUGAAAAAGAAAUUCCAAAACUCAAUCUGAAACCUCUACCUGUGGAGCUGAAAUAUACAUAUCUUGAAGAAAAUAAUCAAUGUCCUGUUGUGAUAUCUUCAUCUCUGACCAGUCAUCAAGAGAAUUGUUUAAUAGAAGUUCUCAAGAGGUGUAAGAAAGCAAUAGGAUGGCAAAUAUCCGACUUGAAAGGCAUUAGUCCUUUAGUUUGUACUCAUCAUAUAUAUAUGGAGGAGGAAGCAAAGUCAAUUCGUCAACUUCAAAGAAGAUUGAAUCCUCAUCUAUAAGAGGUGGUGCGAGUUGAGGUGCUGAAGCUACUUCAAGCAGGAAUCAUUUACCCUAUAUUUGAUAGCCCUUGGGUGAGUCCUACUCAAGUGGUACCAAAGAAGUCAGGGAUCACAGUGGUUCAAAAUGAAAAAGGAGAAGAAAUUACUACACGCCUCACUUCAGGUUGGAGGGUGUGUAUUGAUUAUAGAAAGUUGAAUGCUGUAACUAGGAAAGAUCAUUUUCCAUUGCCAUUUAUUGACCAAGUGCUGGAGAGAGUCUCUGGACAUCCAUUCUAUUGCUUCUUGGAUGGGUAUUCAGGGUAUUUUCAAAUCGAAAUUGAUGUGGCAGAUCAGGAAAAGACCACUUUUACAUGUCCAUUUGGAACAUAUGCUUAUAGGAGAAUGCCUUUUGGUUUAUGCAAUGCACCUACUACAUUUCAAAGAUGUAUGUUGAGUAUUUUCAGUGAUAUGGUGGAGCGAAUUAUGGAGGUUUUCAUGGAUGACAUCACCGUAUAUGGAGGUACAUUUGAGGAAUGCUUAGUUAAUUUGGAAGCAGUUCUUCACAGAUGCAUUGAAAAAGACCUGGUGCUCAACUGGGAGAAAUGUCAUUUUAUGGUACGUCAAGGAAUUGUCCUUGGCCAUAUCAUCUCUGAAAAAUGCAUUGAAGUUGAUAAAGCAAAGGUGGAGCUUAUUGUCAAAUUGCCAUCCUCAACAACUGUAAAAGGAGUAAGGCAGUUCCUUGGCCAUGCAGGGUUCUAUAGGAGAUUUAUAAAAGGUUUUUCAAGUCUUUCAAAACCUCUUUGUGAGCUGUUAGCUAAGGAUGCUAAAUUUAUAUGGGAUGAAAGGUGUCAAAAUAGCUUUGAUCAACUGAAGAAAUUUUUAACAACAACUCCAAUAGUGAGAGCCCCUAACUGGCAAUUACCUUUUGAACUGAUGUGUGAUGCCAGUGACUUUGCUAUAGGAGCUGUGCUUGGCCAAAGGGAAUAUGGGAAGCCCUAUGUGAUUUACUAUGCAAGUAAAACACUGAAUGAAGCUCAAAGGAACUACACAACUACAGAGAAAGAAUUGUUAGCUGUGGUAUUUGCUUUGGACAAAUUUCGUGCUUAUUUAGUGGGGUCUUUCAUCAUUGUCUUCACUAACCAUUCAGCCUUGAAGUAUUUAUUGACAAAGCAAGAUGCAAAAGCAAGGUUGAUUAGAUGGAUUCUUUUGUUACAAGAAUUCGAUCUCCAAAUCAAAGAUAAGAAAGGAGUGGAGAAUGUGGUAGCUGACCACCUUUCGAGGUUAGUUAUAGCACAUAAUUCCCAUCCCUUGCCUAUUAAUGAUGAUUUUCUUGAAGAAUCACUCAUGUUCCUAGUGAAAACUCCUUGGUAUGCUCAUAUUGCUAAUUAUUUAGUAACUGGUGAAAUUCCAAGUGAGUGGAAUGCACAGGACAAGAAACACUUAUUUGCAAAAAUUCAUGCUUAUUAUUGGGAAGAGCCCUUUCUUUUUAAGUAUUGUGCAGAUCAGAUCAUAAGGAAGUGUGUCCCUGAAGAUGAGCAGCAAGGGAUUCUAUCUCAUUUUCAUGAGAAUGCAUGUGGAGGCCACUUUGCCUCUCAGAAAACAGCUAUGAAGGUGUUGCAAUCAGGGUUUACCUGGCCAUCUCUUUUCAAAGAUGCCCACAUCAUGUGUAGGAGUUGUGAUAGAUGCCAACGGCUUGGAAAGUUAACAAAAAGAAAUCAAAUGCCUAUGAACCCCAUUCUAAUAGUUGAGCUAUUUGAUGUAUGGGGCAUUGACUUCAUGGGACCUUUCCCAAUGUCUUUUGGUAAUUCUUACAUCUUGGUGGGGGUGGAUUAUGUUUCUAAAUGGGUUGAGGCAAUCCCUUGUAAACAAAAUGAUCACAGGGUGGUUCUCAAGUUUCUUAAAGAGAACAUUUUCUCAAGAUUUGGGGUGCCUAAAGCCAUAAUCAGUGAUGGAGGUGCUCAUUUUUGCAACAAACCUUUUGAAGCUAUUUUAUCCAAGUAUGGAGUGAAGCAUAAGGUGGCUACACCUUAUCAUCCUCAAACUUCCGGGCAAGUCGAGCUAGCUAACAGGGAAAUAAAGAAGAUAUUGAUGAAAGUAGUGAACUCCAGCAGAAAGGAUUGGUCUAUUAAGCUUCAUGAUUCAUUGUGGGCAUAUAGAACAGCUUAUAAGACUAUUCUUGGCAUGUCUCCCUAUCGUCUAGUCUAUGGCAAAGCAUGUCAUCUCCCUAUGGAAGUUGAAUACAAAGCUUGGUGGGCAAUAAAGAAGCUGAACAUGGACUUGAUCAGAGCCGGAGAAAAGAGAUAUCUAGACCUUAAUGAGAUGGAGGAAUUAAGAAAUAAUGCUUAAAUCAAUUCCAAAGUUGCAAAACGGAGGAUGAAGAAGUGGCAUGAUCAACUAAUCUCCAACAAGGAAUUUUAGGAAGGGCAAAGAGUUUUACUGUAUGACACAAGACUCCAUAUCUUCCCUGGGAAGCUCAAGUCAAGGUGGAUAGGCCCGUUCAUUAUUCACUGAGUAUAUUCCAAUGGAGUGGUGGAAUUAUUGAAUUCGAAUGGCAAGGACAGCUUUAGAGUCAAUGGAUAUCGUCUCAAGCCAUUCAUGGAGCCAUUCAAACCAGAAAAAGAGGAAAUCAACCUCCUUGAGCCUCAAAAAGCCUAAGCAAAGAAGGGUUUAAUGGACGUGGUUUUACCACAGUCCAAAAUUUUUGUAAAUUUUGUAAAUUUUCAAGUUUUUUCCAUACUUUUGAUCUUAGUUUUUUUAUCUUAAAUCAUGUUUUUAUAUGUGUUUUAAUAUUUUUGAAUGAUCCCAGGUGGAAGAAAUUGCAAAGAAAUUGAAAAAAAAAAAAUCGGAUCGAAAUCAGAGCGAGAACAGAGCAAAAACAGAGCUCUACGAGAUUUCGCAACCUAAAGAAAACUUUUGCGAAAUGAGUAUUUUGUUGCCAAACCAGUCCGCAACACUUUGGGAUUCUCUGCGAGAAUUUUCGCAGCUGCGAAGGCGAGUUUGGCACACGAGUGCCACUUCGCAGCACAGGAGCCCCCAUUUCGCAACUGCGAAACGUCUGCGAAGCGGUAAAGCCCAGAUUUCGCAACAAAAUUCCCAUUCCGCAGGGUAUUUCGCAAUUGCGAAAGCGAUUUUGGCACACGUGUGCCACUUCGCAGCACAGUUACAUUCAUUUCGCAGCUGCGAAACGCAUUGCGAAGUGGCUGCGAAAAUGGCGUUUUGCUGCGAAAUUGGCAUUUUUCUGCGAAACUCAAAUUGACCCUUAGUCUUCCAUUAUUACUAUAUAUACCGGUCAUUUGAGCUGCGAAAAGGGUUUCAAAAUCAGAGCGCCCCAUUCUCGCAGGUUGUUCAUCUCCUUCCUCAAGCCUCACCGCGCAAGUCUCCGGUCAUCUUCUCCGACCAUCCGUUCCGGCCAAAUUUCGGCAACCCGAAAUGGCGCGAACGAGAGGGGCCAAGUCUUCCUCUCCUUCAAGCCGCAAGAAAAGCCUGCGAAAGGAGCCAGUUCCAGAUCCCGUUUCUGAGCCUCCGCGGCCAAGAGCAAUUUCUCCUCCGGUGAAGCCCGCGCAGCCAAAGCCUCCAGCGAGGCGUUACCUUACCAGGUCAGGGGGUCUGCCGCUGCAAAAGAGACCUAGGGUUGAAAGCUCAGAACCCAUUGACUUGACUGAACAAUCUCCAGAGCCUUCGUCGGUUUCAUCUCCGGUAUCCUCUCCAGUAUCCUCGCCAGUUCCAUCUCCGGUGCCAUCUCCGGCACCGCCAGCAAAACCACAGGAGCCUCAGCCGCCACUUCCAGAGCCCCAAAUUCCAGCUGAAAUAGCUCUGGAAGAAGUAAUCAGGCGGCCAAUGCUAACUCAGCCCCCAAUUGAGGGAAAUUUGGAUUGUAGAGCUCGGCCAUUCCACUCCGAGCUAUGCUUUGACAUAGCCGCAUUCUGAUUGCAACCGGAGCUGGCACAGUCAUUCAACCUGCUGAGGAGAUACCACAUGGAGCACCUACUGACUCUGAGAGACUUUUUCUACCCCAGGAUAGCCAUGGAUUUCUAUCAAUCCAUGACAACCAAACAGGUCAGGGAUCCAACUUUAAUUCAUUUCACUAUUGAUGGGAGGCAUGGCAUAUUGGGAGCACGCCAUAUAGCUGAAGCCUUGCAAAUUCCCUACGAGCCAAGCCAAUUCGAUAAUUUUAAAGCUUGGACCAGUCAUACUGAGCUGGAGAUGGUGCACACCCUGUCCAGAGGAGCUGCCACGCGAUCACAUCUGUUGAGAGGGGAGCUUCCUCCAAUCAUGUUUUUUAUUGAUGCAUUUUUGCGUCAUAAGCUCUAUCCAUUGCAGCAUUGGACUCAAAGAAGAGGAGUCCUCUUAGAAGCCCUGUACAAGAUGUCUGAGGGAUUUUUCUUUGGGCCUCAUCAUCUAAUUCUGGCAGCCCUUCUCUAUUUCGAAGAGAAGGUACACAAAAAGAAGCUUCAGAGGGCUGAUACCAUUCCCCUCCUCUUUCCAAGGCUGUUAUGCCAAAUUCUGGAGCACUUGGGGUAUCCUUCUGAGCCUCAGUUGGAGCGCAAACGCAUUUUCCGUGAGCUAUUUACUCUCGACAAAUGGAACAACAUGACAGCUUAUAGAGUUGACCAGCCUAAGCGCCCACAGCCAACUGCUAGGAGAGCAUCCCCACGACACAUACCUGAGGGUAUAACAGUUGUUGCUCCUGCCAUUCCCAGAGCUCCACCAGCUGCUCCAGCUUCAUCUCAGCCAUCCACUUCAGCUGAACCGAGAAUGGCCAUUCCCAUUUCUGAAUACAGAGAGUUGUGCCGUUCAUUGGAGACCCUCACAGCAUCUCAGAGCAGUCUUGCUCAAGAGAUGGCAGCCAUUAGAGCAUGCCAAGAGCAGAUGUUGGCCACUCAGGCUCAACACACUGCCAUCUUAAGGCAGCUCCAGCUUCAUUUCGACCUGCCAUCAGCUGUUGAGCCCUCCACUUCUACCACAGCAGUGCCACACUCUCAUCCAAUAGGGUCUCAGGCCCCAUCUGAAGCUCCAACUGAAGAGGCAGACCCAUCUGCCUAGCCCCAGCACCACCCACUCAUCAGAAUAUAUAUAUAUAUAUAUAUAUAUAUAUAUAUAUAUAUAUAUAUAUAUAUAUAUAUUGCUUUUCUUUUAUGUAUUUCGUUUUUUUUUAGUUGGAAAGAAAUCCCAUUAUUUUGGUACUAUAUUUGGGAUUGCUUGUAUUGCUUUUCUUUUACAUUGUACUCAAAUGGAUUCAAAGUAAUACAAGUUUAAUAUUUCUUGUUAACUUUUAGCAUUAAGUUAUCCUUAUUUCCUUUACUCACAUAUUCUAUUCUUUUUGAAACAUGUGGUUUCUCCAAUCAGUAUUCGAAUUUGAUAUCACUCAGGAGGUACCACUUCCUCCCUUUAAUUACAAUCACUCAUAUCACAUUGAGGACAAUGCUCAGUUCAGUUGGGGGGGGGGGGGGGGGGGGAUAGGAAAGAAAUAUUUUUAGUUUAAAGAAAUUAGCCAAACCCUUUUAAUAAAGGCAUUAUUUUGGGAAAAUAAUUGGAAUUUUUUUUUUUUUACCCCUUUNNNNNNNNNNNNNNNNNNNNNNNNNNNNNNNNNNNNNNNNNNNNNNNNNNNNNNNNNNNNNNNNNNNNNNNNNNNNNNNNNNNNNNNNNNNNNNNNNNNNGUUAACUUUUAGCUUUAAGUUAUCUUUAUUUCCUUUACUCACUUAUUAUAUUUUUUUUGAAACAUGGGGUUUCUCCAAUCAGUAUUGGAAUUUGAUUUCACUCAGGAGGUACCACUUCCUCCCUUUAAUUACAAUCACUCAUAUCACAUUGAGGACAAUGCUCAGUUCAGUUGGGGGGGGGGGGGGGGGGGAUGAGGAAGGAAGUAUGUUAAGUUAAAGGAAGUAUGCUAAGCCUUUUUAGUAAUGCAAUUAUUUUGGUAAAUUAGUUGUAGUUUUUGUUUUUUUACUCUUUUUACUCUAUUCUCCAUGAAUCUUGAGGAAAAAUUUUCAAAUUAAAACAGGAGAAAUUGAACUGUUGUUUUUCACUUGACUUAGAGUAUGGAUUAUGCUCACUAAAGUGGUUCAAUUGUUGAAGCUUCUAUUGAAAUUGAAUUUAGUUCUUCCACUUUAAGCUAUUCACACACUGUGCACAUUAGAUUCCGUUUAUAAGAUGAAAAGCUAUUUCCCUCUUGACUUAGGAUAAUUUUGGGACUUGGUACAUUUGACCUCAUUUGAUAAAGUUGAAACACCCUGCAAAAGGCCAAUGAGCCUUUGAAAUAAAGAAAGUUGUUUGCUUGCCUUAAAACCCGAGCAAGGUCUGAGGGGUAUAUGGUGAAAAUCUUUGAAGCCUGGUGCCCUAAGCCUUAAUUGGUUGGGAGUCACCGACCUCAAUGCUCGUUACAAGGGUGGAUAGGUGGAGUUAGCAUACUGUAGGUGCUUGGGUAUUAAAAUUCAUUCUAAAAAGUCCGGGGUAAAAUCCGAGGAGUUAGUGGUUGAAAGAUCCUUAAAGCUUGAUGCCCUAAACCUUAAUUGGUUGGGAGUCAUCGAUGGACCCCCGUUACAUGGACAAUUCAGAAAGAGUACCCCAUAAAGCCUCUCUAAAAAAAAAAAAAAAAAAAGAGAAAGUGUGUUCUUUCUUUAUUGAUUUUGGUCAGUUUGCUAAGUGUUAAAAAGAGAUAGGUUGGGGGGAGAGAUUAGUUUAGCAUAUUAUUUCCGGAAGCUAAGGAACUUAUACACAUAGAUUUUUGAGGAAGAAUAAAGUUUGGUUCUUUGAAAGUGGAAAUGAUUUUAAAACUUCAGUUUGCAUAAUGCAUUCCCUUGAUUGACAGUGUUUAGCAUAGUUUGUUAUAACUCUUGUUGAAAUUUGUUUUUAUAUUUCUUUAAUGUUUCAUGAGAGAAUUAGAUCAUCAUGCCAUUUGAAAAUUGUUUUUCAGCAUGAUGUUGUAAAUUAUAGGUUAGUUUGCUUUUUAUUUUCAAAUUCUCUCCUAUAUUGCUAAGGGACUAGCAAUAUGUCGGUUGGGGGGAGUGAUUACUACUCAAAAAUUGCUAUUUGAUAGCUUAUAAUUAAUCAUUCUAAACACUUUUGAGUAGUAGUUUUGGCCUUUUAACUCAAUUGGCAUGUUAAGGACCCUUGAAAGCAAUUUUAAUCACUUUGUGUAAGUUUUGGUGUUUUUGUUAGUAUUUUGAUCACCAAAGCAAUUCAAGUUUGAGGAGAAUUUUGAGGAAUCUUGGGCAAAGCUUGGAAGUCAUUUGCCAAGAGUAAAUCCGGAAUGUGAGGAGAAAAAGUAAAGAGAAUCUGCCAUGAAGCAUAUUCUUGAUGACAGUCAUAGCAGCCACUUUUGGAGCACUUUCUGAAGUCCAAUUGAUGCAUGCUAUAUACCAUUUCAAAGCUCAAGAAGUCAACAAUCCAAUGCUUCAAACGGUGUGCAAUUCGGAGUUGAAACGAAGAAGUUGCAGCCAGUGCAAGCCAAUCACUCCAAGUUGAAGGAAGCAUUUUGCAAAGUGCUGCGAAAUCACCCUUUUGUUGCGAAGUGAUUUCGCAGCCUUUUUGUACAGUAGGGUGUAUUUCCUUCUGAAGUUGCCUUAUAUAUGCCGCAAGCUGGGAGCUGAGAACCUCAAGGUGGAAGCCAACUUCGCAGCCCUGCGAGAAUAGAUUUUUGUUGCGAAGUGAUUUUGCAGCCCUUCUUGAGUGUCUGCGAAAUCUCGCAGACACCAUUUUCUCUUGUGAAAUGGUUCUUGGAGCAUCCCGAUAUUUGCUACCGACAUUUGGAGAUAUUUUCUAUUAGAUUUUUGUUGUCUAAAUCCCAGAAUACUCCUUGUAAGCCACCAAUUACAAGAUUCCUUAGCUUUUAAGUUAGUAAAAAGAGAAAAUAUCUAUGUAAUAAUUAGUUUUAUAUUAUGUUCAUAUAAGUACCUCUCGGGAGCUUGUUCUCAGAGAGGAGAUCAUUUUGUAAAGUUUUGGGUAAGCAAGUAAAGUUCAGUUCUUUGUAUUGCCUUACCUUCUCACUUUGUAUUUUUAUUUUCUUACUAAGUUAUGAACUCUCUGAGGAGUUUUUCCCAGAGAAUGAGUAACUAAACCUCUAAUUCCUUGGAGCUAAGGUUGCCGGGGAAGGUUCCAAGUGCAAGAAUGCAAAGCUUUGUGGUUUCAGCCAGUAAUGAAGAGGAAGUGAAAUCCUUUAGUGAUUUCUAUGUUUUUAGUUAACUUAAAACACCUUAGAGUCACCUGGGUCAACACUUGGUAAGGCAAGUGAUUUCCAACCAUGGAAAUGCACUAGUUUACCCCUUGCGAGCCUCUGGGAGGUGACUUUAAGGUAGGAUUUUCUGGAAUUGCCAACACUUGGUAAGCUUUUGGACUCCAAGGAGACAUCCAUUAGUUAUCUCUUGCAAGCUUGAGAAGGGAAGUCCAAGGUUAAAGAUCACCUUGAAUGGUUAAGGCUUAGUGAGAGGCUUGAACCAUUGCAAGUUGCAUCAGUGAGAGAAUUAAAGUUGAAAUCUAAUUAAAGGAUGUAUCUGUACAAAACUGGUUAGAGAAUUGACUAUAUGUUGAAUCUCUAACGCGAGGAAAUGAACCAUCUGACCGGAGCUAUGUCUUUUGCAUGAGGAACCACCCCAGUGAACCUAACUCUCCAAGGAAUGUUUUUCUUCCUAAGUUAUUCCCAUUACUUGUUGUGUUAGUUAGUUUAAGUCUAAAUCUUUACCAAUCAAAGUUUGUGUUUUAUUUCUUAAGCUAACCUUGAAAUGAAACAAGACCAAUUCACUUUGAAUUGGUAUCAUUGAUAGCUUGUUAAUCCUUCCCAAUGAACGAUCCUAGAGCCACUAUGCUAUAGUAGCUUUGUCUUUGCUACCCUAGUAUAUGGUGUAAUAGGUUAUAAAUUUUGUUGAUUACUCCCUCAAUCAAGGAGCACCAGCUGGACACGAAUCAGCUGAGACACCAAUUGGGCAUGAAUCACCAUGGCCGCCUAUAAAAAUAUUAGUUAACUUUUUCACCUCAAUAAGCAGUGCUUAUGAAUUGGGAAAAGCCACCCAAUAUAUAGUGUUUGUUUGGCAAGAAUAUUUGUUGGAACUUUCACAUAGUUACAGUUGACUUGCAUCUUCUCCUUUUGUCUGGAGUUUCUCUUUAUUCUAAAGAAGUGAUCAACUUGGCAGUUGAAAAAUGUUUCUAAAUUAGAGAGACUUGAACAAAUUAGAGAAGAUGACCUUUUAGAGAUAUAAUAAUUGAAAAUUUUAAUCUAAUUAAACAUUUAAGAAUCACUUAAUACUUUUUAACACAAUUAAACCCAAUAAGAAAUUAGAAAUGAUUAAUGCCAAAACAUACGAUAAAAGAGGCUUUUUACUUGGAAAAUCCCCACACUCACCAUAAAAAUAAAAAAUCACAAGGUUUAAUACCUCAGAUCUAAAAUCCACUUUAUAAGAUCAUGAUACAGAGUUUUACCUAACUGCUUACCUUAAGACUUUCUCUCCAAUACCUAUAUAAUGAUUCACAUUUGCAAUGCAACACCUCAAAUGCUUUAAUGGAUUCGUCUUAGCCUUUGAGGGGAAGCAAGUCUCUUCACAACCCAGAGUUUGUUCAAAGAACCUUUAAGAGCUUUUAGGAAUAGUACGACAAGUUAGGGUAUUUUCUAAAUGAGAACAUUCAAUUCUAAAAUACAUUUACGUAGGGUAUAUAUAGGCUUAAGAGUCUAAAAGGUCGAAAAUGAAGUUUUCUUAAAAAAUAAAAUCUCAACUUUCAAAAAUGUAUUAAGACAUUUUAGUUCAAUUUUAAAACUUCCUGUCGAAUCCUACCUUAUGAAAAAACUAAUUUACCUUGCUAUAAUAAAAAUGAACAAAAUUACCAACAACAAAAACAAAACAUAAUAUUCUAACAUUAAAUAAUUUGAAUUCAAAAAUAAAUAAUAAAUAAAAUGAAUAUAUUAUUCAUUUUUACUUUUUAACUUCAACAUUUGAAACAUGUUCAUUUUAUCUCAUUCAUUUCCUAGGAUUUCUCUUCAACCUAUUCAAAAUUUUUGGUGUAAAUAAACAAUAACCAAAUUUCGACUUUUAUACCAUCAUUGUCUAACAACAUUAUUAUAAUGACCUGAAUUUAGUUAAUGAUUAAUUUAACUUUGCUUAAUCCCUUAUUAAAAAUUAAUGUCAUGAUUAGUGAAUUAAUUGGUUAAUAAAUUAAAGAAAUUGGUUAGUUUAUUAAUAAGCUUGUUAAGCUAAUUAAAAGAUGACUAAGGGUAUGUUGUAUUUAUCUCCAAAUUUUCCUAUUGGUUGGUAAGCUAAUAGCUAAGAAUUUAGCAAAUCUUAAGUUACAUGGUUAUAAGCAUUUGUUACCUUAAAAUUCAAUUAAAAAGGAGCUAGAACAAGUGCGAGAAAAGAAUUAAGGGAUGCUAAGAAUUUUUUAAAAUUAAACCGGAUAGUAACUUCUUGUGAAUAAACAACUACUACCCUUAACCUUUGUUUGUUUGAGGAAAAAUCAAAACAUGUGAACAAUAAGACUUUCUUUAAGAAUAAAACCGAAGUUAAACUAAUCAACUUACCGAAGGAGGUAGGGAAGCUUGUAUGAAAAUACUGUUUUAAUUCCUUAUUUGAAUCUUGAGCAAACAUAUUUAAUAUACUUAGUGAUUGAAACAAAUUGUGAUAUGCUCCGUUUUUUGUUAAGGUAUCCUAUUCUCAUGGAAAAAAACUUAUCGAUCCAGUUUGAGUAAUUUGAAAAAAUGUUUUUCAAAAUACGACUUUAUUAAACAAAGAUAAUAUAUUUUUCAAAAAAAUUGUAUAUAACUAUGUCAUUAGCUAUACGUGUUAACUAAAACAAUUCAAAAAAUGUUUCAUCUCAUUAGGCAAUAUUUCUCAACCGAAACCAAAACGUUAUUUUAUGAGAAUAUGGCAGUCAACACUUGUGUGCCAUAUUUUUUAAUCUCUUUAUGGGCCUCCACUGUUCUAAGCAUUAGUUAGCCUUUCACCUCAAAGAUUUUUUUUGUUUUUUUUUUCAAUCUUCCUAUGGCCUUCACCCUUUCACGUCAACGAGCCGCCUAGUUAACUUUUUUGCCUCAAUAAACAGUGCUUAUGAAUUGGGAAAAGCCACCCAAUAUAUAGUGUUUGUUUAGUAAGAAUAUUUGUUGAAACUUUCGCAUAGUCACAGCUGACUUGAAGAAGGUGACCUUUAAGAGAUAUUUUAUGAACGGAUUGGUCGGUCCAACCAUCGGUUCAGUCCAAAUGUUCAAUGUCAUCCCUCAGCUGCCCCCCUCCCAGGCCAAUUAAAUAAUUUUCAUUUGAUUUAAAUGUUUAAUGUGUUUACCUCAUUUAAAAUCCUUAUUUGAACUCUGGACCUCAAACUCAUAAAAUAAGUCGAGAGACCACUCAACUACAUUUGACUUAUUACUUUAUAUAGCAAACAAAAGAAAUAUAUUCUUUACUAAAAACAUUAUAAUAUUAAAUAAAAAUAAUAUAAUAUUUUUAAAAUUAUAAGAUUAUUUAAAAUUUAACAAUUAAAAUUUCCUUCAUUUUCAAUAUAUUCACAUUUAAAUAUUAUAUAUAUAUAUAUAUAUAUAUAUAUAAUUUAAUAAAAUUUAAAAUAUUAAUACAUUUAUAGUUAUGCAUAAGAUAAAAAUUAAAUAUUAUUGAUUUCUAAUUUAUUUAUGAUAUGAAUCAAUUCUAUGUGGAAAAAAAAAACACUUUCAAACAUACUUCUUUGUCAUUUUGUAUUAUUCAUCAUAAGCUAAAAAUUAUUUUGUAAAUAUAAAAUGUUGUAUGGAAUGGAUGCCUAUCGAACUCUAUAUCUGGAUUAUUAAAUAUGUUUGGUAAAAUCUAGGCCAUUGGAUAAGUAAAUCCAUCAACCUUCCAAUUUGGUCUUUUUUUUUUUAAUUUAUAUUUGACAUAUACUCACUUAAGUGUUAUUAAUUAAUGGUUAUGUUAUUAGUUUAAAAUAAAAUUGUUAUUAUGAUAGUUAUAAUAAAUUGUUUAUUCUUUUUUUUAUUAUUAUUAAAUAAUUUGAAUAUAGUAAUAAACAAGAAAUAGAAUGAAUUUUUCAUUUUUACUUCUAAUUUCAACAUUCCAAACAUACCUAUAGACCCCCAUUUUGGAGCUUGGUUUCAUGCACUUUCAUGCAGCUUGUUUUGCCAAGUGUCACAACCCUAGGAGACCACAUGGUGUCUUUUAAUUGGCUGCUAUGGAAUCAGAUAUUGCUUUUUGAGGAGCCAUUAGAGUGAAGAAACCUGUGGGAGAAUAUUCAGAGAUGAGUGCCUUUUUCUGUUGGAGAGGAGCGUAUCUGCAGGGGGGCAGAGGUGGUGCUUUUUGGAGGGAGCAAAGAGAUAUUUUUAGAUGGCUUAGCUGGUAGAGGCAAGCCAGAGACAGGGGUGGAGAUUUUUCAAGGGAGCUUCAGAGAGAAAACCAGGGGGGUUUCAGAGAGAAAACCGGGAGGAACUUGCUGGUGAGAAUAGGGGGGAGGUCCUUGAGCUUCAGGGAGAGUAUUCGUUUAGCUUGAGAGGGAGGUCAGCUGAAGAAGAAUGGCUUGCUGAUUUCUGGCCAACCUAACUGGAGAGGAUUAUUUUCAGGUAUGUUUAUUGUGGAUUUCCCAUUUGCUUCAACUGGUAAGUUUUUCUUCUCUUGUUUUUGUUGAUUAUUGGAUGAUGUUUGUUGGUUGGGAGUAAACAUGCUCAUGUCUCUCUUUUUAAUGAUUUCUAUUAAGGACCCGUUUGGCUCUGUUUCUAUUCCCCCAUGAGAUAUCUAUAACCUUGUUUUGAUUUUUAUUUGGCACUCAUUUGAUUUCACCCACCCUCAUAUGAGCUCAUUGAUUAAUAUAUGAAAUGAGGCUUGUAUGAAUUCAUGUUGUUCCUAUUGCUUGCACUUUAUUUUUUUUGUUGUCUACCCUGUUUCUGGUACCCAUACCUAGGGUGCAUUUUUCUUCUCAUCUCUACUUGAAAGGUAGCACCCCUCUAAGCCCUAUAAAGGUCUCUAUUGACUAAGUUAAGGGGAAUAUGGCAAUUAAUCGGUUAAUUAUGGAUACCUAAGUAGGCUAGGUGAUUUCAAAAGAUUUGCAUGCUAAACAAGAUCAAAUUGCCAUAAAAGAAAGGUUAGGAUGCGUACCCGGACCGCUUCUCAAGCGCUAUCAUAAAACAUCAGAGUUAGUAUAGAAGUAUAACACACAACAUGUAUUUAAUCAUAGUGAAUCAAGCAUACAUCUAAACACCUAAGGAUUAUCAAACAUAUGCAUACUUCACAGUGACAUGAUUGUUUACAAAAUUUAGAAAGUAGGUGAUAGGGGGGGCGUACCUGGAUAGCAUAGAUAACUUACAAUGCGCUUCCAUAAGACAUGAGGGAUUAGAUAAUAAUAAAAUAAAGAAACCCUAGCAUGCUUGUUAUCUAAUUAGCAUAACAAAAAUUAUCAAAGUAUAUGAAAACAUUAAUUAUCACAUCUUGUAUACAAUUCCUAAAAAAAGAUAGGCAUAAUUUCAACAAGUGACAAAGGUGGCAACAAAAAUAAUUUUUUUGAAAAGAUUUUCUUAUGUAGGGGUUUCACCAAUUCCCCAAUUGAUAUACACGAAUUUAGCUCAGAAUUAUCCCAUUUAUGUGGGACCACAAGCUUUGAUUCAUGUUUUUGUUCAAAACCAAACUUUUUGUUGGAAACCGAGAAGGAUGCAAACCGAACAAAAUAUGGUUGCAUAUUAUUUUUUAAAAUAAAAAAAAGAUUUCGAUCCUGAGGACUCUAAAUGAGUUUUUGAAAUAGACUUUUAAAAUGAUUUUUUGAGAAAAGUAUUUUAUUUUAAAAUAAAAGGAAUUAAUUUGGGAAAAAAUAAAAUAUAAGAAAUAAAAUACCAAACAAAACAAAAAUGAAACCUCAAAGUAAAAUUUUUUUUAGUAAUUAACAAAAUAAUAAUGGUGAUGGUAGAGGCCAAUCUUCAUGAUUUUCCAAUGGCCUCUAAAAAUUGAUUUUGACAAAGGAUGAACAAAGUGAUAAACCGAAACCUUAGAUCUUACAAGCAUUGAAACUUUAAAAACAUUUAAUCUUAAGAUAAACUUAAUCAAGCGCUAAAUAUUAUGUGACCUUUAAAACAGUACAAGCGAUAUGUAUUAACUAAUAUUGACAAUUUUGAGUCAUAGAUCUAAUCGGCUAGCUAAACAAUUAAAUAAAAGAAAACAAACACAUAGAAUAAAUAAAAUUAGUCAAAAACUAAAAUGAAUUAUUUUUAAACACAAAAUGACAACAUGGGAAUAGAUUAAACUAAUAGCCUACAAUUCGAAAGCAUAGAAUUAAUGGAAAAAUGGAAUAAAAAAUCUUAACAUAAACUAAUCAAUAUGAAACCAAUCGAAUUAAUUAAAACUCUAAAAAUUAUCAACUAAAACAGGAUCAGUCCAAACUAAAAUAAUUAUUUAUUUUUUAUUUAUUUAUUUAAUUUUUUAUUAUUAUUAUUAUUUUUAUUUUAAAACAUGAAUAUAUCAACGCAGAAUGAAAUAAAUUAACCAACUUAAAUUCUAAAACUAAUAAACUAAAAGGAAGAAUCAUAAAUUAAAUUUAACAACUUUUAGAUAUGAAAAGAGUGACGUGGAAGCAAUUGAACUAAUAAACUGAAUUUUAAUAACAUUUAAACUAAAAGAUAAAUUAAAGCUUAAACUAGAAGAAAUUAUGGAUUUCCUAAUUGAGAACAAAAAUAAUGCAAAUCAAAAUUCUAAAUUUUUAACUAUCAUCAUGAAUUAUCCAAACUCUAAAAAAAAUCCUAACUUUUCCAUCAUCAACAAAAAUUGCCCAAAUUAAUACUAAAAAAAAAUAUAAUUUGCCAAACUAAACAAAUAAAUUGUAACUACAUUAAACAAAGAUCAUAAUUUUUAAGAUGGGAUAAUAAAUCAAUAAUAAUUAAGAAAAAUUAAAAAUUAACGUUUAAGCUAAACAUGGAUUUCCUUAUUGAGAACACAAAUAAUGCUAAUCUAAAUUUUAAAUUUUUAACCAUCAUCAUGAAUUAUCCAAACUCUAAAAAAUCCUAACUUUUCCAUCAUCAACAAAAAUUGCCCAAACUAAUACUAAAAAAAAAAUCUAAUUUGCCAAACUAAACAAAUAAAUUGUAACUUCGUUAAACAAAAAUCAUAAUUUUUAAGAUGGAAUAAUAAAUCAAUAAUAGUUAAGAAAAAUUAAAAAUUAACGUUUAAGCUAAACAUGGAUUUCCUUAUUGAGAACAAAAAUAAUGCUAAUCUAAAUUUUAAAUUUUUAACCAUCAUCAUGAAUUAUCCAAACUCUAAAAAAUCCAACUUUUCCAUCAUCGACAAAAAUUGCCCAAACUAAUACUAAAAAAAAAAUCUAAUUUUCCAAACUAAACAAAUAAAUUGUAACUACGUUAAACAAAAAUCAUAAUUUUUAAGAUGGAAUACUAAAUCGAUAAUAAUUAAUUAAUUAAUUAAUUUAUAAUUGGAUAAAUAUAUAUAUGAUCAAUUAUUUUAAUGAACUAAAAUUUUAUAAGAGUGCUUAAAUCUAAGGUAAAAUUAAAAACUAACAAAAAUGAUUUUUAAAACUAAAUCUCUAUCCUAUAGAAUCAAUUUUAUUUAUAAUUGAAUAAAUAGAUAACACGUGAAUAAAUAAAUCUAUCAAAAUACAAAUUCAAUGAAUUGAAAACAUGGACAUAACCACAUAAGAUUAAUCAAACCUAAUACAAAAUAAUGACUUGAAAACACGGAUAUAACCACAUAGGAUUAAUCAAACUAACUAAAAAAAAGAAUUAAAAUUUCAAAGCACAUAGGCUAAAUGGGAAUACUUUAAGACUAAAUCUAACCACUUGACGGCAUGGAUAUGUUAACAUUGGAAUAAAUUAGAUUAAAUAAGAUUCUAAACAACUAUGAAUUGAAAUGGUUAUUCAUGAAUGAAAACUUAAAUAAAAUGAAUUAACUUACCUUUUUCACACACACGUGGGCCACCUUCCACCAAAAAUGCCAAUAGGAUUUUCAACAAUAGUGCCAAGAAUGCAUGGCAUGAUGGCUUCUGCACAAUCCCCAAUGCACUGCACGUUAAUGGAGAGGAAUUUCCUUUGAACGUCAUCAUCAAAAGCCCAUUCUUUCUCCUCCCAUUCACCUCGUGCCUCCGACCCAUGUGCCUCUCCGAUCUCAGCCACUACACUGCUGUCACAGCCCACGAGCACCCAUUCUCAAUCUUGGGCAGCCACGUCUCCGGUGAGAAGGAGAAUAUCCCACCGAGGAGCAACCAAUAACGAAUUGACGGGUGGUGGCAAUGGCGGUGGAGGAAGUGGGUGAUGGCGGAGAGCGGACUGGUGGUGUUAAUGGAGGAUGAAUGUGGCAGCCAGGAUGCUAGUGUAUUUACAUGGUGAUGAUCGGAGAGAUGGUGGCAGCGACUUGGACUCUGGGCAUUGACAAGUGACAACAAGGUGAAAGAGAGGUGAGAUGGAGGUAGUGAUUGCAUGAACAGAGAUGAAGGUGUGUGGCGGCGACGAUGGUAUUUACAGUAGCGGAUGAUGGAGACGGAGCCCUGAGAGAUGAGGAGGAGAGCACGAGGGAAGGGAAGCCCGAUCACUUCGCUGGAUGCCCCCCAAAAUCUUUUCAAAACACGUACUACUCUUUGCCCAAACAACAACCUCUAAUCUCUUUGAAACAUGGAUCCAUCCCCCUCCUUUUUCCUGUUCUUCUCCCUUUAUUUCUAUGGCAGCCCCUCCUUCUAUGGCUGCGUGAGGAUCCUCCCAAAUUCCACUUAGUACAGCCAGCCUGUAUAGAUCUUUUUAUGGGAAGUGGGGAUCUUCUAUGGCAGCCUCUCCCUCGUUGAAUAUUCUGCUUCCAUUUUGAAUGCAUGUGGAUAUGGGAAGUGCGUACAUGGUGACUCACUUGGAGAUUCUACCGCCCCGUGUCCAGUUUGGUAAGUGUCCUCCUCAAUCACUCCGGCUGUGUGUCCCUUUUCAGAAACCUCCUUUAGUAUGCUGGUGGAGACCUCUUGUGUUGGCGGCUAUGGAGAUCCCACUCUCCAAAGUGGACUGCUCCCCCUCCAAAAUCUGUGCGCUAGAAUGAUUUCCUCAUUACUUGGAGAAUCGUCUUUGCCUUGCUCAUAAUCUUCCCGAAGAAAUCCCAUGUCAUUUUUCUCCUCAUGCAAAACAGAAUAAGAUAAGAGUAAAAAAUUCAAAGGAAAGAAAAAGAAACCAAUCUAAAUAAUAGAAUAAAACAUGAUUUUAAAAUCCCCGGAAGAGAACUAGGAGAGACUAGAUUAUAUAAUUUCGUCCUCCAACAAAGGGGGUCGUAUGCCUAUUUUAAAUCUAAACAAUUCCAACAAUUUUCUAUUAAGUAAGUAAAUAAAUAAAAUAAGAAUAAAAAUAAAAAAUAAAAAUAGUAAUAAUAAUAUAAUGACAAUGAUAAUAAUAAAUAAAUAAAGAGCAAAAAUGAAAAUGAAUAAACAAAAAAUAUAUAUAAUUAUCGAAUGCAUGCACUAAUAAUAAUAAUAAUAAUAAUAAUAACAAUAAUAAAAGUUAUCUAUAUAUAUAUAUAUAUAAAAGUCAAGCCCGAUGAAGUGUUUAAACGACCCUACAUGGGUGCCUAAUGAACUAAGUGUCCUAAAGUGAACCUAGGGUGCCUAAGUGGACCUAGAGUGCCUAAAUGGGCCUAGGGUGCCUAAGUGGGCCUAGGGUGCCUAAACGGGCCUAUGAUGAAAUUAAGUGGGCCUAGGGUGGUGCCUAAUGGGCCAAGUGUAUCUAAAAGCUAUCCUAAAAAAACAAGAAAAGCCUAAGUCUAAGCUAGGGCUGCCAAGGGUCACAAUAAGGGAUCAAAUAAUCCCUCAACCAAAGUAUCCGAGGUGACUCAGAGAAAGGUAAGUGGUAUGAGUAGCCAUGGGCCAUCAAGGAACUACUGUGGAGCAUUAAAAACGAAUUUAAAGACAUGCGCUAAAGGGACAAAAUUGAGGGUCUACACUUAGAGGCCGAACGAGGAAGGAUGAGCAGGACAUAUGAAUUAGGCUCCCGGACCACAACCAAUAGAUUUCGAUCCAUCAGAAGGAUCAAAUGGUUCCGCUUGUUUGAAGUUAUCUUGAACAGUUUGUUGAGACGGUCAAAGGAAGCUUUUUUCACCCAUUCCACGAGCCAAUUUCUCCUCUUCUUGCCUACACCAUGCAAACAAAAACAUUAGUAACAGGCUUAUAACCAAUUAGCUAUAAGGGACACACAAAGAUAGCUACAAUGAGUGGCGCGAGUGAAACUCUCGGUCAAGACCCUCAUAUAGGCCAACCCAGGGACCAGAAACAAGGACGUGCCCCCUGGCCCCGUCCUUGUUGGAAUCUGAAAACCCUAUCAGCAACUGGAGAGAGGGAAUAUGAGCGAACGGGUUGAAUAUUCAUUUCUGGCUCAUCUUGAUUGUAUAAAUAAAAAUGACCUCUAAGAAGGACAGGUCCAAGUGAAAAAGCAUGUUUAAGAUGUUGCACCCCAUCAACACCCUAACAACGUUUGGGUGAAUGAAGAUCGGAGAGAUCUUAGUAUAAUAAAGAACUGCUUAAAGAGAGAAGGCAAGGGAAAAUGGAGCCCGACAUUGAACUGCUUAUUGCUGAAAUAGAUGGCAUUGUGAGAUUGCUUCUCAGUAGGUGUAAGUUUUUCGUCUACCAAGAGUAUGGAGACACCGUUCGGGAUGCGAAAGAGUUCCCGGAACUCCCGUUCAAACAAAAGUUUGAUUGGAUGCUUUGUCUAAGUAUGUCUGGCACUUGCACUCUUCUGGCCACCUUUUUGGCCUCUACCAACCGUAUUGGUGGAAGCAAUGCCUCAUCUUGCUGACAUAUUGAGAGGCUUUGGGUCGUGUGAGACCUGCACGACACAACGCCGAUAGUUAGAGAAUAGUCACCUGACCCUUCUGCUAAUAGGCAGUGCCUCAAAUGUAUAGCAAGUAGCCUAUGCGGGUCUAAAGCCCACACUUUGGCAAGUUACCUAGUCUAGCUUGCAAAGCAAGCCCUAACCAAAGAACCCCCCCCCCUUCUCCUGUACCACCACAAAAACUGCAAAACAAAAUGCCUGGGUGUACUCUUUAAGGGACCAACAAAAAAGAAGCAGAUAUAGAAAGAUGUGAAAAACCCUAACUCUAGCAAGUGCUAUCGGUCUUUCCCUCCAACUACAACUGACUUCUCUAGGAAAACACUAAAUCCCUACAUUUUGGACCUUGCAACGUACACUUGGCAUCUAGAAAGUCACAGACUCCAAAAACGGCCCCAACAGCAAGCAAAUAAACAGUAAGAAACCAAUGCGAAAGGAGAGCAAACUUACCAAAGUCCAAAAGAGGCGUCCGCUAACAGAAAUAAGGCCCGCCUGAAGCAAUUCUGGAAAUAGAAAUGACGCAACAGAAGAAGAACAACGACCGAAGUUGCAAAAGCAAAAAUACAGAAAACUGGAAGAAGAAGAACUCCAAAAAUAAAGAUAUUCAAAAAGGUAACCCAAAGAGUCUGGAGUCCCUUAUUUAUAGGAGACCAAAACCCUAGUUAUCCCAAAAGACAGGCCGCCUAGAAGCACACCCCUAAGCAACACACCGCCUGACAGGUAGCCUAGGUAAAAGCGACCCACAUUUAAUCCCCCAAGCGACACGUGUCCCAAAGGCGUUGGAAUGAUUUGAAGAGACACCUAACCCAUCCACUUCUUUUCGGACAUAGGUGCAUGGAUUUAAAGGGGGCAUUAUAGGGACUCUUCUCCACGUGUCACCCUCCCUUAAUACUGACCAAAUAGGGACCGCAGUGUCCGAAGUUUUCCAUCCGGACCAUGAGGUCAGACAUCAAGCACAAUCGGACUUCCUAAGUGGACGGAACCAUCCAGUCAGCCUUCAAGGUCCAUUGACUUGCGUAAUCAUUCAUAUAUAGCAGAUGAGUGACUAAUGGGGCAUACCUCAACCAUCAGGUCGAUGUCAACUAAUUACUGCACACAACCCCACACCUCCAACAGGUUGAAGGGAUGGGUAACUAUACGAUCAUACAUUAUACCAUAUCUUUUGACGGCACCUGCCAAGCACCUAGAGUUAUAAUGAUUGUCCUACCACCUGUAGGAUUGUCAUCAUUACAAGGAAGUCAAAGUUCUUAGUAAGCACUAUAGGGGCCUCCUUCUGGGAACUAUAAAAACCCUCCUUAAGCAUAAACAAGGUAUGCACGCUUAAAUUAGCCCACACAUUCUCUCAUUCAAAGAGUCUUACCUAUCUUUAUCUAACUUAAGCUUCGAAGGGGCGUGCCCGGACCACUUGUCCGAACAUCCUUUGUGAAGGAAAGAAGCUCACCUAGUCCCCCAACACUAGGUAAAAACUUUGAGAGGCACAACAUAAGGAGGAUAUGACUCCAGUUGACCUUCCAUCAACACACAUCCCCAAUUAGGGAUAGUUUUUCAUGUUUGAACACAUUUCUUUUGAAUUUUAUUUUUAUAUCACAAAAAUGGAAACAAAGAUAAUCUCAUUCACAAAAGACAACUCUUAUGGAAUUGAUAUGAGUUUCUAAUUUGAUACUUGAAAAGUUGAAACAUAAACUUUUACCUUUGAUACCAUUGAAAUUCUCCUAUAGUGUUGUUCAUCUGAAAUGUCCUAAGCUUAGGUCAUUAUUUUCCAAAGGAAAUUUCCUAUUCUAAACAAAAUGUCUAAAUAAGAAAAAAUGAUAUUGAUUCAAAACUACGUAAAUCCCAUGUUCUACUAUUUCGUUGGCUAUAUGAGUUGGAACUAAAUUCUGUUUUCCUUACACAAAAAUAGAAGCAGAUACCUUUCUUCCUUCCUUUGUUUCAUGCAGGUAUGCCUGCCUACUCACAAAAAAAACAAUGGUUAUAUAAAUGGUUCAACAACAGUGUUAGUUGUUAUAUAUUGACGAAAAUUUCCUUUUUGCAUGUAAGAGGAAAAGAACAACAAGGGCGAUGAAUUAAAAAAAUUUCCAACCAAAGCUCUACCGAUUCAAAUAGUGGUUUGUUAAUGACAUCAAUUGUAGAUGAUGGUUUUUUCUCUUUCUUUUCAAGUAAGUCUGAUAGUUUUCUACUCUAGAGGUUGAUAUGCUUAUAUUUCAUUUCAUUGUGAUAGUUGGCAAAGUAAAUUACUCUUCGAUUGAUCACUAUAGCUUUUUAUUGAUGGUUUCACUAGAGAUUGAUUUGGAAUGCAAUUAUGUAUUGGCAUUCUCUUGAGUUUUGUUCCUUACAGUGCUCUUUUCCUCAGUUCCCCUUUCUUCGUACAAUUAUAAUAUGUAUAUUUGUAUGUAUGAUUUUUCAAGAUGAAAGAGACUUGAUCAACAUCCUAUUACCUUUUACAACAUUUUGACCCCUAACAUCACCUCUGUAUAGUUCAAGCAUGGCUUAUGAACUCCUUUGCCACAAAACAAAGGCAUGUGUGCAUCUUGAGCUCUAGUAAGAUAUAUUUUAGUUGCACAAAACCUUUAGGCUCCAUUUGGAUUAUUAAAAGAGCUAAGGACAAUCAUGGUACAACCGAUCAAAAUUCUCUUAUUUGGUUUACCAUGGAAAGUACAAAGCAAAAUCAAGUAUAAUCAAAUUUGACUAAAAUUUUACAUAUUUUUAAAUUCUUCAUUUUUUACAUAGAUGAUGAAAAAAACAUGUGUUUGAAGAAACAUGGAAUAAUUUUUUUUUAAGUUUAAUAUCUAUUUUAUUACCUUUCUUCGUCUUUACUUUCAUUCCACUUUCUCCUCCUUUUUUCCCUUCAAACUUUCCAUGAUCCAAACAAAGUCCCACUAUUUUUUAUUUUAGGCCUUUCACAAAAAUUUCUAUGAAAGAGUAAGAAGGAUGUGUUUGAAAGUUUUUAAAAUAAAACAUAUAUUACACUUAAUAAACACGAAGUAAUUCCUCUUUGACCAAUAAUCUUCCCCUUUUUGACCAUAUCGUUGUUGGUGCAUGCAUGAUGUGCUUAACAAAUAUCCUAGCACAGCAAGAAUUGUAGGGCAAUGUUUAAGGUUGUAAAUGUAAUUGUAUUACAGAGUAGAAAAGUUUUUAAUUGUGAUGUUUUUUUAUUCGUACUUAUUUUGGUGUCUAGACUUAAUCUUGUGCAUGACAUUUCCUCUAUGCUACAGAGUUCGCCUUUGGUCAGACAAAAAUGAUCAAUGAAUGUCAUGAUAAAGGUUUUCCUGAAGGCUUCCUGUUAAUCAAUUCGACCUUAACUUUCUCUGGGUUUGGGAAUGAUUGGGAAUAAUUGUAGAGUGGUUGUGGAGGGAUUUCACGUGGCAAAGAAUGGGAAAUAAGUUAAGACUUAGAAUCGUGGAUGAUUUUCUCACCAUAGUGGGUUCAGGUACGAGAAGGUUGGGGUCAUUAAAUGAGGCCUUAUUAGGCAAAUGGAUUUAUCUGCAGUGGGAACCCAUUGUGGAGGAAGAUGGUAAGAAGAAAGUAUUGGAGGAAAAUGAGGUAAAGGUUAUUUGGUGAGUUUGCAGAAAGGCAUUGGAAAUGGUUGUCAAAAAAUUUGAUAAACCUACAACACACACAUGAUUAAGGUGAUAAGAACAAGCUUAGAUUUCGACCAGAUGUUUUGUACAGUGAUAGGAUCCUAAAUUGAAUCCUAUCCAUACCCAAUGAAAUUUGUCAUGAGAUGCAGAGUGGAGCCGGAGAGAGCUUUUCUUUGAAGGAAGCAUAAGAUAGUAGGGUGUCAAGUAAGGUAUCAAUUCUCAUGGGGAAAGCCCAUUCAAAUAGAGUUACUGUUACUGAUAAUAAGGUGAACAGAGGAAAGACCCCUCCCAAAUUGCUUCUAUUAGAUUAUUAAAUAGGUGGAAAAAACAGUAGAUUAGUUGGUGAUGCAUUUUUUGGUGGCUGCAGGUUAAUGGCAAUCUUGGGUGUUGUGGAUGAUGCCUCAAACUUUAUAAGGAGUUGUUAUCAAGUUGUCAUAGAAGAGUUGUUGCUUAGACCUAGAGUACUAUGUGGAUGACAGUGAUUUUAAGUUUUUAGUCUAGAAUGGAUGGAGAAAAAAGAAAUAGAAGAAAUUCUUAAGGGAAAGAGGUUCCUUUAACAUAUAAGAACAAAGGGGGUUCUGUCAUGAGUUUUCUUGAUGAUGUACAACUGUCCAAUGUAUUCUCUUCCUUUGAUAGUUAUCUUUUUAUCUUUUUCCUUUUCUAUUUCCUUUUGGGAUCCACAUAUACACUAUGAAUCAUCUAUUUGCUUUAGACUCUUCUGUAUAGAGUAAUUAAGAACAUAUUGCCUUUAUUCAUUGGAUCCUUAUAAACACUUGUUUUCAUUUAGUAAGGUGAGUCCAUUUAUAGUUCAUUGGCUUACAAUAAGAUUUUUUCCAAAAUUUCAGGGCACUCAUGUUUGGACACAUUCUCCAGGAGGGGGGCCACAACAUGGUCUUACUCCUUCUAGAAGCUCAAUAGAUCUUGUUGCAAUUUUGGAGUUCCAGUGCUAAGGUAAGACAAAACUAUAGGUAUAUAUAUAUUGCUUUUGAAGCUUUAGCAUGUGGACCUGGUUAGUGCUAUAAGCUUGUUGAACACGAUUACAUCUAUUGGCUUCUAACUGCUCCCUAUUAUUUCUUCUCUCCCACUCAAUGCCACAAAACCAUAAUCUGCAGGUUGCCUUUGGUGCAUCUAUUAGUGUUGGUCUCCUCAGUUCCAAAGCCUCAUACCGGAUAGAAGAGCCUCGUCGGCUCCCUAGUCAUUGGAAUACCUUAAAGAGGAGUUGUGGGUCUUAUCAAAUAGUUCAAAAAAUACUUGGCUAUGUGCUUCUCCUUCAUUUUGUCCAAGCCACUCUGAUUGCAGAUGCUUCCACAAAGCUACUACUGCAUUUACAGCGAUGGGUCUGUUAUAAUUUACUAGUACUAAUAUUACAAAAUUUUCAUUAUAAUAGAAGCGACCAUAUAAUUAUAUAUUUACUAAAAAUUCAACUCAAAUCCAAUAUAGCACCUAUGCUACAUAAGAAAUGUGUUAAGAGUCCACCUUUUUGUUUCAAUGAAAAAUUCAAAUAAUUAGGAAGAAAUGGUGCAACAAGAAUAAGAAUUUCAAGAACAUUUGAAAAACAUUUAUUCUGAGUGGAAGAGCAACUUUCAUGUGAGUUAUUGCUUGCUCUCGAAAGAGAUUGGAAGCCUAGUCAACCUUGACAUCUCAAUCUUAUUAAUGCUCUUGAAUUAUAAAAUUGAAACAUUUGUUGCUGAAUCCUCAGGAAAAUAUUUGGAUAUGGAAAAGCUGCUGAUUUAAAGGAUGAUGGAAUGGAGUUUAUGAGAUAAUAGAGAUCUUGAAAAUCAAAGGAAUGGAAUGGGCUAUCUUGAUCUUCAUUUGAAUCUUACAGUUGUAUUUUUAUUAUUUUAUGAUGGAAUAAUAAUUUUCAAAGUCGAAUGGAGGAUUUCCAUUCUCAACUAUAGAAAUCUACUUGAGGAUGGAUGGAUAAAGGAUUAUUCGAGUGAUAACAAGUUGAGAUUGAAGGAGUUGCUGAAAAGAAGUGGAAGCAGUAACCCCUUCAAUCAUGUCCUCACAUUAUGUGACAUCUUGUAAGCAUAUUCACAACUCACAUUCACUUUUCAUCUUGUAAGCAUAUGUUUGAUAAGUGUACGCAAUUUUAAAAAAUAAUUUGUAAACUAUUGUAGUGAAGAAAAUAUUUCUGAAUCUUUAAUAGUUUUUGCUGAUUAGGAAAAAGAGUUUAUCAUAUUAUUUGAUUCGAAGCAAAAAUCGGCUCUUAUAAAGACGAUUUCUAAAAAUUCAUAUAUUUAGGCAAAAAUCAUCUUUUAAAGAGACCAUUUUUAAAUGUUCUUUAAAAAAAUCAAAGCAGAAAUCAUUUCUUCAAGAAAAGAUUUCUUUUUAUUUUAAAAAAGAAAUUAUAUGCAAAAUUUAUCUCUAAAGAGAUGAUUUCAAAAAAUUAAUUUUAAAGAAAAAAAUAUUUUUAUGCUACAUGUUUUCUUAUUUUUAAUAAUAUUUAAACUAAUAAUAUAUUUCAAUAAUAAAAUUAUUAUUAAUAUAUGUAUUGUAAAAUUAAGUAACUUUAUUUAUUAAAUUCAAUACAUAAAAAUAAUUAUAAUUAUUAUUGAUAUAUUACUCAUAAUUAUAAUAUUUAUAAAAAUAUAAAUUAUAUUUAUCAUCUUAUAUUCAUUAAAAUAAUAUUACCAUUAUCUUGAAUUUUAUCAUUCAAUUAAUUAAAUUAAUUAUUAUUAAAAUAUAAAUUAAUUUAAUUUUAUACUCAUAAUUUUAUCCUUUUUUCUUUCUACUACAAAUACCGGUUUAGGUUUAUUCAAUUCUCUUGACCUCGGUCUCAAUUAUCAUUCUUCAUCUCAUUCAAUUUCGGUUGGAUCUCUACGAGACCAUCUGACCCAACUUCUUCUUCUUCUUCUUCUUCUUCUUCUUCUUCUUCUUCUUCUUUUUAUUUUUUUAUUUUUUAUCAUCCCUAAUAUCUCUAAACUUCUGGAUAUCGAGCAUGAGGGUCAUUAGUUGGUAAGAAUGGAACCCCUUACCAUCAUGCUAAAACUUGUAAUACUUUAGGUUUAAUUUAAAUAUAAGCAAUUAAUUUGUUACUUAUGUUAGUCAUAUUUUAGGUUUUGAAAUUUACAUAUAUCUAUCUUCAUUUUAGGUUUUUCUGGUUUCUGCUAUUGUACACAAACAUGAAUAUGUAUGCUAUCCUGAGUCACUAUAGUGUUUAUGACUUGUUCUAUUAUACUCCUCAAGCUGUUGUUGUAGAGGGGCCAGCUGCCUUCUCUUCUGCUUUGACACAGCAAUUUGAUUAGGCCCAAAAGCCAUAACCACCCCUUGAUUGUUACCAAGGAGUGAAAUACAUGUCAUCCUAAAUUCCAUACAUUUUCUAAAAUGGACCUAUAUUCAGCAGCUGUACAUUGGAAUGCAUGUUAUCAGCUUGCUUUCACCAUUUUCGUUUCUUAUAUUCUCAAAAAAUCAUAAAAGAAUUUUCAUGUCCCCUACCAAACAGACCCUCAAAUUAAUUUAGCACUUGAUAUCAUUUCUCAAAUAUUUACUUAUAAGACUCAAAGCAUCAAAUAUGCAUAGGAACCAUGUUCAAAAAUCCCAUCAACAUAAAAUCACAGGUCUUUGUCACAAAUUUAUGUGAUUAACACAAUCUUUUCCCUUGAGACUUACUUUACCUAAAAUCUAACAGCUUCUCUCCUAGAGCUAUUCCAACAGCUUCUGGCCAUACUGCCGGCUCUGGUUUGAUAGGAUCAUUAUUCUUGAUUAUUGUCCUUAGGCAUCACAUUCAAAAUUCAACCAUAGCAGAUGUCUCUUCUAGUUUGGCCUUUUCAAACUUGGGUGGUUUGAAAGUAUUCCCCGUAAUGAGAAGUCAAGCUUAUAAAAUCUUUUAAGACCAACACUUGUAUCAUAAAUCUUGGUUGUCUUAACGCUUGUACUACGAAUAGACCCACCAAAUUGAGUUUUUAAUUUCUCCCCUUGUAAAUUAUAGUCUGCAAGAUUCUCAUUCAUCUAGUUUGGGCUAAAACAAUUGCAGGCUAUCAAGACUAUUGUAAUAUCAUAAUAUGUAGACCGAUAUUAAUUUCUAGGUUUAAGGCAUUGGUGGAUAAAUGAAGGGUAUGGACACAUGUCCUUAGAUGAGAGUUGCAAAAUACUUUUCGGUUGUUAAUGUUAUAGGUUUUAAAAUGAAAACUUAUCAAGAAAUUAAGGUAUAUGAUGUUGUAUUUGUUGAUGGGUGUUAAUAUAAUUGUUCAUGUUUGAGUAUAACCAUGUAAUUUAUAGUUUUUCAAACUCUUCUAUUUAAUUGAACCCUUUUAUGCUGAGUUGUACCUCACCUUUUUUAUUUAAUUUUUUUUUUUAAUAUCAAGUUAGAGGGGAGCAAGAAGGAAGGAGUUGAGUUAUGGUAUUAUAAUUAAGGGAUUUGGGAUUUGUGUUUUUGUAGUAUAGGAUUUUGUGAUAUUGGAAAGUUCUUUAAUAUUAUAAAAACAGAGAAUUACAAUUGUGUGAAAUAAUUAUUGUUUUGUUCCAUGAUUUUUAUAGCAAAAAGUUUCUAAGGUUAUAAAGGCUGUUUAUAGAGGAAAAAGAUAACUUACAAAAGUUAAACCAAAACUGAAAAAAUGUUAAGUUGAAAUUAAGGGAAGAAAAGUUAGCACGUGGUUUGUGAGGUUGAUGUCAUGCCCCAAGACCCAUUCCAAAGGUGUCACGGUUAUUUCACACCUAAAGCCUAAAAACUCAAAGUGCAAAUGACUCAAACAAUCACUUUGUAAUUUAAGGUUAUCAAUGACCAAAUUUUUGUUCAGAAUAGUAAAACAUCUUAUAAUCCUCAAAACUCUAAUUUUUAAAAAGAAAAAGAAAAAAGAAAAAAUUAACUAACAUACCAACCACUAUGCUAUCAUCCAAACAACUUCAAAAAUUCUUAAAAAUGUCAAACAAUAAUUAAUUUUAUCUAACAUUUAAAUAAUGUCCAAAAUAAAAGUUUAAACUAAAAAUCUUAAUAAAAACAAAUUCCUAUUCUAACUAAACACAUACAUUAAAGGGAUAUUUGAAUUGAAUUUUACCACAAACUUAUCAAAAUUUCAAAUUAUUAUUCAUGACAAAAACUAGGGUAGCUUCAAUAUAAAAAAACCACAAAUCAUAAGUUUAUUGAUGAGUCUCAACUAUCAAAAUAUAAAAAGGUUUUUUUUUCUUAAAUUUACUAGCAUUCUUUUUAUUUUCACUAAAAUUAGAACCUAAAAAAUUCACAAAAUAUCAUAUAAAAGUGUACUUCUACUUACUCAACUCUAUUUUUCAAACUAUCAACCGAUAGUUUAGGAGUCAAUUUGUUUAUAUGGUGAAAAGCCCAUCUUAACUGUUUAUAUGGUGAAAAGCCCAUCUUUACUGUUUAAUUUUUCUUCGAUAACUAUCAUUGAAUUGAUGCUGAUUUUCUUAUAUUCAAACCCAUUAAAUCAAAGGAAAACUCUAAAGUAUCAUAGUGGUAUCUAUCAAAUAAAAGAUUUACAUCAUUCAAUAUGAAUGAAGAACUCUAAAUUGUUGAACAAUAGUACAAACGAAUAAAAUUUAGGUACAAAGAUACAAAUAAAUAAGAUUAAAAUAUAAAUAAUAAAACAAAAAAAAAUAUAUUUUAUAUUACUUUAUUGAUGAUGUUUUUUCAACAAGUAUAAAAAUAGUACAAGUCAGUACACGGAAACCCAAUUCAAAUGUGGCCACUUUUUCUAAAAAUGGAAGAACAAUGUUUUCUUCACCCCGUGACCCUCACGUCAAAUUCUCUUUCAUACAUUCAACGACCCCAACCAUUCACUUAAUUAGAAAUCCUCCAACACAAUUUUCUUCCAUUGACUUGGCUCCUUGACCUUUUCUUCCAUUGACUUGACUCCUUGUCCUAGAAAGUUGACCGCAACAAAUCUUAUAGACACCAAUAUUAUGAAUAAAAUGUAAGUUUAAUCCUGUCAUUAUGUCAUCACGCUUGUAAGCUCAAUGGUUCACCCAUAUUUGUCCCAUAGAUUAUAUUUGUGUUUGUUGUACUUAUGUUAGAAGAUUCAAAUUAAUCUUCAUGGUGUUUGAAAGUCAUUUUUUUUUUUUUUUUAAAGAUUAGAAGCUUUUUUUUUUCCCUUUUAAUAUUUCAAAGUUUUUUAUUUGAAAGUUGGAUUUUAGAUAAAAAUGUUAAGAAUUUUUCUUAAUUACCAUUUGAUAAUAAUCGAAGAAUCAUAUGCACCAGCGGAAAAAGUUCAUACCUAACACAUGAGGGAGGAAGAGGUCUCGUCUGAAGGAGGCUGAUGGAAACUGGUAAUCAAAGCAGUCAACACAGUUGUCAUUUUGUGAGGUUUUACUUCAAUGAGAAGCCCAUGAAAAUUUCCAACUCAGGGGCCCCUCACCGUUGAACGCUCCAGAAUCCCUGGGAACCAUAUUGAAAAUUUCUACGACCAUUAGUUAUCACAACAUAAACCAUUUCUUCUGGUUCUGUUGUACGAUUUGGGACUGAUUUCUGCAAAGUAACUAACCAUGGCUUUUGUUGGAGAGGCUUUUCUAUCUGCUUCCAUUCAGAAGCUGGUGGACAUGUUGGCCUGCCCCGACCUCCGGAAGUUCGCCCGCGAAGAACAAGUCCACGCCGAGCUCAAGAAGUGGGAGGGAAUACUGCUGAAAAUCCAUGCAGUGCUUCAUGAUGCUGAGGAGAAGCAGAUGACUAAUCGGUUCGUGCAGAUAUGGUUAGCCGAGCUCAGAGACUUGGCCUAUGAUGUUGAAGACAUCUUGGACGACUUCGCCACCGAAGCUUUACGGCGCAAGCUGAUCACAGAUGAUCCUCAGCCAAGUACUAGUACGGUACGCAGCCUCAUCUCCUCCUUGUCUUCUCGUUUCAAUCCAAAUGCUUUGGUGUAUAAUCUCAAUAUGGGGUCUAAGAUAGAGGAGAUCACUGCAAGAUUACAUGAGAUUUCUACCCAAAAGGGUGACCUGGAUUUGAGAGAGAAUGUUGAAGGGAGGUCCAACAGGAAGAGAAAAAGAGUCCCUGAAACAACUUGUCUGGUGGUUGAGUCUCGUGUUUAUGGCAGGGAAACUGAUAAAGAGGCGAUACUUGAAGUGUUGCUGAGGGAUGAAUUGGUUCAUGAUAAUGAAGUCUGCGUGAUUCCUAUAGUCGGCAUGGGAGGUGUCGGCAAAACUACCCUUGCCCAGCUUGCCUACCACGACGACAGAGUGAAGAAUCAUUUUGAUCUGAGGGCUUGGGUUUGUGUUUCUGAUGAUUUUGAUGUUUUGAGGAUAGCAAAAACGCUUCUACAGUCAAUUGCUUCUUAUGCCCGUGAGAUCAAUGAUCUAAACUUGCUUCAAGUCAAGCUGAAAGAGAAAUUGUCUGGAAAGAAGUUUCUGCUUGUUCUAGAUGAUGUCUGGAACGAGAACUAUGACAAAUGGGAUAGGUUGUGCACCCCUUUACGAGCAGGGGGACCCGGCAGUAAGGUUAUCAUCACUACUCGCAUGGGUGUCGCGUCACUUACCAGAAAGGUUUCGCCUUACCCCCUGCAGGAGCUGUCAAAUGAUGAUUGUCGGGCUGUGUUUGCGCAUGCAUUGGGAGCAAGGAACUUUGAAGCUCAUCCGCACGUGAAAAUAAUUGGAGAGGAAAUGGUGAACAGAUGCAGGGGCUUGCCUUUGGUCGCAAAGGCCCUGGGAGGCAUCUUGCGAAAUGAACUAAACCAUGAGGCAUGGGACGAUAUAUUGAAGAGUAAGAUAUGGGAUCUACCAGAAGAGAAAAGUGGUGUUCUUCCAGCUCUCAAAUUGAGCUAUCAUCACCUCCCAUCUCAUCUGAAGCAGUGCUUUGCUUACUGCGCUAUUUUUCCCAAGGGAUAUGAAUUCAAAAAGGAUGAAUUAAUCCUUUUAUGGAUGGGAGAAGGAUUUCUGCAGCAAACAAAAGGGAAGAAGCGAAUGGAGGACUUAGGUUCCAAAUACUUCUCAGAGUUGUUAUCAAGGUCAUUCUUUCAACAAUCAAGUGACAUAAUGCCGCGAUUCAUGAUGCAUGAUCUCAUCCAUGAUUUGGCUCAAUCUAUUGCCGGAAAUGUAUGUUUCAAUUUGGAGGAUAAGUUGGAGAAUAAUGAAAAUAUUUUUCAAAAGGCUCGCCAUUUGUCAUUCAUUCGUCAGGCCAAUGAGAUCUUCAAAAAAUUUGAAGUUGUCGAUAAAGGGAAGUAUCUUCGAACUUUUCUAGCUUUACCCAUCAGUGUAUCAUUUAUGAAAAGUUUGUCAUUCAUAACUACGAAGGUGACACAUGACCUCUUAAUGGAAAUGAAAUGCUUACGGGUACUAUCUUUAAGUGGCUAUAAGAUGAGUGAGCUACCGAGUUCAAUUGAUAAUUUGAGUCAUCUACGAUAUCUCAAUCUAUGUCGCUCUUCAAUUAAAAGGUUACCUAAUUCAGUAGGUCAUCUGUAUAAUUUACAAACCUUAAUAUUACGAGAUUGUUGGAGUCUCACUGAGAUGCCUGUGGGGAUGGGAAAUUUAAUCAACCUUCGACAUCUUGAUAUUGCUGGGACAAGUCAAUUACAAGAGAUGCCCCCACGAAUGGGCAGCCUGACAAAUUUGCAAACAUUGUCUAAGUUUAUUGUGGGGAAAGGUAAUGGGUCGAGCAUACAAGAAUUGAAGCACUUGUUGGAUCUUCAAGGAGAACUUUCCAUUCAAGGAUUGCAUAAUGCGAGAAAUACUCGAGAUGCAGUGGAUGCUUGUUUAAAGAAUAAGUGCCACAUUGAAGAACUAACAAUGGGAUGGAGUGGUGAUUUUGAUGAUUCACGAAAUGAAUUGAAUGAAAUGCUUGUGCUCGAGUUGCUGCAACCUCAAAGAAAUCUGAAAAAUCUCACAGUUGAGUUCUAUGGAGGACCAAAAUUCCCAAGCUGGAUAGGGAAUCCUUCAUUCUCAAAAAUGGAGUCCCUGACCCUUAAAAAUUGUGGAAAAUGCACAUCGCUACCGUGUCUUGGACGACUAUCUCUACUCAAAGCCUUGCACAUUCAAGGAAUGUGUAAAGUUAAAACCAUAGGUGAUGAAUUUUUUGGGGAGGUCUCUCUUUUCCAGCCUUUUCCAUGCUUGGAGUCUCUAAGGUUUGAGGAUAUGCCAGAAUGGGAAGACUGGUGUUUUUCUGAUAUGGUUGAGGAAUGUGAAGGAUUAUUUUGUUGCCUUCGAGAGCUUAGAAUAAGGGAAUGUCCCAAACUGACUGGAAGCUUGCCCAAUUGCCUACCUUCCCUGACAGAGCUCGAAAUUUUUGAAUGUCCAAAGUUGAAGGCUGCACUUCCAAGACUUGCAUAUGUUUGUAGCUUAAACGUUAUAGAAUGUAAUGAGGUUGUGUUGAGAAACGGGGUUGAUCUGAGCUCCCUCACUACACUAAACAUUCAGAGAAUUUCCAGAUUAACUUGUCUAAGGGAAGGAUUUACCCAGUUGUUAGCAGCCCUUUAAAAACUGGUGAUAAGAGGAUGUGGGGAGAUGACGUCUUUGUGGGAGAACAGAUUUGGAUUAGAAUGCCUCCGGGGUCUUGAAAGUAUAGAUAUCUGGCAGUGCCAUGGACUUGUAUCCUUGGAGGAGCAAAGGCUGCCAUGCAAUCUCAAACAUUUGAAAAUAGAAAACUGUGCUAACCUGCAGAGGCUGCCUAAUGGUCUGCAAAGUCUCACAUGUCUUGAAGAGUUGUCAUUACAGAGUUGCCCCAAACUGGAGUCAUUUCCAGAGAUGGGCUUGCCAUCGAUGCUGAGAAGUCUCGUGCUGCAGAAAUGCAAGACUCUGAAGUUACUACCUCACAAUUACAACUCAGGUUUCCUUGAAUAUUUGGAGAUUGAACACUGCCCAUGCCUCAUUAGCUUUCCAGAAGGUGAGCUGCCUCACUCACUUAAGCAACUGAAGAUCAAGGAUUGUGCAAAUCUACAGACUCUGCCAGAGGGAAUGAUGCACCACAAUUCUAUUGUUAGCACCAACUCUUGUUGUCUUGAAGUCUUGGAGAUCAGAAAAUGUUCAUCCCUCCACCCUCAAGCGGCUUGAGAUAUGGGACUGCGGGCAAUUUCAACCAAUUUCAGAGCAGAUGUUGCACAGCAAUACUGCACUUGAACAGUUGUCCAUUUCCAAUUAUCCAAACAUGAAAAUCCUUCCAGGUUUCCUCCACAGCCUCACGUAUCUCUAUAUAUAUGGUUGUCAAGGUCUUGUGUCCUUUCCAGAAAGGGGCUUGCCCACUCCCAAUCUCAGAGACCUUUAUAUUAACAACUGUGAGAACCUGAAGUCCCUGUCUCAUCAAAUGCAGAACCUUUCAUCUCUUCAAGGACUGAAUAUCAGGAAUUGUCAGGGCUUGGAGUCAUUUCCAGAAUGCGGUUUGGCUCCCAACCUUACCUCGCUCUCAAUCAGAGAUUGUGUGACUCUGAAGGUGCCAUUAUCUGAAUGGGGCCUCCACAGGCUCACUUCUCUUUCAUCACUGUACAUUUCCGGUGUAUGUCCAAGUCUGGCAUCUCUUUCAGAUGAUGACUGUCUUCUUCCUACAACUCUGAGCAAACUUUUUAUCAGUAAGCUGGAUUCCCUGGCCUGUCUGGCUCUCAAAAACCUCUCUUCUCUUGAAAGGAUAUCCAUCUACAGGUGCCCUAAGCUCCGGUCCAUUGGGCUGCCUGCAACGCUAUCAAGACUUGAAAUAAGGGAAUGCUAACAGCAUCCCAAGAUGAAUUCUCUGUCCUGUACACAAAAGAGGAAAAAAAACUCAGUCAGGUAUGCCUAUUUGCAACUCAAUCCCAGUUUCAGAUUAUCUUGUUAAUAUGAUUUUCCAUGUGUUUAUUGAAGGCUUGGAUAGGAGGUGGCUUUUGACAGCAUCACUGGCUUAUCGCUAAAACUGGGUGCAAAAUCUCAUGCCCUGCUUAAGCUGUUUUGUUCUUCUUUGUUUCAGAUCAAGGAAGCCGAUUGAUGAGUCAUUUGUCGUUUGCGCUGUGUUUUUCCCUCCAACAAGGUAUGCCUACUGCCUAUUCCCAGUAUGCAUCUCCCAUUUUCAUUGGCAAAAUUCUGAGUUCAUUUCUAAAUAAAGAAUGGAAAUUUCUGUCUACAUACAGGAAGGAAAGAAACAAAGAAGCAAAGAACAUAUGAAAUCCAAAAUUUCCGAACAUUAAGCAGCAAAUUCACAUGGUGAUGGUAUGUUUUUUACCUCAAUGUUAGAUGAUUAUCUAUCUUGUUUUUCCUUCUGAGAAUCUCCGAUAUGGGUUCCUCCAUUUUGUAAGUUGAUGGUUCCUUUUCUGAAUUUCUUAUUUCAGGUAUGAAGAAAAGAAUGAUGAACGUGUUCAGUGCUUAUUAGGACUUAUUCGUCUGGUUUCUGCUAUUGUACACAAGCAUGAAUAUGUAUGCUAUUCUCAGUUACAUAUCAUAUACUUCUAUUGAUUUAUUUAUUUUCCAACUUCAAGUAAAGGUUGGUGCACUGUAGUGUUUAUGACUUGUUCUAUUAUACUCCUCAAGCUCUUGUUGCAGAGGCAGCUGCCUUCUCUUCUGCUUUGACACAGCAAUUUGAUUAGGCACAAAUGCCAUAACCACCCCUUAAUUAACACUUAUUCCAAGGCUUAACGAUUUGAAGGCUCAUGAUGGGACUUGACUAUCCCACAACACAUCUAUCCUAAGACUCUUUUACUUAUACUGAGGCUUAUAACGUGACUUAACAAUCACAAUGGAGAUUGAAGAUCCCAUAACCAAGGAUUAAAAUACCCAAAUAUAUGCCGAUAUAUCCACAAUAUCUCCAAUAUCUGUGAUACAAAAUUCAAAAAGAUAUAUCCAUCAAUCGAUAUUUUUUGAUAUUUUAUCAAUUUUUCGAUUUUUUCGUGUUUUAACUGAUACUUCAUCGAUAUUUUUGGAUAUUUUAUUAAUAUUUCACUGAUUUUUCAAUUUUUAUAUUAUUAAAUAAAUAAAUUAUAAUUAUUUUAUUUUUAUAUUUGAUUUAAUUUAUUACCAAAAAUAUAAAAACAUAAUUUUGUCUUUUUUAUAUAAUCUAUAUAUUUAUUAAAUAUAAUAAAUAUAAAUAUUAAAAAAAUUAUACAUAUAUUAUUAUUUAUUUGAUAUUAUUGAAUACAUUUAAAUUAAAAUGGAUUAUAAUUUUAAUAUUAAAUAUAUUUUAAAAUUAGACAUAUUAUCAUAAUAAUAUUGUAAAAUAAUUUAUAAUGUAAUUUAAUAAUAAAUGUAUAUUUAUAAAAUUUAUAUUUUUUAUAUUUUCAUCCUUACCCAUAAAACACCUGUCUUGUGGACUUUGGGUUUGCCUUACAUACCUAUCCUGGAUCAUUCAUUUUAGCUAUCAUUUUCUCAAUGAGUCAUGAUAUCACAUACCUAACAAUUCUUUCUUUAACAUUCUACUUCUAUAACUUAAACCCAUUACCUAGUUCCAAUACCACUUGUUGUAUGUGUCGGAAAAAACUUUGAUAUCACAUGUUAUAUCAAAAAAAGCUCUAACAUAGACAAAGAUUUAUUGCCAACAUAUUAAUAUAAGAAUAUAAAGAUAAUUUUUUCACAAAAAGGUAUAUGGGGUUUAACUUGAUUUAACUAACUAUUUUUAUAUCCAUGGAUGAGAGAAAAUAAUUUCACUAUAUCAUAAAAUAAAAAAAUAUAUUAUAAAGGACAAAAAAUAUCAUAUUUCCCUACUCCUUAUCUACUCGGUGUCUCUCGCUUUUUUUCGUAUUUCUAUCUAUCAUAUAUAGUUUUUAUAAACUCAUCUUCAAUUCAUCAUGUAAAUUUGUUGCUUUAAUAUCUAAAAAAUUUGUAAAGAUAUUUCCAAUAACAUUCCUUAUUGUAUAAAGAAAUCUAAUAUUACAAUAUCAUAUCAAUGUAACAAAUAUUCUAUACAUACUAACUAGUCGAAUCACAUUAAACCUCAUGUACUUCUUUGUGUGAUCUUACUAAAGCCAAGAAGAAUGGAACAUGUAAGAAAAUUGUAGAAGAAAUUUUGGUUAAAGGUGGAGUCGAUAGUUAUCUAAUAAGAAUGUGAUAUACAAAGCAUAUAUUUCAUUAUCUAUAAUAAAUGUGGUCUUUCCUAAUUAAUUAUUGGAUCUUGAAUGGUGGAAAUUACGAAGUGUUUGAAUAGUCUAGUGCAUGAGGGGGCCAUAGUACAAAAGAGGACCAUGGCUCGUGAGGAAACCAUGACAUGUGAAGAAGUUUUGGCAUGAAGUGAAAAUAUGGACCCUCACUUCCAUGGAAUUCAAUGCCGUGUUCCCAAAUACUUUUUCUUCUCAAGAGUUGCAGAGACUUUCCCUAAUACUUUUUUAGCUACAAACUUUUCUUCUGAAGAAUAUCUAAUAUUCUUAAAGAUCUGUUGCAGAGAGUUCCCUUUAUCAAUCCCUUGUUACCUACAAGAAAAGAAAAAAAUACAUGGCCGGUUUUGUUGGAGAAGCCGUUUUGUCUGGGUUCAUUCAGAAGUUGGUCGACAUGGUCGCCUCGCCGGAGCUGUGGAAGUACGCACGUGAAGAGCAAGUGGAUUCUGAACUGAACGAGUGGAAGAAAAUAUUGAUGAAGAUCUACGCAGUGCUCCAUGACGCGGAGGACAAGCAGAUGACAAACCCCCUGGUGAAGAUGUGGCUACACGACCUCAGAGACUUGGCUUAUGAUGUAGAGGACAUCUUGGACGAAUCCGUCAGCCAAGCUUUGCGACGCAACUUGAUCGUGGCUCAACCCCAACCGCCCACUGGUACUGUUCGGAGCAUUUUCUCUUCUCUGUCUACUAGUCUCACUUUGAGUGCUGCUUGGUCCAAUUUAAGUAUGGGUUCCAAGAUAGAGGAGAUCACUGCCAGAUUGCAAGAUAUUUCAGCCCAAAAAAAGCACCUGGAUUUAAGAGAUGUUUUUGCUGGUUGGUCUGGUAGAAAGAGACUACGGAGACUGCCAUCCACUUCUUUGGUGAUUGAAUCUUGUAUUUACGGCAGGGAAACAGAAAAGGCUGCCAUACUUGCCAUGCUGCUCAAGGAUGAUCCAAGUGAUGAUGAAGUUUGCGUGAUCCCUAUCGUCGGCAUGGGAGGUAUAGGCAAAACUGUUGAGAAAAAGUUGUUUGCUAGCUUUUGUCCUAGUCUUUUGGGAACUUGUUGUGUUCAACAAGUUAGUUUUUUAUUUUCCUAGUCUGUAGGUGUUAGUUUUGGCACGAUAUGUUGUGCCUAUUUUCUUGCUUUUAUUUGUUAUAUAUAAGCCUAUGUAAAGGCAGUUCUUUUUGUUAAAUAAGAUAGACGAUUAAUAUUUAGUCAGUUCUCCUUUUACUGCAGAACCUUGGUACUUCUUCUUCAUGGAAUCCCAAAUAUGUUUUGAAGUGUCUUUACAAAGAAUGGUUUCCAAGAUUGAGCGAUCAAUUGCUUGGAAAAGAUAAUUCUUUGCCUUGAGAUCUUUCAACCGCUGCCCGUCUAGCUCCGUUCUUUGUGCUUGUGUCAUUGUCGCACUAUCUGUUGGUUCCGUAAUUCCUUCAAAGACGACAUGCCAAUACUCCUUAGAUCUUAGAAAGUUCUCCAUUAACAUGUUCCAAUGAUCAUAAUGACCAUCAAAACGUGGAAUGGCUGGCUGCACAAAAGUUUCAGAGGUCAUUGUUCUCUUCUACUGCUGCUGCAAAAACAAGAGACUAGGUGAAAUAAAAAUGAAGUUGCUGUUGUACGACUCUAUCUCACACACGAGCUUGAAGCUAAACAAAGAUCACGGAGGAAAAAAGGUGGACAGCAUAAUCUAUAAGCAAAUUGUGGGUAGUUUGAUGUAUUUAACUGCAACAAGACCAGACAUAAUGCACUCAGUGAGUCUAAUUAGCAGAUAUAUGGAGAAUCCAACAGAGUUGCAUUUUUUAGCUGCCAAGAAAAUCUGUCGUUACUUGCAAGGAACUAAAGAUUUUGGGUUGUUUUACAAGAAGGGUAAAAGGUCAGAUUUGAUUGGGUUUACUGACAGCGAUUAUGCAGGAGAUCAAGAUAAUAGGAGGAGCACUUCGGGUUAUGUUUUUAUGCUGGGCACAGGAGCUGUUUCGUGGUCAUCUAAGAAGCAACCGAUUGUCACUCUGUCCACCACUGAAGCUGAAUUUGUUGCAGCAACAGUUUGUGCUUGUCAAGCUAUCUGGCUAAGGAAAAUUCUUGAAGAGCUCCAUCUCAAGCAAGUGGGAGCUACUACAAUUUUUUGUGACAACAGCUCAACCAUCAAACUCUCCAAAAAUCCCGUGCUACAUGGAAGAAGCAAGCAUAUUGACGUGAAGUAUUAUUUUUUAAGAGAUCUCAGCAAUGAUGGAGUUAUUGAUCUUGUCUACUGCAGAAGUGAAAACCAAGUUGCUGAUAUUUUUACUAAACCCCUUAAAUUGGCUGUCUUCUUGGAGCUGAGGAAGUUACUUGGAGUUUCCACUCUAGAAUAUUCAAUUUGAGGGAGAAUUCUGCGUAUUUUGUUUAAGGGAGAGUUUGUUGAGAAAAAGUUGUUUGCUAGCUUUUGUCCUAGUCUUUUGGGAACUUGUUGUGUUCAACAAGUUAGUUUUUUAUUUUCCUAAUCUGUAGGUGUUAGUUUUGGCACGAUAUGUAGUGCCUAUUUUCUUGCUUUUAUUUGUUAUAUAUAAGCCUAUAUAAAGGCAGUUCUUUUUGUUGAAUAAGAUAGACGAUUAAUAUUUAGUCAGUUUUUGAAUACCAUGGUUCUCGCAAAAAUUUACAAAUUCUUGUGAGGUGUAUUCUCCACCACGAUCACUGCGGAAAAUCUUAAUAGGUUUGCCUGCUUUUUUUUCGACCAACAUCUUAAAGCUUUUGAUGAAAAAGCUUCAGAUUUCUCCUGCAAAAAAUAAACCCAAGUUUUCCAACUAUAAUCAUCAAUGAACGUUAUAAAGUAACGUUUACCACCAUUGGAUGUUGGAUUAAUGGGUCCGCAUAUAUCAGAGUGAACUAGCUCCAACACCUUAUUCGCUCUCCGUGAUUUUCCUUUAGGAAAUUGAUAUUGAUGUUGUUUACUAACAACACAUUCUUCACAAAUUUGAGAAGGAAUCUGAAUUGGUGGAAGUCCAGUCACCAUGUUCUUCUGUUGUAGCGUCUUUAGACCACCAAAAUUCAGAUGUCUGUAGCGAAAAUGCCACAACCAUCCCUCAUCCAUCAAUUUCGCAGAGAAACAAUUCUGAGUAGUGUUGUCUAGAUACAACGGGAACAUCCGAUUUGUAGUCAUGUUGACUUGAGCAAUUAAGCCUAAUUUCUCAUCUUGGAUGCGACAAACUCCAUCUUUAAUAAAAAUCUCGUAUCCCUUCUCUUGAAGCUGACCAACACUAAGCAAGUUGGUUUAUAGACGAUUAAUAUUUAGUCAGUUCUCCUUUUACUUGUUUCAGUAGAAACAUUAUUAUUUCUUUUCUUUAUCUGUAACAAAAACUACUCUUGCUCAACUUGCGUUUAAUGACGAUAAAGUGAAGGAUCAUUUUGAUUUGCGAGCUUGGGUCUGUGUUUCCGAUGAUUUUGAUGUUUUGAGGGUGACCAAAACUAUUCUGCAAUCACUUUCUCCACAUACACGUUAUGCCAACAAUCUUAAUUUGCUUCAGAUUGAGCUCAGGGAGAAACUUUACCGGAAGAAAUUUCUUCUUAUCUUGGACGUAGUGUUUUUAAAGGCAUUGGUGGGGCGCGCCUCAAGGCGAGGCGCAGCGAAAACGCGUUGAGGCAUUAAAAAUAAAGCGAAACACCUGAAAGGCGUACGCUUUUCUGGUGAGGCGUGAUUGAGGCGCGCUUUGAUCGCGCCUUUCACGCUUUUCCGAUGAGGCGUACGCUUCGUCGGAUCCGAUGUGGCAAUGAACAGAGAUUUAAAAAAAAACCCUAAGUAAUCCCUAAAACCCCAAUCCUGACUGAAAACAAACCCAAAACGAAACCCUACCUCUUCCAAUCAAGCGGCGACGGAGUGCUCACCCUCGGCGGCGACCAAUCGUAGCGAUCUUCUCUGGCGACAAUCCCUCUCAUCUCCAGGUAUGUUGCGAACUCCCUCUUCCAUGCUUUCUCCCUCUUCGUUUCUCUCUCUGCAGUCCACACGGGCGUCGGCUCUUCAUCCAAAUUUUUUUUUUUUUUUAUCAAAUCAGAUGUGCUGUAUGUAUAUCUAUUUAAGUUUUAAACCCUCUUUUCUCUCUCUCACAGCAUUUAAAUUCUCUCACUCACAGCCCACACUUCCGGUCCACGAUUUUCUCUCUCUCCCAGUAGGUUUUUCAUCUUUUUUUUUUUUUUUUUAAUUAUCAAAUCAGAUGUGCCUUUUGUUAAUAAGAUUUUUUUUGAAGUUUUUUAUAUGUUUGCUUCAAUAAACAAAUAUAAUUAAAGUUAUAUAAAAGAUAAUUAUUUGUGAAUUUUGAAUUUUUUAUUUCUGAUUUAAUUUUAAUUCUCACCUCAAUUUUCUUUAUUUCAUUAUUAAAUUCCAAUUAAAAUUUAUGUGUAUAAUUUUUAAACUCCUUUAAAAAAAAUUGGUUUUUUUUUUAAUUUAAACCAAUUAAAUUUUGUAUUUCAUUUUUAAAUUCAUUUCAAUUAUGCUUUGUUAUUAUUUUUUAGUCAAUUAUAUUGUUAUAUGGAAAUUUGAAUAUUAUUAUUGUUGAUUUUUUUUUAGAAUGAGUUCCUCCGAUUCGAAAAAUUCAAGAAAAGAUUUUGUGUGGAAGUAUGUGAUUGAAGUUUCUGGAGAGCAAUAUUUAAGAUGUAAAUUUUGCAAUCAAAGAUGUACGGGAGGGGUGAAUAGAUUAAAGCAUCACUUAGCCGGAACUCAUCAUGGUAUGAAACCAUGCAGCAAAGUUAGUGAAGAUGCUAGAUUGGAAUGCAAAGAAGCAUUGGCCAAUUUUAAGGAUCAAAAAACAAAGAGAAAUGAAUUGUUCCAAGAAAUUGGUAUAGGUCCAACUUCAAUGCAUGAGAGUGCCUUGUCUAAAACAAUAGGGACAUUAGGGAGUGGGAGUGGGAGUGGGAGUGGGAGUGUAAGUGGGAGUGGGGAACCUAUUCCUAGGGGACCCAUGGAUAAAUUUACUACUUCACAACCUAGACAAAGUAUUUUGAAUUCAAAGUGGAAGCAAGAAGAAAGGAAGGAAGUGUGUAGAAAAAUUGGUAGAUUUAUCUAUUCAAAAGGUCUCCCAUUCAACACUGUGAAUGAUCCUUAUUGGUUUCCUAUGAUAGAUGUUGUUGCAAACUUUGGGCCCGGGUUUAAGCCUCCAUCUAUGCACGAAUUGAGGACAUGGAUUCUUAAAGAAGAGGUGAAUGACCUAAGUAUCAUUAUAGAAGAUCACAAAAAAGCUUGGAAACAAUAUGGAUGUUCAAUUAUGUCAGAUGGUUGGACAGAUGGAAAAAGUAGGUGUCUUAUCAAUUUUUUGGUGAAUAGUCCUGCUAGCACUUGGUUUAUGAAAUCAAUUGAUGCUUCUGAUACAAUAAAAAAUGGGGAAAAUAUGUUCAAAUAUCUUGAUGAGAUGGUUGAAGAAAUUGGAGAGGAGAAUAUUGUGCAAGUCAUCACUAAUAAUGCCUCUAAUUAUGUGAAUGCUGGAAUGAGGCUUAUGGAAAAAAGGAGUAGAUUGUGGUGGACUCCUUGUGCUGCUCAUUGCAUUGAUUUGAUGUUGGAGGAUAUUGGAAAGCUAAAUGUUCAUGCUACUACACUUUCUCGAGCUAGGCAAGUUGUGAAGUUUAUAUAUGGGCAUACUUGGAUUCUUAGCUUGAUGAGAACAUUUACAAAAAAUCAUGCACUUAUUCGUCCAGCAAUUACACGGUUUGCUACUGCAUUUCUUACUCUCCAAAGUCUUUAUAAGCAAAAGCAAGCUCUUAUAGCAAUGUUCUCCUCAGAAAAAUGGUGUUCAAGCACAUGGGCUAAAAAGGUAGAAGGUGUGAAAACUCGAAGUACAGUGUUGUUUGAUCCAAAUUUUUGGCCUCAUGUUGCUUUUUGCAUAAAGACCACUGUUCCAUUAGUUAGUGUCUUGAGAGAGGUUGAUUCAGAGGAAAGACCAGCCAUGGGUUAUAUUUAUGAGUUGAUGGAUUCAGCUAAGGAGAAGAUUGCAUUUAAUUGUCGGGGCAUGGAGAGAAAAUAUGGCCCAAUUUGGAGAAAAAUUGAUGCAAGAUGGACUCCGCAACUUCAUCGACCUUUACAUGCAGCAGGCUAUUAUCUUAAUCCUCAAUUGCGGUAUGGAGAUAAGUUCUCUAAUGUUGAUGAGGUGAGGAAGGGAUUAUUUGAAUGCAUGGAUAGGAUGUUGGAUUAUCAAGAACAUUCAGUUGGACUCAUAUGACCAAGCAAUGGGUGAAUUUGGGAGUCGUAUUGCAAUUAAUUCUCGAACAUUAAGAAGUCCUACAAGUUGGUGGAUGCGUUUUGGGGGUUCAACACCGGAGUUGCAAAAGUUUGCUAUUCGAGUCCUUAGCCUUACUUGUAGUGCUUCGGGAUGUGAAAGAAAUUGGAGCACAUUUGAAUCGAUAAUACUUCUAUUUUUGUAAAUUUUUAUACAUAUAUUUCUAUUUCAAUGUUAGAGAACUUUAUUUCAUUUUAACACAUAAAAUUGUUUCUUUUAUUAUUUGUAGAUCCAUACAAAAAAAAAGAAAUAGACUUGAACAUCAAAGGUUGAAUGCUCUAGUGUAUGUAAGGUACAACACUAGAUUGAGAGAGCGAAGUCUACAAAGGAAACAAAAUGUUGAUCCAAUCUUGGUAGAGGAGAUUGAUUCUGAUGAUGAAUGGAUUGCGGAGAAAGAAGAUCCCCUCCUCCCCCUUGAUCUUUGUUGGCUUCAAGAUAAUGAAUUAUUCAAUGUUGAUGCCAUUAGAGUUGUGUCAUCCAACUCCCAAGAGACGCAAGCAUCAUCGGAUCAUAUGGUUUCUUCACAUUCCUACAAAAGGAAACAUAAUGAAGUACCAAGUAAGUACUCAAAAAUUGAAAUCAUAAAUUUGAUUAAAUUUAAUAAAAAAAACUUUUAAUAUUUACACAUAAUUAAUACUUUAUGUUAGGUACAAGUGGAGGCAAAGGCAAAGAGAAGGAAUUGAAUUUGACACCAAUUGAUGAAGAUGAAGAUUUAGAUGAAAUGGGGAUACAUGAUAGUGGACAUUUUCCUACUAUUGAUACAUUGGACGAGGAUGAUGAUGACCUUGGAGAGGAGGAUUUAAGUUGAAACAAUUUACUCUAGUUGUUAUUUCAUGACUUAGUUAUGGAUUUUUUGUAAAAGUUUAGAACUAUUAUUAUGGUUGACUCUAUUUUUUAUUUCAUGACUUAGUUUUGGCUUUUUGUUAAAGUUUGAAACUAUUAGUAUAGUUGAAUCUAUAAUCUAUUUUAUGAAUUUGUUAUGGUUUUUUGUGAAAGUAGAGAACUAGUAUGUUUUUUUUUAUGAUUCUAAUGAAUUGUUUUCAUAUUUUUAUUUAUGCUAUUUUAUUUUAUAUAUUUUAAAAUAUUAAUUAAUUAUAUAAUGUAAGGCUCAAAAAGCUUACGCCUCAACGCCUCGAGGCUUAUGCCUCGCCUCACGAACACAAAAACGCCUCGCCUUACGCUUUCGCUAUUAAAAACUUUGCUUGGACGACGUUUGGAAUGAGAAUUUUGAUGAAUGGGAUAUUUUGUGCAUGCCGAUGAGAGCUGGAGCAUCAGGUAGUAAGCUUAUUGUCACAACCCGUUAUAAAGGGGUUGUAUCUGUCACUGGAACUUGUUCAGCUUAUCCCCUUCAGGAGUUAUCAUAUGAUGAUUGUCUAUCUUUAUUCACCCGACAAGCAUUGGGGGCAAGAAACUUGGAUGCUUAUCCACACCUGAAAGAAGUUGGAGAGGAGAUAGUCAAAAGGUGCAAAGGCCCUUGGUGGCAUGUUGCGCAACCAACUAAAUCGCAGAGCAUGGGAAGAUAUAUUAACAAGCAAGAUAUGGGAUUUUCCGGAGGAGAAAAGUCGUAUUCUUCCCGCUCUCAAGUUAAGUUACCAUCAUCUUCCUUCUCAUUUGAAGCGGUGUUUUGCUUAUUGCUCGAUAUUUCCAAAAGACUACGAAUUCGACAAAGAUGAAUUAAUCCUAUUAUGGAUGGCAGAAGGUUUUCUGCAACAAACAAAGGAAGAGAACCAGCCUGAGAAGUUAGGUUGUGAGUACUUUGAUGAUUUAUUCUCAAGGUCAUUUUUUCAACAGUCAACUCAAAAUUCAUCCCAAUUUUUGAUGCAUGAUCUUAUUAACGAUCUAGCUCAAUCUAUUUCCGGAGACAUAUGCUUUAAUUUGAAUGAUGAGUUAGAGAACAAUAAGCAAUCCAUGGCUGUUUCAGAGAAGGCUCGUCAUUUGUCAUUCAAUCGUCAACGUUACGAGAUGAUGAGAAAAUUCGAAGCGUUUCGUAAAGCUAAGUGUUUGCGGACGUUGGCUGCUUUGCCACUCACUACAUUUUCUACAUAUUUCAUUUCAAGUAAGGUGCUAGAUGACCUUUUAAAAGAAAUGAAAUGUUUGCGGGUAUUGUCAUUAAGCGGUUAUUUCAUAAGUGAGAUGUUACCAAAUUCCAUAGGCGGUUUGAAACAUCUGCGCUAUUUGAAUUUAUCUGAUUCUUUGAUGAAUAGGUUACCCGAUUCAGUGGGUCAUCUUUAUAAUUUGCAAACACUAAUAUUAUGCAAUUGCUAUAGACUUGUUGAGUUGCCUAUGGGAAUUGGAGGCCUCAUCAACCUUCGACAUGUUGAUAUUUCUGGUGCAGUUCAACUACAGGAGAUGCCCCCUCAAAUGGGAAACUUAACCAAUUUGCAAACAUUAUCCGACUUUAUUGUGGGCAAAGGUAGCAGGUCGGGUGUCAAAGAAUUAAAGAAUUUGCUGGGUCUCCAAGGAAAGCUUUCUAUUUCAGGGUUGCAUAAUGUGGUAGAUAUUCAAGAUGCAAGGAGUGUUAAUUUACAGAAGAAUCAGAACAUCAAAGAGUUAACACUGAAAUGGAGCAGCGAUUUUGGUGAAUCAAGAAAUAAAAUGAAUGAGACGCUUGUUUUAGAGUGGCUACAACCUCAUAGAAAUCUGGAAAAGCUCACCAUUGCGUUCUAUGGUGGACCAAACUUUCCAAGUUGGAUAAAGGAUCCCUCAUUCCCAUUAAUGACACACUUGGUUCUCAAGAAUUGCAAGACAUGCACGUCGUUACCAUCUCUCGGCCAAUUAUCCUUACUCAAAAACUUGCAUAUCGAAGGGAUGAGUGAAGUUAGAACCAUAGAUGAGGAGUUUUAUGGAGGGAUUGUCCAGCCUUUUCCAUCCUUGGAGUUACUGAAGUUUAAAAAUAUGCCAACAUGGGAAGAUUGGUUUUUUCCAGAUGCAGAUGAAGAAGUUGAACCGUUUCCAUUCCUUCGAGAACUUACAAUAAGGAGAUGCUCAAAGCUUGGUAUACAAUUGCCUGAUUGCCUACCUUCUCUGGUUAAACUUGAUAUCUUUGGGUGUCCAAAUUUGAAAGUUCCCUUUUCAGGAUUUGCAUCUCUUUGUGAAUUAAGUUUAGAAGAAUGUAAAGGGUUGGUGUUCAGAAGUGGGGUUGAUAAUUGUCUAGAAACAUUAGCUAUUGGACGGUGUCACUGGCUUGUAACAUUGGAGGAGCAAAUGCUACCUUGCAAACUUAAAAUUUUGAAAAUACAAGACUGUGCUAACCUGGAGAAGCUGCCAAACGGAUUGCGAAGUCUCAUAUCUCUCCAAGAGUUGAAAUUAGAGAGGUGCCCCAAACUGGUUUCAUUUCCAGAGGCCGCUUUGUCACCCUUGCUCAGAUCUGUGGUGCUCCAGAACUGCCCAUCUCUCAUAUGCUUUCCAAAUGGUGAGCUACCCGCCACCACACUCAAGCAUCUGAGGGUUGAAGAUUGUGAAAAUUUGGAGUCUCUACCAGAGGAAAUGAUGCACCACAAGUCCUCUUCCACUGUAGGCAAAAACACUUGUUGCCUUGAAAAAUUGUGGAUAAAGAAUUGUUCCUCUCUCAAGUUCUUUCCAGCAGGGGAGUUACCCUCCACCCUUGAGCUCCUUUGUAUUUGGGGAUGCGCAAACUUGGAGUCAAUAUCAGAGAAAAUGUCAUCCAAUGGCACAGCUCUUGAAUAUUUAGACAUAAGGGGCUAUCCAAAUCUGAAAAUCCUACCAGAAUGCCUUACAAGCCUCAAGGAGCUCCACAUAGAAGAUUGUGGAGGUCUGGAGUGUUUUCCAAAAAGAGGAUUGUCAACCCCCAACCUCAGGCACUUUCGUAUUUGGAGAUGUGUGAAUCUCAGGUCCCUUCCACAGCAAAUGAAAAACCUCACAUCUGUUCACACUCUCGGCAUACGGGGUUGUCCAGGAGUGGAAUCCUUUCCAGAAGGGGGUUUGCCCCCCAAUCUAACAUCACUUUACGUUGGAUGGUGUCAGAAUCUGAAAACACCCAUAUCUGAAUGGGGACUCCUUACCCUCACCUGUUUUUCUGAAUUGACCAUAUGUAGUAUGCUUCCAAAUAUGGUUUCUUUUUCGGAUGAAGAGUGUCUUCUUCCUCCAUCUCUGACCUAUCUUUACAUCAGUGACCUGAAAUCUUUAACCUCCCUGGCUCUCCAAAAUCUGGUGUCUCUAACUGAACUAGGUAUUGAUUGUUGCCGCAAGCUCAGUUCCUUGGAGUUGCCUGCAACACUUGGAAGACUUGAAAUCACUGGUUGUCCUAUUAUAAAAGAAAUCUGCUUAAAGAAGGGAGGAUACUGGCCCAACUUCGCCCACAUCCCCUGCAUUCAAAUAGAUGACUCAUACAUCCAUUGAAAGAUAGCAGACUCAGAUUGAAAUACAUUUUUCUCUUGUCAAGAAGUAUAGAUCCAUUCAUCUUUAUGCUUACUUUAGUCAAUCAGGUACAACCCACUUCUGCUUUUCUAGCCUUUGUUUACUUUCCAAUAUUUAAACCAGUUGUCUUGGAUUUAUUCCAAAUUUUUUACACAAAUAAAAGUUCUGUAGAGAAGAUGAAAGUAAGUAGUAAACCUAUAAUUCAGAUGAUGAAACCGAUGAUAGCAUUUAAGUUUAGUAUUACUUUUCGAAAUGGUUCUUACUUUGUAAAUAUUUACUUUGUCAUUUUAUUUUGUCCUUGAAACUAUUUCAAGAGAUCCAAUCAUUCUGAAAUUUUAUGUAAUUAUUUCUCUUCAUAAUGCUGGUGAAGUUAUAACCAAUUUCUGUUCUUGCCUUGUAGAUUCAGAGGGAUACUGCUUGGUAGAGAUGUGGCAGGAAGCACAGGGUGAAGAUAACAGAAGAUCUUUGACAGAAGUUACUCACUGGGGUGGGUUCUUCUCUCAUUUAUGUCUCUUCAACUGUGUCCUUUUUAUUUUUAUAAUUGUUGGUAGAGUUGUAUAGUGAUUUGAAAAAUGCUUUGCAAUGAUCAUUUAUAAAUAUUUACAUUGUCAUGUCACUAAGUCUUUGAUGGUAUUUCAAGAAAUUGUUUAUUGUUGCUCACUUCAAAUUUCUAUCCAAACAUCACUCAUUCAACCACAGAGUGCCAUUAUGAACUGAAGCUAUGUAUAAACUAUCUUGAAGAGCUCAUUUUGAUUGGUAAUGUUUGUGUAGUUCUUGCUAAUUCUUUUCCUGCUAAUGUGACUGCCAAUUUUCAUUCUAAAUUCAUGGGGUUCUGGCUUGACAAGGAUGUUGCAGAGGUAAACAGGUAUGUCUCCCUGUUCAGAAUAUGUGGCUUCCCAUUUCAUUGGCCCCAUAUUGGUUUGGCCUUCAGAAAAUAAAUGAAAUUUCUUCUCAACAUGUAGGAUGAAAAAAAUAUGGUGAAUUUCUAUGACUGGUGCAAUUGAUUUUUAAUUUCUCACAAGAUUUUUCAUUGAUGUUUCAAUUAGAGGUGGACAUCGACUGUAGUUAUGGCUUGGCAUUCUCUCUUUGCUUUUCAUGCUGCUGUUAAUCCUCUGUUUCACACAAACAGUCAUUUUUCUAGAUGAAGUAACGUUGACAUUCUGUUGUUUUUGCAGCGUGAUUAACCUUAAUUUUACACAUAUACAGUUCCAUCCACAGAUCCAUGAAUUGUCCUGCAGGUUUAUUUGUGCAAGGUUAUACUACUUUUGUUUUGAGUUCAAUCCAGUCUUAAGAAGAUUGGAGAGGGCAUUAAACAAACAUUCUGGCUGACUCUGGAUGUAUACUAUAGUAUCUUAAGAAAGGUGCCUACAUAUUUAUCGACCACCUAAUCUCUGGUCCUUGGGCUGCCUGCAAUACUUAGAAGGCUUAGCACAGGUUGUCCUAUUCUAAAAGAAAUGUGCUUAUAAGAGAACUACAUUGCCCACAUCCCCUUUAUUGAUAUAAAUAUUAGAUAUAUCCAUUUACUGUCCCAGCCAUAUCCUCUCCUUGCUUUCAAUCAGGCACGGGCUUUCAUAUAUCACAAAUAUUAGCAAUUUUCUUUGAACUCUACUUUCCCCACUCAAAAUAACAAAAGCAGAGACCACUCUUCCUUAUUUUAAACUGGGUAUGUCUGCUCAUUCAUAAUUUAAAUUGGAUAUGUUUUUGCCAUGAUGUAGGUUUUGACAAAGGAAAGGGCUGCCUGCAACACUCCCAAUGCUUGAAAUCAGGAAAUUUCAUAUUCGAAAAACUGAUGGUAAGAGGAUGUGGGGAGAUUGCAUCUUUUGUAAGAGAGCAGGUUUGGUUUAGAAUGCCUCAGUGGUCUUGAAAGUCUGGAGAUCUGGUAGUGGCAUGGACUUGUACCCUUUGGACUUUGGAGCAGCAGGGCUGCUUGGCAAUCUUAAAUAUUUGAAAUUGGAAGACUGGGCUAACCAGAAGAAGCAGAAGACUGCAGUUUAGCCUCCAACCUUACAUCACUUUAUAUGGGACAUCAUGUGAAUCUGAAGCUGCCAUUAUCUGAGUAGGGCCUCCACAGGCUCACUUCUCUUUCAUCAUUUGUACAUUUCUGGUGUAUGUCCAGCUCUGGCUUCUCUAUCAGAUGAUGACUAUCUUUUUCCCACAACUGAGCAAUUUUUAUGUUCGUAAACUGGAUUCCAUCGCAUCUGUGCUUUCAAAAACCUGCAUUCUCUUGAAACUAUAUCCAUCUAUAGGUGUCUUAAGCUCUGGUCCAAAGGGUUGACUGAAAAACUUUCGAGGCAUGACCUCAAUACUACGUGAUUAUCUGCUUUCUUCAGGACCAUUUUGAGUAAGCAUGAUAAGUUAGUGCUUCAUUUUUUCUUUUAAUUUCUUCUUUCAGGUAAGAAGAGAAGAAUGAUGAAGUAAUUCAAUGCCAACAUUGAAGUGUCAAGCAUGAAUAUGUUACUUUUCAGUUAUAUAUUGAUUCUUUUUUUUCUUUUUCUUUUUUCAAUUUUCUUAUCUCAAGUAAAUUUUCUUUCUGCACCAAAUCCUAAGGCAAUAUAAUCUUGAGCUUACUUUUUAAGAUUGAUAUUCGACUUGCUCUUUGAGCCAUAAUUUGCCAAAGAGUGUUGUGAUAACGUUAAAUCUUGAGUCAUCUUAGGUGUAAUAGAAUGCAUAGGCCAAACACAAUCGAAUUAAUCCUUGAGUCAUUAUUUCUUGAAUAGUAGAAAAAUAAUUGUGCUUACUUCUCGGGGUCAAUAGUUCUAGCUUGGGUCAUUAUAUCUUGAGGAGUGACAUUGUUGCAAAUUUGAGACAAUCACAAAGCUAAUACCAAACUUUGAGCAUAUGAAAUUCCUAGGGCAAUUCCAAGUCAACACAAUCUUAGGUUUACUCCUUGAGCCACUAUUUCCAAAAUGUGCUAUAGUUACAAAUCUACAUAAUAAUAAGGCUCACCUCCCAAAUCUCAAUCCAAAAAUCCCUAGCCAACUUCUUGAACCAUCAUUUCUUGAGGCUCAUCUAAUUCAUUUUCUCUUUUCUUGACUUGUUCUUCAACUUGUUUGGGUAAGAAAUGAAAGACUCUUAGCCAUUUUGAUUUGAUUGUAUUGUCUUAUAAUGAAAGUGGGGUGAUCAAAUGAUCACAUUGGUAAUGGUCAAUAAAGUCAUGGGAAUGGUUACGAUUAACAUUUACAUUGUUGUUCGUCAUGAUCUCAAUUGUUCCACUUUGGUUAUGAAGUGUUGCCUUGUUAUGAAAGAGGUUUUCAAAUUGGCUACAUACUCUUAUACCAUUUGUUAUGCUCAAACUCAAUGUAACCAUUUUAUCUAACAAUCGAUUAAUUGCUUAAGAGAUCAAGGUAAACCCAUUUAUGUUAUUCAUAGAACAUUAAAUCAGUCAUAAGCUAAUACAUUCUUAGGGUUAACACCAAAAUUUUGAGUGGAUAAAAUCUUGAGAUUACUUCUUAAACCAAAACCAAGCCUCAAGCCAACACAAUUUUAGGUUAAUCACUUUCAAAUUCAAUACUAAAUCCGAAGCGUACCAAAUCCCUAUAACCAAGAUACUUCUUCGAUCAUAAAAAAUCCUAAGGACCGUCCUUGAUUUAUCAUUUCCAAGGAGCAAUAUGAUUUCAAACCUUACAAGUAAAUAAUCGUUGAUGACAUAUCUUUCUUCUUUUUUUUUUUUCAUUAUCUAGCAAUGAACAUGAAUUAAUGACUUGCUACAUGAGUUGUGUGGAUUAGGGAUCCCUUGUUUGCAUAACGGUGAAUGAAAGUAUGACCUAAGAGAUAAAAAAUCAUGAAGCUAAAAAAUUUGUGCGCCCUAAAGGAGAAGUACCGAAGAUUUGGAUUGGAAUUUCUUUGACCCUUAUUUUUAUGCUAGUAAAUUACAAAAUAAUCAAUCAAAUGAUAGUGUGAUUUCUUUUUCCUAAAUAACAAGUUAUUUAGGGUUUCUAUGCAUAAAUUAUUACAUAUUGUCUUCUAUUAGAUACUAAAUUUUCUAUAUUAUAAACUAAAUUAGAAAUGGUCAUAAAAAACUGAAAAUUCUUUAUAUACAUCGGGUUAGAGUUCUCUCAUGUUUUUAGAUAUACAAGUCUAUGGUCCCUCAACUUUUGCUAUUUUUAUUUCAUACCAUAGCACCACAAAAAAGUCUACAAAUUCAUACGUAGACAAAACAAAGUUAAAGUAAAAGUGGACCAAUCUUAUCUCCUUGUCCAAAAUCAAAAUCAAAAUUUUAUUCUCAUGAAACUAAUUUUAUUAAAAAUUUUAUUUAUUUUUUACAUAAUAUUUUAAUUCAUCUUUAUUUGUGUUUCUAUUAUGAUUCUUAUUCUUCAAUAUUACUAUUUCAAAUAUAAGGUAAAAAUCUUCCUUUACUAAAAGAUGUAUUUCAAAUAUGUCACAUCAUAAAAAAAAUUUGUAGUUAAGAUGAUAGUACUACAAAUGGGUUGUUAUUGAUUUAUAUUAAAGUACUAGAGCUAUUGCAUAAUUCUAUAAAAUUUCAAAUUAUUAGAGCACAAAAUAAUUUUUGUGUACAUAGCUUCUUACAAAGAAGGAACCAUGAAAAUAUUGGGAAGGGAAUGGGGGUAUGUUAUUGGAAAUUGCCUAGAAUGUAGCUCUGCUUCAAAUAUUAUUUGCAUAAAUAUAAAUACAUAAUUAUUAUUAUUUUAUAUAUUUAUUCAAAAUUAUAUAAAAAAAGUUGUUGAACAUUUAUGUCCCCUUCCCUUUAUCUUUCUAUGACUUUUCUGCGGUGUAUAUUAAUUCAUAUUUCAUCUCAAUCACCAAUUAAUACUUGAUAUUAACAUGACAGAUAAACCCUUAAUCAAUGAGAUAGGUUGAGACAUUUUUAAACCCUUAAUCAAUCUCAAAACAAUGGUAUAUAUAUGUCUGAAUAGAGAUCGAAGACUUAGGAUCCAAUUAUAGAAGCUCUAUUUAUAUUCACUUUACCUAUCAUAGAGUCAAUGUCAUAAUUCAUGGCUAUUAAUAACAAUCAAUAGUAAAAAACUAAAUUAAUAGAAAUCCAAAAUUAAUUAAAGAUUAUGAGCCCGAUUUUUAGAUCCAUUUAAAAAAAUCUAACAAAUAGUUCUAAUGGAUAAUUAUUUAUUUAUAUUAAAGAACUAGAAUUAUUGCUUAAUUAUAUAAAACUUCAAAUUAUUAGAGCAUAAAAUAAUCUUCUAAACACUUGGGAAGAAAAAUACGUAUAUAAAUAACAUGAUUAGCAUAAUUAGGUGGAGUUGAUUUUUGUGCACAUAACUUCUUACAAAGAAGGAACCCUAAAAAUAAAUGGGUGUACAUCAUUUACUUUAUGUGAUAGGAAAUUGCCUAGAAUGUAGCACUUCUUCAAAUAUUAUUUGUAUAAAUAAAAAUAUAUAUAUAUAUAUUAUAAUUUUAUAUAUUUAUUAAAAUCCCUUCAAAAUUGUAUACAAAAGUUGUUGACAUUUGUGUCCCCUUCCCCUUUUCUUCCUAUGACUUUUCAGUGGUGCACUCAAUGAGCAAUUAAUGCUUGAUAUUAACAUGUUAAGUGUAGAAACCGUGUGGACCUCCCACUAAUUGAACCAAGGAAUCCAACUUGUUUCUUUUUUUUCUUUGAUGAAAAUAUUUCCAAGUUUCACAGCGAGGCUGAUUAUUGAACACCAAAGUUUAUCUGUGGUAUAGAUGAUGUAACAUCAUAGAUAUACAAUUUUAUAUAUUAUAAAAAUUAAAAUUAAUUAUAUGAAGUGGAAAUUAUAUGUAAAUAAUUAAAAAUCUUAAACUAUUUUAUAUUAUAGAAAAAGUGGAUUUUUAUUUACUAAUUAAAAUAAGUGAACGUAAAACUGAUUUAUAGAAGUUCGAGGUUUUAUCUAUAUUUUUAAAAAAAAAAUUAAUGAAUUAAAACCCAAUUUUUUCAAUAAAACUCUCAAAUAUUAUGAGAUGAGGAUAAACAUAAAAAGCCUAUAUUGAGUAGGUUAUAAUUAUAUUUUUAUAAUUUAUAGAAAAUAGUAAAAUAUAUCAUUUUAUUAUUUGGUAUUUUCCGAUAAAACUUAAGGUAUAUUCCCAUCAUGUAAAAAGCUGUCAAUGACCUAGAUAUCGUCUUAUGGUCUUCUCUAGUGGGCAUUAGUUAACAUUUCACCUCAUGAAUAUGAACGCAGAAAAGCAGCCCACGUGUGGCAUUUUCAAGAUACCAACCCUGUGGACCAACCUAGAAUUACGGAAUUAGUCCAAGGACAUCGCUAAAGGUCUCGCAUUUGGUUUUGUUUUUUUUUUUGUGACUGGAACACACGGUCACUUUCCAUCGUUCAGACCGUCUGCACCCUCACUUCCAUGGAAUUCAAUGCCGUAUUCCCAAAUACUUUUCUUCUCAAGAGUUGCAGAGACUUCCCCUAAUCCUUUUUUAGCUACAAACUUUUCUUCUGAAGAAUAUCUAAUAUUCUUAAAGAUCUGUUGCAGAGAGUUCCCUUAAUCAAUCCCUUGUUACCUACAAGAAAAGAAAAAAAAAACAUGGCUGGUUUUGUUGGAGAAGCCGUUUUGUCUGGGUUCAUUCAGAAGUUGGUCGACAUGGUCGCCUCGCCGGAGCUGUGGAAGUACGCACGUGAAGAGCAAGUGGAUUCUGAACUGAACGAGUGGAAGAAAAUAUUGAUGAAGAUCUACGCAGUGCUCCAUGACGCGGAGGACAAGCAGAUGACAAACCCCCUGGUGAAGAUGUGGCUACACGACCUCAGAGACUUGGCUUAUGAUCUGGAGGACAUCUUGGACGACUUCGCCACCCAAGCUUUGCGACGCAACUUGAUCGUGGCUCAACCCCAACCGCCCACUGGUACCGUUCGGAGCAUUUUAUCUUAUGUGUCUACUAGUCUCACUUUGAGUGCUGCUUGGUCCAAUUUAAGUAUGGGUUCCAAGAUAGAGGAGAUCACUGCCAGAUUGCAAGAUAUUUCAGCCCAAAAAAAGCACCUGGAUUUAAGAGAUGUUUCUGCUGGUUGGUCUGGUAGAAAGAGACUACGGAGACUGCCAUCCACUUCUUUGGUGAUUGAAUCUCGUAUUUAUGGCAGGGAGACAGAUAAAGCUGCCAUACUUGCCAUGCUGCUCAAGGACGAUCCAAGUGAUGAUGAAGUCUGCGUGAUCCCUAUCGUCGGCAUGGGAGGUAUAGGCAAAACUACUCUUGCUCAACUUGCGUUUAAUGACGAUAAAGUGAAGGAUCAUUUUGAUUUGCGAGCUUGGGUCUGUGUUUCCGAUGAUUUUGAUGUUUUGAGGGUGACCAAAACUAUUCUGCAAUCACUUUCUCCACAUACACGUUAUGCCAACAAUCUUAAUUUGCUUCAGAUUGAGCUCAGGGAGAAACUUUACCGGAAGAAAUUUCUUCUUAUCUUGGACGACGUUUGGAAUGAGAAUUUUGAUGAAUGGGAUAUUUUGUGCAUGCCGAUGAGAGCCGGAGCGUCAGGUAGUAAGCUUAUUGUCACAACCCGUAAUAAAGGGGUUGUAUCUGUUACCGGAACUUGUUCAGCUUAUCCCCUUCAGGAGUUAUCAUAUGAUGAUUGUCUAUCUUUAUUCACCCGACAAGCAUUAGGGGCAAGAAACUNNNNNNNNNNNNNNNNNNNNNNNNNNNNNNNNNNNNNNNNNNNNNNNNNNNNNNNNNNNNNNNNNNNNNNNNNNNNNNNNNNNNNNNNNNNNNNNNNNNNNNNNNNNNNNNNNNNNNNNNNNNNNNNNNNNNNNNNNNNNNNNNNNNNNNNNNNNNNNNNNNNNNNNNNNNNNNNNNNNNNNNNNNNNNNNNNNNNNNNNNNNNNNNNNNNNNNNNNNNNNNNNNNNNNNNNNNNNNNNNNNNNNNNNNNNNNNNNNNNNNNNNNNNNNNNNNNNNNNNNNNNNNNNNNNNNNNNNNNNNNNNNNNNNNNNNNNNNNNNNNNNNNNNNNNNNNNNNNNNNNNNNNNNNNNNNNNNNNNNNNNNNNNNNNNNNNNNNNNNNNNNNNNNNNNNNNNNNNNNNNNNNNNNNNNNNNNNNNNNNNNNNNNNNNNNNNNNNNNNNNNNNNNNNNNNNNNNNNNNNNNNNNNNNNNNNNNNNNNNNNNNNNNNNNNNNNNNNNNNNNNNNNNNNNNNNNNNNNNNNNNNNNNNNNNNNNNNNNNNNNNNNNNNNNNNNNNNNNNNNNNNNNNNNNNNNNNNNNNNNNNNNNNNNNNNNNNNNNNNNNNNNNNNNNNNNNNNNNNNNNNNNNNNNNNNNNNNNNNNNNNNNNNNNNNNNNNNNNNNNNNNNNNNNNNNNNNNNNNNNNNNNNNNNNNNNNNNNNNNNNNNNNNNNNNNNNNNNNNNNNNNNNNNNNNNNNNNNNNNNNNNNNNNNNNNNNNNNNNNNNNNNNNNNNNNNNNNNNNNNNNNNNNNNNNNNNNNNNNNNNNNNNNNNNNNNNNNNNNNNNNNNNNNNNNNNNNNNNNNNNNNNNNNNNNNNNNNNNNNNNNNNNNNNNNNNNNNNNNNNNNNNNNNNNNNNNNNNNNNNNNNNNNNNNNNNNNNNNNNNNNNNNNNNNNNNNNNNNNNNNNNNNNNNNNNNNNNNNNNNNNNNNNNNNNNNNNNNNNNNNNNNNNNNNNNNNNNNNNNNNNNNNNNNNNNNNNNNNNNNNNNNNNNNNNNNNNNNNNNNNNNNNNNNNNNNNNNNNNNNNNNNNNNNNNNNNNNNNNNNNNNNNNNNNNNNNNNNNNNNNNNNNNNNNNNNNNNNNNNNNNNNNNNNNNNNNNNNNNNNNNNNNNNNNNNNNNNNNNNNNNNNNNNNNNNNNNNNNNNNNNNNNNNNNNNNNNNNNNNNNNNNNNNNNNNNNNNNNNNNNNNNNNNNNNNNNNNNNNNNNNNNNNNNNNNNNNNNNNNNNNNNNNNNNNNNNNNNNNNNNNNNNNNNNNNNNNNNNNNNNNNNNNNNNNNNNNNNNNNNNNNNNNNNNNNNNNNNNNNNNNNNNNNNNNNNNNNNNNNNNNNNNNNNNNNNNNNNNNNNNNNNNNNNNNNNNNNNNNNNNNNNNNNNNNNNNNNNNNNNNNNNNNNNNNNNNNNNNNNNNNNNNNNNNNNNNNNNNNNNNNNNNNNNNNNNNNNNNNNNNNNNNNNNNNNNNNNNNNNNNNNNNNNNNNNNNNNNNNNNNNNNNNNNNNNNNNNNNNNNNNNNNNNNNNNNNNNNNNNNNNNNNNNNNNNNNNNNNNNNNNNNNNNNNNNNNNNNNNNNNNNNNNNNNNNNNNNNNNNNNNNNNNNNNNNNNNNNNNNNNNNNNNNNNNNNNNNNNNNNNNNNNNNNNNNNNNNNNNNNNNNNNNNNNNNNNNNNNNNNNNNNNNNNNNNNNNNNNNNNNNNNNNNNNNNNNNNNNNNNNNNNNNNNNNNNNNNNNNNNNNNNNNNNNNNNNNNNNNNNNNNNNNNNNNNNNNNNNNNNNNNNNNNNNNNNNNNNNNNNNNNNNNNNNNNNNNNNNNNNNNNNNNNNNNNNNNNNNNNNNNNNNNNNNNNNNNNNNNNNNNNNNNNNNNNNNNNNNNNNNNNNNNNNNNNNNNNNNNNNNNNNNNNNNNNNNNNNNNNNNNNNNNNNNNNNNNNNNNNNNNNNNNNNNNNNNNNNNNNNNNNNNNNNNNNNNNNNNNNNNNNNNNNNNNNNNNNNNNNNNNNNNNNNNNNNNNNNNNNNNNNNNNNNNNNNNNNNNNNNNNNNNNNNNNNNNNNNNNNNNNNNNNNNNNNNNNNNNNNNNNNNNNNNNNNNNNNNNNNNNNNNNNNNNNNNNNNNNNNNNNNNNNNNNNNNNNNNNNNNNNNNNNNNNNNNNNNNNNNNNNNNNNNNNNNNNNNNNNNNNNNNNNNNNNNNNNNNNNNNNNNNNNNNNNNNNNNNNNNNNNNNNNNNNNNNNNNNNNNNNNNNNNNNNNNNNNNNNNNNNNNNNNNNNNNNNNNNNNNNNNNNNNNNNNNNNNNNNNNNNNNNNNNNNNNNNNNNNNNNNNNNNNNNNNNNNNNNNNNNNNNNNNNNNNNNNNNNNNNNNNNNNNNNNNNNNNNNNNNNNNNNNNNNNNNNNNNNNNNNNNNNNNNNNNNNNNNNNNNNNNNNNNNNNNNNNNNNNNNNNNNNNNNNNNNNNNNNNNNNNNNNNNNNNNNNNNNNNNNNNNNNNNNNNNNNNNNNNNNNNNNNNNNNNNNNNNNNNNNNNNNNNNNNNNNNNNNNNNNNNNNNNNNNNNNNNNNNNNNNNNNNNNNNNNNNNNNNNNNNNNNNNNNNNNNNNNNNNNNNNNNNNNNNNNNNNNNNNNNNNNNNNNNNNNNNNNNNNNNNNNNNNNNNNNNNNNNNNNNNNNNNNNNNNNNNNNNNNNNNNNNNNNNNNNNNNNNNNNNNNNNNNNNNNNNNNNNNNNNNNNNNNNNNNNNNNNNNNNNNNNNNNNNNNNNNNNNNNNNNNNNNNNNNNNNNNNNNNNNNNNNNNNNNNNNNNNNNNNNNNNNNNNNNNNNNNNNNNNNNNNNNNNNNNNNNNNNNNNNNNNNNNNNNNNNNNNNNNNNNNNNNNNNNNNNNNNNNNNNNNNNNNNNNNNNNNNNNNNNNNNNNNNNNNNNNNNNNNNNNNNNNNNNNNNNNNNNNNNNNNNNNNNNNNNNNNNNNNNNNNNNNNNNNNNNNNNNNNNNNNNNNNNNNNNNNNNNNNNNNNNNNNNNNNNNNNNNNNNNNNNNNNNNNNNNNNNNNNNNNNNNNNNNNNNNNNNNNNNNNNNNNNNNNNNNNNNNNNNNNNNNNNNNNNNNNNNNNNNNNNNNNNNNNNNNNNNNNNNNNNNNNNNNNNNNNNNNNNNNNNNNNNNNNNNNNNNNNNNNNNNNNNNNNNNNNNNNNNNNNNNNNNNNNNNNNNNNNNNNNNNNNNNNNNNNNNNNNNNNNNNNNNNNNNNNNNNNNNNNNNNNNNNNNNNNNNNNNNNNNNNNNNNNNNNNNNNNNNNNNNNNNNNNNNNNNNNNNNNNNNNNNNNNNNNNNNNNNNNNNNNNNNNNNNNNNNNNNNNNNNNNNNNNNNNNNNNNNNNNNNNNNNNNNNNNNNNNNNNNNNNNNNNNNNNNNNNNNNNNNNNNNNNNNNNNNNNNNNNNNNNNNNNNNNNNNNNNNNNNNNNNNNNNNNNNNNNNNNNNNNNNNNNNNNNNNNNNNNNNNNNNNNNNNNNNNNNNNNNNNNNNNNNNNNNNNNNNNNNNNNNNNNNNNNNNNNNNNNNNNNNNNNNNNNNNNNNNNNNNNNNNNNNNNNNNNNNNNNNNNNNNNNNNNNNNNNNNNNNNNNNNNNNNNNNNNNNNNNNNNNNNNNNNNNNNNNNNNNNNNNNNNNNNNNNNNNNNNNNNNNNNNNNNNNNNNNNNNNNNNNNNNNNNNNNNNNNNNNNNNNNNNNNNNNNNNNNNNNNNNNNNNNNNNNNNNNNNNNNNNNNNNNNNNNNNNNNNNNNNNNNNNNNNNNNNNNNNNNNNNNNNNNNNNNNNNNNNNNNNNNNNNNNNNNNNNNNNNNNNNNNNNNNNNNNNNNNNNNNNNNNNNNNNNNNNNNNNNNNNNNNNNNNNNNNNNNNNNNNNNNNNNNNNNNNNNNNNNNNNNNNNNNNNNNNNNNNNNNNNNNNNNNNNNNNNNNNNNNNNNNNNNNNNNNNNNNNNNNNNNNNNNNNNNNNNNNNNNNNNNNNNNNNNNNNNNNNNNNNNNNNNNNNNNNNNNNNNNNNNNNNNNNNNNNNNNNNNNNNNNNNNNNNNNNNNNNNNNNNNNNNNNNNNNNNNNNNNNNNNNNNNNNNNNNNNNNNNNNNNNNNNNNNNNNNNNNNNNNNNNNNNNNNNNNNNNNNNNNNNNNNNNNNNNNNNNNNNNNNNNNNNNNNNNNNNNNNNNNNNNNNNNNNNNNNNNNNNNNNNNNNNNNNNNNNNNNNNNNNNNNNNNNNNNNNNNNNNNNNNNNNNNNNNNNNNNNNNNNNNNNNNNNNNNNNNNNNNNNNAUGCAGAUGAACAAGUGGGACCAUUUCCAUUCCUUCGAGAACUUACAAUAAGGAGAUGCUCAAAGCUAGGUAUACAGUUGCCUGAUUGCCUACCUUCUCUGGUUAAACUUGAUAUCUUUGGGUGUCCAAAUUUGAAAGUUCCCUUUUCAGGAUUUGCAUCUCUUGGUGAAUUAAGUUUAGAAGAAUGUGAAGGGGUGGUGUUCAGAAGUGGGGUUGGUAGUUGUCUUGAAACAUUAGCUAUUGGACGGUGUCACUGGCUUGUAACGUUGGAGGAGCAAAUGCUACCUUGCAAACUUAAAAUUUUGAAAAUACAAGACUGUGCUAACCUGGAGGAGCUGCCAAACGGAUUGCAAAGUCUCAUAUCUCUCCAAGAGUUGAAAUUAGAGAGGUGCCCCAAACUGAUUUCAUUUCCAGAGGCCGCUUUGUCACCCUUGCUCAGAUCUCUGGUGCUGCAGAACUGCCCAUCUCUCAUAUGCUUUCCAAAUGGUGAGCUGCCCACCACGCUCAAGCAUAUGAGGGUUGAAGAUUGUGAAAAUUUGGAGUCUCUACCAGAGGGAAUGAUGCACCACAAGUCCUCUUCCACUGUAAGCAAAAACACUUGUUGCCUUGAAAAAUUGUGGAUAAAGAAUUGUGCCUCUCUCAAGUUCUUUCCGACAGGAGAGUUACCCUCCACCCUUGAGCUCCUUUGUAUUUGGGGAUGCGCAAACUUGGAGUCAAUAUCAGAGAAAAUGUUACCCAAUGGCACAGCUCUUGAAUAUUUAGACAUAAGGGGCUAUCCAAAUCUGAAAAUCCUACCAGAAUGCCUUACAAGCCUCAAGGAGCUCCACAUAGACGAUUGUGGAGGUCAGGAGUGUUUUCCAAAAAGAGGGUUGUCAACCCCCAACCUCAUGCACCUUCGUAUUUGGAGAUGUGUGAAUCUCAGGUCCCUUCCACAGCAAAUGAAAAACCUCACAUCUGUUCACACUCUCAGCAUAUGGGGUUGUCCAGGAGUGGAAUCCUUUCCAGAAGGGGGUUUGCCCCCCAAUCUAACAUCACUUUACGUUGGAUUGUGUCAGAAUCUGAAAACACCCAUAUCUGAAUGGGGACUCCUUACCCUCACCUCUCUUUCUGAAUUGUCCAUUUGUGGAGUGUUUCCCAAUAUGGCUUCUUUUUCGGAUGAAGAGUGUCUGCUUCCUCCAUCUCUGACCUAUCUUUUCAUCAGUGAACUGGAAUCUUUAACCUCCCUGGCUCUCCAAAAUCCGAUGUCUCUUACUGAACUAGGUAUUGAGUGUUGCUGCAAGCUCAGUUCCUUGGAGUUGCCUGCAACACUUGGAAGACUUGAAAUCACUGGUUGUCCUAUUAUAAAAGAAAGCUGCUUAAAGGAGAAGGGAGGAUACUGGCCCAACUUCUCCCACAUCCCCUGCAUUCAAAUAGAUGGCUCAUACAUCCAUUGAAAGAUAGCAGACUCAGAUUGAAAUACAUUUUUCUCUUGUCAUGUCACUAAGUCUUUGAUGGUAUUUCAAGAAAUUGUUCAUUGUUGCUCACUUCAAAUUUCUAUCCAAACAUCACUCAUUCAACCACAGAGUGCCAUUAUGAACUGAAGCUAUGUAUAAACUAUCUUGAACGAGCUCAUUUUGAUUGAUAAUGUUAGUGUAGU